ACCUGUGCAUCUCCUCCAUGCUACGAUCCAACAGGUGCAAUUCCCUUUGCCUUGGCUGCAGCAGUUGCUGCUGCAGCUGCUGCAGCGGCAGCAGCAGCCGCAGAUGCUGCUGCAUUGGGUGUUGAUGGAGGAACAGCACCGGAUUGCGAUGUGCUUUGCGCGGUAACCAUUUGUUGUUGUUGUUGUUGCUUCUGCUGAGAGUUUACCUGAGCAAGCAGGGCCUUGAUCUGACUUCCAGAGAGUGUCUCAUGCUCAAGUAGAGCAUUAGCAAGUGCAUGGAGCUCCUUGCUGUUCAUGGUGAGAAUGGUUUUCGCGUUGUUGUAAGCCCUCUCCAAAAAUUGUUUUACUUCUUCCUCAAUAAGGAGCCUAGUCUCAGUGCUCAUGCUCUUGCCGUUAUCAUCAUAGUUGUGAGUAACAAGUCCCACGUUUCUGCUCAUACCAUACUUUGUAACCAUUGCUCUUGCAAGAUUGGUUGCUUGCUGCAGAUCGGAAGAUGCACCUGAAGUCACUUCAUUUUCUCCAAAGAUGAGCUCUUCUGCUACUCGUCCACCCAUGCAAACAUCCAAACGAGCAAGCAUCUGCUUACGAGAUAUACUUGUCUCAUCCUUGUCAGGUAAUUGGGCAACCAUACCAAGAGACAUUCCACGAGGAACAAUGGUUGCUUUGUGAACUGGAAGGGCCCCUUCAGUAUGGAUAGCCACGAGGGCAUGGCCACCCUCAUGAAAAGCAGUCAGCCUUCGUGAUUCAUCAGAUAUAACAGCUGAUUUCCGCUCGCUUCCCAUCAUGAUUUUGUCCUUUGCAUGCUCAAGAUCAGCCAGUGUCACAGCUUUAGCACCAUCCAUCGCAGCCUUAAGGGCAGCAAUAUUAACCAAGUUUGCAAGAUCAGCACCAGAGAAUCCGGGAGUUCCUCGGGCAAUGAUAGUCAGAUCUACGUCUUCCGCUUUAAGAACCUAUCAGCGAAAAAAAAAAUUUCGGAUUAGAAUCCCCUGCUGAAAUUUCCUUCUCCCAAAAUGUAGAAUUGUCUAAGGAAUGCGCUAAUCAAAGAUAAUUCAAGUAUCAGCCAUGCAUGUCAGAUGGAUGUUAUCCAUAUGCGCAUCACUAUAAUGGCCAGUACAUCAACCAGUAACUUGGCGUAGGAAAGAUUAGCAAAGAUCACCCAUAUAUGUCUUCAAGUAAGUUACAUAUGUAAACUAUAAAGAGAAAUAUUGCAAAAAAGGAAACUUUCAAAUGAAGUACAUGGUGCAGAUGCUUAUGUAAAUUAUGGCAUAUCAAAUGGGAAAUUUGCUCUUGCACAAAAGGAAACAUCCAAACAGAACACAAAGCAGGAGCUUGCCUACAGCACCAGAAUCACGUAUAGGUGAGCAAACGAGUAAUGACCAGCUAGUAUCUCACAACUGAUCUGUCAGGGAUUGAGCACGGCAGAGAAAUACACUUCACCAGGCAAACAAGGGUAGAGAAUUUGAAAUAAGAGCUUAGUGGAAGGAAUUAGAUUGAUUCAUCGAGUUGGUUUAUGAAACCUGUGUUGACAUGGAAUGGGGUGUGGUACGUGGCCAAAAAGAAGAAAGAACAAAGUACAAAUCUUUGCACAAAUCUACAUUGCAAGACUUGAAAAAUGUCUUGAAAAUGGCCAAGGAAAAACACAAGCCACUAAGCCACUAAAAGACUCAGUAGAAUUGUUCUCUUGGACAAAGUCAAUCAACAACAGGCAGAACAAAAAUAACUUUUUGGAGACAUUGCAAGACUUGAAAAAUGUCUUGAAAAUGGUCAAGGAUAAACACAAGCCACUAAAAGACUCAGUAGAAUUGUUCUUUUGGACAAAUUCAGUCAACAACAGGCAGAACAAAAGUAACUUUUUGGAGUAUACUAGGGUCCUAACAUAUCUUCUUUGGCAAACAAAGCUUCUACUUUUUACAUAACAUUGCAAGGGCCCCUCCAUCUUAUUUCUGAAUUCAUCACAUGUAUCUUCUUCCAUUCCAGAUCGCCCUUUGGGAAAUAUGCACACUAAUUCAGAGCCUACAAUACAAAAUUAUCCUCAAUUCGCAAACUAAAGCUCUUUGAUUCAGUAAGUGAAAGAUGAACAAGUGGGACAAUUAAAUGAAAAAACUGGGGAAAGAGUAAAUAAGAAAUAGAGGUUUUUAUCAUCAAAAAAAGCAAAGUACCUUUGACAUAUGUGAUUCCAAGAUCUGUCUCCGUCCUUCAACAUCAGGAUUUGGAACAACAAUAUGACGAUCAAAUCGUCCAGGCCUAACCAGAGCCUUAUCCAAUGACUCCGGGAAAUUGGUUGCAGCAAUCACAAUAAUUCCCUCAUUCUGCUUGAAGCCAUCCAGUUCAACAAGUAACUGAUUCAGAGUCAUUUUCAUGUAUUGCUGGUCCUUUGGGUUGCGGCUCCCACCUAUGGCAUCAAUCUCGUCAAUAAAUAUUAUACAUGGAGACCGUUUCUUUGCAGCAGCAAAGAGAUCUCUAACCCUGCGGGCACCAACACCAACAAAACAUUUCUUCAAACUCACUGCCGCUGCAAGAGAAAAAGGGCACCCCAGCUUCUCCAGCUAUAGCCCUUGCCAGCAUAGUCUUGCCGGUACCUGGGGGACCAACAAGUAGAACACCUUUUGGGAGCUUACCGCCAAGUCGAGUGAACCGCUGCAAUAACAUAAAAGGUGAGCAUAAUGAAGUCUGCAACGCUUCUUGACAGUUUAGGAAGGCUAAUCUAAAAUCAUUAAAAUCAAAGUUCUCUCCCAGAAAAUAAUUCUAAUAUCAUGUCAAUUGCUUGUUGAUCAAGAACCAAAUGAAGGGCAAAAUUUAACCAAAUUUAGGUAGCUAAAUAAGGCUUUGUAGAUCCAUAUGAAUAUUCUAACUUUUGCUAAUGGAAAGAAGGAUGCAAGAAAAACUAUUAACAACUGCAAAUUAUAGAAGUUUAGAUAUUCUGCACAGAAAAACAGAAAAAAUGCAUGAGUUAUUCACUCACAGAUUCAUGUGAUUGGAAAGGGAGGUGAGCCAGCCACCCAAGAGAUUGUUACAGAUCAGAAAGCACAAGCUGCAAUUACCUUAGGGUCUCGAAGAUAGUGAACAAUUUCUUCAAGCUCAGAUUUGGCUUCAUCAACCCCCUUUACAUCACUAAAUUUCGUAUUAGAUUCCAAACUAGGGUGCACCUCUUCAUUCAGACCCAGUCCUAGUAGAAAAUGGUAAAGAGCAUUAGUCAGCAGAUAACCUUUUGUUUGGUUACAGAUUCAUCACCCAAAACCACAACAAUAACACAAAAAAUUAUAAUAAUAACAAAUACAAUAAAAUAAUCUAAGACCUUCCAGCAAAGCUCAUAACUACAAGUACCUUUACUAAUCCCUCUAUCUUCGAUGAGUGCACCAAUGCCUGAGAUUAGAAGGAAGGCCAUACCAAGAGCACGGACUGUCCGCCAUAACUGCUCCUUAAAAUGGCCCCCUUCAGCAGCCACCAUAUGUAUAGGUGCACUAGCAGUACCAAGAACACCUUCCUUUGUAGAUUUCCCCACAUUCCUAAAAGCUGAAAGACCUCCAACCAUUUCUUCUUCCACCUGGGAGCUAGGAGCACCUGUAAUUCCUGUAUAACAUACUUAUCAAAUUCCAAACCAAUGAAACGUCACAGAAUAUCAAAACUCUUCAGUGGUAGAACUAAUCAAGAUAUGCUACAAGAGUAGUAGACCUGGUAAAACUCUAUCCAUGUAUGUAGACCCAAUCAGAAAGAGUACACCACAGAAAGGCCAGAGAGAAGAUAAAAAAAAUAAAUUAAUUAAAAAAAAAUAAUGACACUAGCCUCUCUGCAAUGUCUUGAGCAGCUCACUUUCGUCCAGCCUAUCAACCUUAACCAGUGCCUUGACAUACUCUGCAAGCGCUGUUGGGUUAGAGUGCAGUGAGGGUUGGCUUUCGAACACCCUAAUGACUGCCUCAGGCUCGUUUCGAUGAUAUAGCUCUUUGAGGUAUGCAGCAUCGCUUAAUUCAUCACUUCUCCGAGCUAGGCUAGCAGCAUAACUUGAUCGAAAUCUUUUGGUGUUCCCAAAUGCAUAUCCUGCAAGAAGAAAUGGAGGGAAGGUGAAGAGGAAUGCUUCAAACUUGUGCCAAUGAGCAAGUAAACAAUAUAACCAAGGGAAAUUCAAGAGGAAUCAUCCGCCAUGCAUCAAUUUAUCUUUCAUCCAAAAAUCGGCAGAAUAAUAUUAUUGCACCACAAUCAGAAAACAGGGAAUCUGCCAUAUCAACAAUAAGCGACUUCGAUUGCGUACCUAACUCUUUCUGGGCAUUAGGUGAAGUGCGAUAAGCUCUAACUAAUACAUUGCUCAGUUGCCCAACUGCGACUGCUGUCGUUGAACCUGUUAUAACAAAACACAGGUCCUAACACAAUUAGAAUGAAAUUUCGCACAUAUGAUCAACAUGAAACCAUUAUUAUCAGAGCUAAAGCUCAUAUAACCAUCCCUCCUUAUCCACAUCAAUCGGCAAAAGUCACACCUACAAUACAACCAAAACAGACCUAGAAAAAGCUAACUAGAGUCAUAAAAAUGGAGUCUUUCCAAAACCCAUAUCAUUAAUUGCACAAAAAAAAAACACAUAAAAUCAGCAACUUUCACCACUUUUAAAAACAAAAAAAUAAAAAAAUUUCUUACCCAACAACCCUUUUGGCUUUACACCUAAGACUGAUAACUAAUUACUCCUAAACCCACCAAAGCUUAUACCAAACGAUUAAAUGACCUAUUUCUAGAUUAGGGCUUCAGCAUCCUAUGGAAAAAAAAAAAAAACUAAAAACCUUGGCUUGCAUGUUAUAUUUCUGAUGUUCAUACAAUUGAUAAUAAAAAAAAAAAAGUGUCAAGAACUGACCCGACUGAUAAGGCGAAUUAAAGCCAUUCCCUGUCCCCAAAAGAGGGCUAAUCUCUCUUUCGCCAAACUCUUCCCCUCCCCCUUUCUUUUUCUAAAUCAACUAUCCCUAUCCCUAAAUAUAGAAGUGUAAGUUAUUCAGAUAUUUUUGGAGUUCAGCAGAUACUGCAACUCAGGAGAGGAGGGAGGGAUGGAGAGAGAAUAGAGGGAGCUGGGGAGUGCAACCAGAGAUGGAUUUUUUCCCUGGAUCAGUAAUUUUUAAUGGGCAAAACUGAAGAGAUUUUUUGUACGCAUAUGAAUAAUCCUCAUAAAUCAUAAUACCGUAUAGUAUAGUAAACUUUGGUAAUAUUUGACCUCAGAUCUUGGGAUUUGGUGAGGAAGUGUCCAUGGCUUGUUUAAGUGGACCGGUUCGGUAUUAGAACUUUGGGGAGAACGGCCGAAGAUGUUUGUGGGCUUUAUUCUCCAAAAAACAUCAAUGCUUAGGCCCGUCAACAAGGCCUUGUAAGUGAGUCAGGCUGUCCACAACCUUGAGGUUAAACUUUAGCCCAUUGAACAUUAACAACAACCAAGUCCAAAUUCAGCCCAUUCACUGCAUCAGGCUUUGGGAUGAGAUGAGAAAGGACGGAUUCAAAGCAUUUUUUAAGUCGAACAAACCCAGUUGAGGAAAGAAACAAAACCGAGAAGUUUUUCUUCUCAAAUUCGUAGUGAAUUCUUGAUUGCAUGUUGUUAUUUCUAUAAUUAUAUAUACGCAAAAUGAAGAACAUUAAUCCGAAAACAAAUGCAUUUUAUUUAUGUAGAAAGGGCAGGGCCUCAGUGGGCUUAGGCCUGUUAGUUACUUUUUAUAAGUUUUGGAGUGGACAUGUCCAAAUUCAGUUCACGUAAACAAUUACUGAUUGUUGAAGUCCAAAUUCAGCUCAUAAGUGAUAUGAGGUACAAAUGUGGCUCACAAGGAAGUAAUUACGAUUGUUAGGAAGUUUUGUUGUCUUAAGCAUAAUUUUCACAUGUUAUUCUAUUUAUUGUGUGAAGAUUAGACAAGUCAUUUGGCACUCAGCGAGAGGAGGUAAGUGCAUGCACAAUCUGCAAUCAUGACAAACCUCAAGGGAGAUUUGUACACAAUCCCUUUUUAGUAAUAAAGUAACAAGUCAUUUUCUUAAAAAUUAAUAAAUCUUGAGAAUGAAAUCGUUUCUAUGCCGACAGGUUAAGAGAAAAUCGUUUAAAAUGUUUCACAUUUCGUCAAAUGAAUCUUUUCAUUAUUUACUUUCAAAAUGAUAACUUCUGUCUCUUACAAAAUUGAAACAGUAAAAUUUGGUCCCAAUCUAAGUUUUUUAUCUUUUUUUUUAACCUUGAAUCCAUUAAGCGAAUCAACAUAGUCAUUUUUUAGGGAAAAAAAAAAGGUAAGAUACCAUUUAUCGUUAAAGCAAAUGAUCCGAUCCAUAUUCAAUUUUUUUCCUCAAAAUAAGUGAGAUUAGACCCAAAUCAUAUUCAUUUUUUUCAUUAAAAAAGUGGAUCUGAUCUUCUUGUAGACAAAAAAUGAUUGCAUAUGGAUGACGUAGUGAUUUCAAGAUUAAAAAGUGAUCAAAAUUUAAGUUGGAACUAAAUUUUAUUGCUAAAAUUUGUAAGGAAUACAAAGUUAACAAAGUGAAGGACGAUAAAAUUCAUUUAGCCAAAUGUAAGGGACAUUUGGAACUAUUUCUGUUUCAUUCUAGUUGAACUAACACUAGGAUUAACAAAGUUAUUGCAUUAAGACAAAUCUUACCAUUAACAUUUCAAGAAAUACUUAAAUUCAGAAAAUUUAGAUGAAUCAUUCUUUAAGCGUCGCUGAUGAUACACACUCUACCAUGUCAUUGCCAACAUUUGAAAAGUUAGGGUACCUUCCCUUGUCACCCAACAUCUACCUGCCUCACACCGAGAAGCUUCCCUGUCGGCACGCACAUGUAUUAGUAUUACACCGCCUACGUAAAGGUCACCCCCAUGCUCAUUCAUUUUCUUAUAUCAGGGAAGCAAUACACCAGCACAGGAAGCUUCAAUAUUCAUAAUUUAGCCAAAAAACAAAGAGAAACUUGUGCCGAUGAUGAUCAGUAGAAGUUGCCGUGUUCCAAUGACAAAACAUCAACGAUUCCCGAGCCGAGAUAUCUAUCUUGAUCUUUGUGGGAUUUUUAAUCCCAGGCUCAAUCUGCAAUCAACUGAGAGAGGAAAUGCUAGUUUCAUUACCAAGUGAUUAAGGGUUCAAAAAUAAUUCCUCAUGUGUGAUACUUUUACCAAAUGUUUUAAGGGCCUAUUUGGUUGGCAUGCUAAAAGUUACAAAAUGAUAAAAGGAAUGCAAUCGCGGAUAUGCAAAGGGAACGUAAGAACAACUUUGAUUAGAAUUACUAUCCAACUAUUACCUAUUUUUCUUCCUUCACUUGGGCUCCAUUGAUUUGCUUAAUUUCUUGAGUUGUGCACAUGUAGUAUUAUAUGCAUCUCUCUCCCAAGAGAUCCAAAUCAUUAUUGUUCAAUGCGACAGAAAAAAAAAACAAUUUGAUGCUUCAAAGAAAAGGAAGAUACUGUAAUGUACAACAAACUAUCCAAUCUAGUAAAUUAUGCGAAUGCAGUAGUCGAAAUAUGUGCUUAGAAAAGGGAGAUAUUAAGAAGUUGUAAUGUACUACAUGAGGUAGUUAGCUAUACGCAAAAAACUUUGUAUCAAGAAAUAAUCAUUCGUUAGUUGUUUAUCAUUCUGUAUGAUAACCUUUUACAAACUAAUAUUUUGCAUUAAGUUCUACAUGGCCAACUGCAAAGAACUUAAGGUGCAUUUACGUUCGAAAAAUUGUACAACAUUUUUUUCCCGGUUUUAGAAUGUGGAGGGCAAUUGCGAAGAAGUACAGUACUACAACCUUGUCUGAGUCUAUGACCUGAGGUAGAAUCAGAAUAUUGUUCUCAUAAUUUUUCAUGGUUUUUUCUACCAAAUUAAAGCUUUACUCUAGCUUUUGUUUUAUUUGAUACUUUUUUUUGAAUUAUUUCUUUUCAAUGUAAGUAAAAAAUCUCGAAUUCAAGAUUUCUCACUUAUAUUCCCUACUCAUGUACCAUACAGCCUAUCCCUCUCCCUAGUUUUAUUUGAUACUUUGAUAGUCAUUUGGAAUAAAUUUCAUAAGUCUAUAUAUUUUGCUUUUCAGGGAAUAAUUUCCCAUAAGAAUUUCCCACGAAAAUGAAAAAGAAAAAGAAAAAGAAAAAGGUUCCCAUGAGAAUUCACUUACCCAAGUACUUCUUCCCUUAUAAAGAAAGCAACAAGGGUAAAAUAAAGCAAAUUACCGGAAAAUAAUCACAAAAAGAUGUCUAACUCGAGUGGUCACUCCAGAAUUAACUAAUAUUGUCGGACGUAGUAGUAGGUAUUAAGAUUCUAAUUUGACUGCCAGAAAGUACUACUCCGUCCGUCCCACUUUGAUAGUCCUGUAUUCCUUUUUCAUCUGUUCCAAAUUGUAAUUCACUUUCCAAUUGAAAAAUGUAAUUGUAUUUUAAAUUUUCUAAAAUACCCUUAUUCAAUGUAAGUAGUUGUUACUAUAAACCUACCCCAUUUAAUGAGAGUUGAUUCUUUUUUUACCGUCAAUUCAAGUUCCCAUAAAGUUGUACCAUAUUUAAUGUGAGGGUAUUUUAGAAAAAUAACAAUCUAAAUUUACUUUUCUAACAAAGUUAACUAUUUUUUCUUAAAUUGUGUGAAAAAAGAAACAGGACUAUCAAAUGGGACGGAAAGAAUAGUAAUCAAUGAGAUGUUUAUUGUACCUUCUACAUAUCAAUCUGAAACCUUUUGAUAAGCGGAUUGGAAAAAAAUAAGUAUAAUUUUCACCUUUCAAAUUCAACAGCCAACCAUAAAACUCUCUCUCUCUCUCUCUCUCUUGUCGUACCAAUCAGAGUUCAGUGCCACAUGUACAAAAAUUUAUCGAGUAAUAGUUUCAGAAACAAGGAGAAAAUCCACGAUUAUUAUUCCGGGAUGGAGUAGGUACAUUAAUUAAGAUUUUAGUACGGUUAUUGUUCAAUUAUUGAUUUACACAUAAUUUGGUGUUAACUAACAUUACUUUAUUGUAAACUUGAAUUUUGUUCAUAUACACCAACCCAAUAUAUGAAUCCAAUCACACUAAAUGUACCAAAGCCAAUUGUACACCUACCCCAAAUGCCUACAAGAUGACAAACAAAGCUUACUGGUUGCCCUUUGAUGUUUUUGUACUAUAAUGAGGAGCCAUUAAAUUGAUAAUGAUUCUUUAAUUUAGCGGCAAAACCAAGAAUCCACUUAGUGGUCUAGCCACCCUGAACAAAAAUGUAAAGAUAAAAAAGGGGUGGAUGGGGGAUGAACACACAAGAAAAUGAAAGAUCGCCUUGCUACAGUUGAAAUGGUCCUGCUAAUACAUUGUCUAACACAAAAUGACAGAUAUACCAGUACAAAAUUGCAGCAGCUAGCCAAGGAAUUAAUCUCGAUUGCAAUAACCAUAAAACCUUGUCAUUUGUAAAUGUGAAAAGAACUAGGAACUGGAGGACGGUAGCAGCACAGAUACACAUAUAUAUAUUUAUAUAUGUAUGGGACAAAAUCAACUAAUAACAAUUAACGAACAAAUUAAUAGGAAAGAAGAAAUCUCAUAUGCCCAACAUAAACAUAAUUACUUCAAACUAAAUCUCUACCAUGGUGCUGCUGGAUUGUGAUGACCCUGCUGGUCAUUGAAAGAUGAGCCACCAAGUUGAUGAAGAUCAUCCAGACUAAGAAAUGUUUCUCUAGCAGUAGGGAAGGCUUUUAGACCCAAGAAAUCCCUUGUUAAUCCGUCAUUAAUAUUGUUGCCACGGCCACCAAAUACGCCACCUUCUUUACCGCUAUUACUUCUUCCAUUAUUCCCCUUCUUGAAGUCAAUAACACUUCCUGAAAGUUCUCCCCGAAUCCAUCGUGAUGAUGAGAAUUUACCAUACCCAUCAAAGCUCCUCCUCCUAGAUGAUCAUGAGUUGUUAAUGGACCAACACUUAUUUUGCUUGGUGUGGAUGUUCCAUGCAACCUGCAGAGGUGAUAGCACUAGUUUUGUUCCCAAAAGAUGCCAUCAGCCCGUGAUGAUGCAUAAGCCCAGAUCCAGAACUAGACCCUAUUCCCAUCUGAUCUUCACGUGAGGCCAGACCCAGGCUAGAACCAGCUGUAGAAGUGGCCAAUAUUAUUGAUGUCGAACCCAUCAAACCAGUACUCACGUGAGCUGCUUGGUGGGGUCUCAGCAUCGUUGUUGUCGCCGAGGCAGCGGCCGCCACCUCGUCCGCACCAGCAGCUGAUUGACUUGAUGCAGGUUUGCUGAUUGUAACUCCCAUUUGUGCUGCUUUUUGCAGCAAUGCAGUUGCAGACAUGUGGGGUGAUGCCGAUGCCGCGGCGGCUUGGAAUGAGGAGGAAAGAGUUGGAUUAGGGUUAGGGUUGUUGACAUUUUCAUGAUGAUGAAUCAUGGUUUGGUCCAGUCUCGGGUUGCUGAACAAGUCAUGACUUGUUGGUGGACCUCCCCUGGAUCAGAGAGCCAAGGCGGCAGCUCUGGUGGCCUCAAGUUGCUAUUGAAGCUUUGUUGUCGUUGUAACUGUAACUGUAACUGAUCUUGUUCUCGCUUGAGAGGAAACACGGGGAGGCCGCCGCCAUGGAGAGGAUGGUUUUGGAGGUGGAGUUGGACUGAAGAUGUAGUACUAUUGCCGCCGCCGCCUAGUAGUCCUAGUGGGUGGUUGUUUGUUGUAAUUGCCCGGGCACUCUCUUCUGCCAAGGCGUCGCAGAAAGCUCUAUGGGUGAUGAAACUGUCCCUCCUGACAAACAAAAACAAACAGAAAAAAACAAAAGGAAUAAAACAUCAAAAUGCUGCUGCAGAUUAAACAAUAGACAGUACGGUACCAUAUAUCUAUGAACGAUGCUCCCUCUUUUUCAUCUGAGUCCGUCUCUGUCGUCAACUUUUUCUGCGCUUUCAUCUAUGGUGGCAGCAUAGAUAGUAGUAGAGUACAUGAUUUUUUAGCAGUAAAGUUUUCUUUGUUUUUAGCUUUUUGCAGUGAAAGAAUAAAUAAAGUAGUGUUAGGACAUACUACAAAACUUGUAAUGAUACAAAUUCACUACACAUACGCACAUACACACAAAGACAAAGACAAAACAUUGCAACAACAACACAAGAUUCACAAGGCAAAGAUGUUUAAGGUGGUACCACGUACUAAUUGCCUAGUAAAACUGAAUGUGAGCAAAGUAUUUUUUUUUUUUUGGUCAAAAAAUGCGAGCAAAGUAUUUGACAUUGGGUAUUUUGGUAGCUUCUUUCUAAUGUGCAUGGAACAUCCAUUUGACCCCAGAUUCCUAAAUUAAAAAAGAAAAAAAGAAGAUCGAUUACCUUGAGAAAAGGGUUCCACAGUCACAUCUAUAUUCUCUAGUACCACAAAUCUUGGAAUGAGCUUUCCAAUCUGAUUGAACAGCGUAACGCUUUGAGCACUUUUCACACUUCCAUUUCUUCUCACCAUGCUUUCUGGAAAAGUGUUUCUUGACUCCAGUGAGGUCCCCAAGUGCCCGUGAGGGAUCAUGGUGCACGCAUGUAGUUUCCGGGCAAAUAUACACCUUCUUCCUUAUUACUUCUUUGUUGCUUCUUUGCUUUAACUUCCAGGGUAAAUUAUGUCCCCUCCUGUGCAAUUGGAGGUUUUGAUCCCUUUGGAACCCUUUGUUACAGAUCUCACAUAUAAACCUGUUUGUUGCCAGAAGGGUUCUUGGAGACAAAGCUAUCACUUCUGCCUCAGGGUCUAAUUAAGGAAUUUCCCGAUGGCAAUAGAAAAUCAGGAGAUUAAUAUCCAAGAAGUUUUUCCUUUAAUUUAGUACUGUUUCAGUCUACAAGAGAAGGGAUAUACUGCAAUAGAUAUAUAAUGCUGGACUUUGUUACCUGGAUUGCCUGGAAGAUUUCUCUUUUUCUUUGAAGCUGGUUGAGCACUUUGAUUAGUCGGUGAUGAUGCUAAAGGAGGCAGCUGCUGCUGCUGUGGGUACACAGCACCAAUUUCUAGUCUGUUGCCAGAAGAAAUGCUAGCAUCAUUAGAUCCAGAUGUCAAAUUUGACAUGCUGUCUUCUACCACCAUACCUGCAGCCUUCAUCAUCUUAGAAAAGCCUCCUUUUGAUACAACCUUGAUCUCUCCUUAGUUUCCCCUCUAAAUAUUGGGUAUACCCUUGUAUAGAGCUAUGCAGGUUAAUUAGAGGGUUGGUUUAUAAUCUUGGACUCCGGCCAAUUAGAUUCAUUGAUGAGCAACAGAUGAUAUCAAGCUUCUUUUUUUCUCGAAUCAGACAACAGAAUCCAAUACAAACCCUAGUUAUAAUUCAAGAAGAUUCUAAAUUCAGCUAGCUAAGUGAUGGUGAAAGAGGCACUGAUAAAUAAAAGCUUGUGUAGGUUGAUUUUAGUAGCUUCUUGUAGAAUCAUAUGAAGCUAGCUAGCUCCUAUCUAUUGUUUGAAAACCCUAGACGACUGAUUUGAAAAAGGAAGAAAAGGUUUCUUGUUAUAAGGGUGAAUCAAAAGAGAGAAAGAUUACAAUAUCAAGUGUUGAGUGAAAUCUUACAGUGUCGGCCCUUUUCUUCAAAUCAUAUUUGAAUUAACCAAAAUUGCCUGAUAGCUGUUAGCACCAUCAAGAUUCAAUAAAAAGCCACACAGAUGAAAACAAACAAGACCGCACCAUAUUCCUUUAGCAUAAACAUAAGAGAAGACUUCCGCUGUAUGUGUUUUGCUUUCUCAGUAUAUGUAUGUGUCUUGAGUGUGUGAGAGAGAGGAAGAUAAAGAUGGAGAAUGAGAGAGAGAGAGAGAGAGAGAGAGAGAGAGAGAUGUGGAUGAGAAGGUAUCUCUACUAAGUCCUCCACCCCAUGAAAAACCAUACCUCAGGCCAACAAGCUUAUUCUGACGUUGUCCUUUGUCUUUUUCGUUGUUCCCUUCCCAAUUGUAAAAAACUACAUGUACUUUGCAGCCUCUUCCUUCACUGUUUUUACUUGAUCAAAAUUAUUCCCUUUCAAAAGAAAAUGAUGAUUAAAAUACCGUGCAAGUUUAAAUAAUUUUCAUUAACCAAGUUUGCUAAUUGAUUCCAAAAGUGUACUAAUUAAUCAAGAAAGGAAACCGCAAUACUCAAUCAUGCAUGGCAAAAUGGUUAAAGUGGAGAAUCAUGCAUGCAUGGAUGUUAGAAUGCAAAUGUUGUUGGAGGUAAACAAAGCUCAAUUUAUGGGGACUGUCUUGCAGCUUAAUAGUCACUUCACUUUCUUUCUUUCUUGCUUGCAUCCACGCACCUACUGCCUACAUAUUCACAUGAUUGGUUUGGUGAUUAUAUUCGAAACAAUCAUGCAUGCUCAAGAAAAAAGUUGUUUCAAUUAUUCUUACCGUCCUGUGAUCCUUAGUUUGAAUAAACAAUACUACUGGUACUUGAGAUCAUUAAAUUUUAUAAAAGGUAGAAUAGUGAUUUCAGAUAUGCAAUGAAUAAGGUUCCAUCAACUAUCACUUUAAUACUUCGAAAAACCUGACAAAUUCACGGCUUCUGAACUUAAAAAAGUGGAAAACAGAAUACAGGACUUGGUCCCCCAUGCUGCCAUAUCCAUCAUCACUUGUUACUGUGCAUUACAUAAUCGAGACGCUAGCCCCGUCAAUUUAACUUGAGUGUUUAUAGAAGCAUGUUUUGAAUUAAUACGUGUGAGUGAUCAUCGGAAGAGCUAAUGAAUCGGAGUGGAACCUAAGUAUCUGUCAUGAAAUGUAGAAAAAUAAAGUGAUUAAUACAUGUUGUACAAAUCCUGGACGUUUUGUAUCUUAUUAAGAAAAUUUCUUCAGUUCGUCCUACUUAAUUCUGAUCAAUAUAUAAUAGUGUCAACAAAAUUAACGAAAUAAAAGGACACGCGUACGGCGCAUAUCCAAAUCACUCUACUAAUCAUCAAUUCACAAUCCCUAUUAGUCAUGCAAAAAAGGUGUGCUCUACGCUAAAACAAAUAAUACUAUCAAUUGGAUUUAAGUGGGAUGCAUCUAAGAGGCUAAGAGAUAAAGUAGUUAAAAUUGAAGUUUACAGUACAAAGUGAAAAGAGAAAACAAGUUUGGAGGUGCAAAGUGAAAUUAGUCCUUAAAAAUGUCUUUGCAUUUUUGCUUUUCCUAAUUUCAAUGCUUCAAGAAAAAAGUCCCUUUCUUACCUGACUUGAUAGAUGAAGAGCACUGGCGAGCCACGUUGUUUUCCCUUCUCGUUUUACAAAUUUAAAGUGGCUGUUAAAAUUGGAAUGUGUAACCACCUGUCUAUGACUAUGACAUGUAUGUUUAUCAGCCCUUGAUUUUCUAAAAAUGGCGGAUAUUCUCCCUCUUGUGCUAACAUGCAAUCGAGUGACAGUCCUCUAAUGAGUCUAAAAUGUGAGGAAAUGAUGUUAGCAUUUUCAUACCUAAUGGAGUUGAAUGCCCUUUCACAACCAUAUAUACCUCACUCCAUCGAAGAAUAGACAAUUUUUUGUUAUUUCAGCUAAGGAAAUUAAUUGUGUCACGAGAAGAUGGUAAGAAUGUGGGACAUUUAAUUAACCACCACUUUCUAAUGAUGCAACUAUUUACAUAGGAGAAGUUCUAGUUUUGUAGUUUUGUUUUACGAGAGGGUUAUUGGAAUACCUUUUCUUUUUUUUUCUUUGGCUAAUACAGGCGUACGAAUUCAAUUGAAUAAUUCUAGUUGCCAAUAAUAGAAGCAUAUUCUUCAAAGGGAUACUGAUGACUGGUGGAGAAAAUAGAGAAAGCUGAUCUUGGGCAGCAGGCACAUCACUAAGCGAUUACCACAAAUGCGCAUCCACCUGCAUUUCUUGCAUGAAGAAAAAUAAAGGAAGAUGCUGUUUAGUAUGUCCUCAUUUGCUUCCAAAACAUUGUUAUUAACACGUUAUCCACAAUUUUGAAGUGCUUCAAUCUUUGCCAAGUAAUAUUGCAGGGUCAGAUUCUCAAAUUUUUCUGCAGAUAAACCAUCGUUUUCGGUCUAUUUUCCUUUUUUGUUUGUCCUUGUUUUCCGUCAAGGGAGUUUUAACUCUUCGUUUCAUGAGUUUUAUUUAUAACUUUAUCCCGGCAUUGAAAAAUAAAUUAGCCAGUGAAAAAUAAGCAGAGUACCUUAUAAAAAUUGGAUCCUACGUACUUUAGUUCAUGUUCCUAUGAGAUUGGAAGCAAACAGGGAUUAAGUAAUUGUAGAUCACUUGUAAGCGAAAUUCAUAAUAUCACGACUCCUAGCUGUUAAUUAAAAAGGAAUUCAUGAUCUUUUGAAACUUCGUCUACUUUUAUUGAAAUUCUACACACACAAUAAUUACUUAGUUAUACCAGUGACCAUAUAUCAAUUGCAAAUGGUCUCCAAUGGAAAAAGAGCUUGAAAGAUAGUCAAUUGGAAUCUGACUUUCCUAUGUGCCAUGAUAACUCGGGAAGAAACUUGUUUGGAUUGUAGUUUCCGCAGAAAAUUUUUUACACUUUUCCUGAAUAUCAUUUUUCAACCACUUUUUUAUUUCACAUAUAUUAAAUCUCUACAAUAUAUUUCUCUACAAUGACUGUAAAAGUAUCAAUCCACAUAGGCUCUAACUUGUGUGUGGAAAAUAACAUAUUGAAGCCAUAAGAGAUUCAUGUAGUUGUCUCCUUUUUCUCAUAAAUUGGCUAUAUUAUUUACGAGUUUCUUGAACCAAGCACAGACCUAAAUCUAAGCGAUCAAGAAACAUCUUCUUUUCAGAUUUUACGCAGAGGAAAAUUAAGUUAUGACGGUGACAUUUAUAUGAAGUUAUAUUGCCAAGAUAUUUAGCUGGCCCCUCUAUAAUAGGAAAAAGAACCACAAAAUAAUUCUAUACUCAAAAGCAGAUGACUAGAAAACAAACAACGUGACUCGCUAUGGAGCGACAUUGUCUUUCUGUUUAUUCACGUUAUGAAACAAUUAUUAUUCUUCUUGCAAUAGUAUUAACUAUAUGGAUUAGUUUGUUUUCACUUGAUAUAUAUAUAUAUAUAUGCUAUAAAAACGUCAAUAUUUUAUGUAAACUCUGCAGCAUACAGAUAGAGGGUCAUGCAUGCACGUUCAUGUUUCAUUCCAAAUUCCCUCUGCAGACAGCAUGUCAAGGUGCCACCAGUCUCUCUCCUCUACAUCAAUCUGUACUCUGUAGCAAUUUUUAGCUGUUUGUUUGAAUAUGAGUAUGAUAAAAUAAGAAUACUGUUUGACCUAUUUCUCCUCAAAUCCUGUUGUUGACAUUUCGGAAGAACCGCUAUUGACUCGGGUUUUUUUUUUUUUUUUUUUAUCACUAUAUUAGAGAAUGAAAUUUGUUAGAAUGUAGUUCCACUUUAACUAUUUUAGAGACCUGACAAUGAAGUAAUUCACUAAUAAAAGGCAGACAAGGUUGUCACCAACACAAAAAAAGUCUGAAUGAAAGAUUGAGUAAACAUCACGUAAUUUUUUUUCUUCUUUCGGUAAUGAAAAAUCAGUACUACGUAUUAGAGCAUAUACUCUCAAAAUCAUGAAAAGUCGCUGAUAAAGUUUUCACAAAUCGUUCAUUAAUACAACAUUGAUAUCGACACCACAAUUUGAACGUACGAUCUUUUAUGAACAAAUAGUGUAUUAUCACUUAUUACCAACUCACCUAACUUCUCUUGCUGCCUUAUAUAUGAGUCUACGCAAUGUCAACUAUAGAACUGAUACAUACAAGUCUGCAUAAAAUAAUACCUAAAUAUUACAUCUACAUAUUAUAUAAGAAAGAAAUGAACUUUAGUACUUUGCUUGCUUGCAAGUCACGUGGUUUCCUAAUAGUUUGACAAAUGCUUGUUAAUAUUUCUUCUACAUUGCUAUUCUUGCCAUUGCACUUUUUUUUGGGCCUUUUGUUCAUGCAAAAUCAAACAAAUUUGGCUCUUAUGUUUAUGGGUGUUCUUCGGUCGAUAAUCGAAAAUUCGAUAAAUUUUUUUUUUGAUAAUUUGGGAAUUGAUUUUUUAAGACCAAUAUCCAAUUAGCGUCCAAACCUUAGUUUGAUCAAUUGGAUCGGAGAAUCAAUAGCGAGUUAAAAUAUUUUAAUUUUCUCUUAAAAAAUUGUUAUAACAAAAUAAUAUCCCAUAUGUUUUUCAACAAAAUUAAUCGACUUACUCAAACAAAACAUGAUAUGCAAAAAAAGGGUUCAUAAUCCUCAGUUCUAACUCAUACCUCAAUUCUUAAAAAUAUUGAAAUAAAUAAGAAUUUCAAACUUAAUUGUUAAGCUAAACUCCAAUGUAUCAACUUCCAUUACAAAUUUAUCUCCAAGUAUAGUUAUGGUUAGUUUAACUAAUCAGUAAUUACUAAUUAGUAUUUAGUGAUAGGAUUAAGAUUUACUCUUGUAUUUAGUAAUAUACAUAAGUGGGCAAAUGUUCUACUUUUUGUCUUCUAUUGAUUUUAUGCGAAAAUGGUUUCCACUUAAUUGUUCUUGAAAUUUUAAGUAGGCUAGCUAAGCACAGCCUGAAGUCUGCUAGUCCUUGUUACAAAUAGUGUAUGUAGCUUGCGACGGCUUAUAAUCCAUUUAAAAAGUUAUACAGUGUUCAACAAUGGUUAUCCAGCCUUUCCUUGUAAAUUAACUUUUAAUGAUGAUGAAGCCUUCCAUGGACUAUUUUGAUCUUCCUUCCUGUAUGAAUAUUCAGCUCACCUACUCACCACAGGGGCGAAGGUAGUUCAACUGUUCAAGCUUCACUUGUCUACCUGGUUGAUAAUUUAUUUAAUAUAUAUAAAGUAAAAAUGUAAUGAAAAUGUGUGUACAAAAAAGGUAAAGUUUUUAUGUGAAAAAUCACAAAUCCAGACAAGGCUGGUCGCCUGAAUAUUAGCCCAAUUAACAAAGGCUGAAUUGAGCCCGGGUAGGCUUCCCCAAAAACGGCAGUGGCCGUUCAUGUUUCGGACUCUAUUGAUGUUAUAGUUCAACAUCUUGGGUUGCAUCUGUAGCCCAAUUAAACAAAGGGCCGAAACGUGAGCCCAGUUAGUUUCCCCCAAGUAUGGCUCGGCUGCUUUUUUUUUUUUUUUUUUUUUUUGUGUGUUGUGUGAAAAGAUGUGGUUGUGUACUGCCCUUUGUAGUUUCCAACUUAUAUUUGAUGUUUUAGUUCAGUAUCUAAUAUUGCGUUUGUAGAUGGUAUUUUAAAAUGACUAUAUCCACAUGCAAACAAGAACUUGUGCUGAAAUUUCAUUCUAGUUCAAAUAUUUCUAUAUUGAUUCUAAAUAAUUUUAUUUGUUUUGAUGGUUAUGUUAGUAUUUACUAAAACAUGAUCUUUUUGAAAUUUGAAGAACUAAAAAUACUAAAUAUGGGACAAUCAGAUGUUGGCAAUGCAUAACAUACCGAAAAGGGGAUGAUCUUGGACUUAUUCCAUGCUGCCACAGUUAAAGUUCGAUCUUAGCGUAAGAUUGGUAAAAUUUAGGAUUUUUACUGAUCUUUCAUGAAGCAUUAUGCCAUAAAUUAAGACAGGUUUGAUGGAUGCUUUGGUUGAAUCUGUAGGAGAUAAAAUAUCUAUAACGGUAGUCACUGUUAUAUACUUGUUUAAGGAUACAGAUUCCUUUAAAUGCUCAAUCAUGCAUGAAAUUUAGCCGGCUACGCAAUUGAUUCCUUGUAACCAGAGCAAAUAAGAAAAUAAUUUAUGUUUUGGACGGUUCUCCUACCCAUAUAGGUGUCAAACUAUUGCCAAAAUGUUGCCUGCUGACCUCAUGUGAUACUACUAUAAUUUUCUGUAAAAUAUGAAAAUGCACGUUUUGUAUUCCUUUUGGCUUGAGUGAACAAGUGAACUUCUCUAGAGACUUGAUUGGAGAGGGCCAUAUUUCUUCAAGCUCCAGUACCCUUAAGGUAAUUCUUCUUAUUCGAAGUUUGAUCGAAGAAAAGACAUGGAGCAAUCCUUGUUGUGGGUAACUGUAGUACAGAUUUUCUUAGUGAUUGCCUAUCAAGGCAUAGAUGGGGCAUCUGAUCGAGUUGAAAGCAUUCUGGAUUACAUUCCAACCGAGGAACGAGGGAGGACAGCCUAUCACUUCCAGCCUCCCAAAAACUGGAUGAAUGGUAUGUCUUUAACGUUCUUGGUUUCUUUCUUGCAAUUAAUUUCUUGGCAGUUCUUGUCUAUAAUAUUGUCACUUACUAUAUGUUUUCUUCUUGUGCUGGCAUAUGUUUAUGCAUACUUCUGUCAUUUGGCACUCUGGAAUCUUCUUCUUCUGCUGCCUUCUGUCCUUGGCUUCUUUCUUCUGUCAUUUGGCAUUUAUGAUGGUGAAAAUGGCAAUUGGGUGACAUGGAAUGGAACCGGUAGAUCCAAAUGGUAAGUAUUAUAUGUUUUCCAUUUCUAUUACGCAGUCUUUUGAUCUAUUUUCAAUCUCUGGAAGUCCAAAAUUUGUUUUAUUUUUGUUUCUUUGCCCGUUGAUCAAGUACAAUUAGACAGAUAGCUUCCCCUAUGACUUCAGGAUUUGCAUAUCAGAUUAUGAAGCAGCAAUUGGUAUAGAUACAUGGACGCUCCCAUCUCGGUGAUCACAUGGAGUUUCAGUCCAGUGGUUCAGUGAUUUGCUUUCGUUGAAACUAUCCUCCACAUUUUGAUCUGACAUUUUUCCAUUUUGUAUCAUGCAGGUCCAAUGUACUAUAAAGGAAUUUACCAUCUGUUCUACCAGUACAAUCCAUAUGCUGCAGUGUGGGGUGAAGGUAUUCUCUCCUGGGGACAUUCUAUAUCUUAUAAUCUGGUUGAUUGGAUUCAUCUUGAAGACGCUCUUGAUCCAACGGAUCCCUAUGACAUUAGAGGUUGCUGGUCUGGCUCUGCAACAAUUCUUCCAGGUGGAGAUCCUGCCAUCAUGUACACAGGAGUGGAAUCUACGAACCGUCAAGUCCAAAAUAUAGCAGUGCCCAAAAAUCUAUCUGAUCCGUUCCUUUUAGAAUGGGCGAAAUUGGAUCAAAAUCCUCUGAUGACUCCAGUUGAUGCCAUUGGUUCAGAAUUUUUCAGAGAUCCAACAACUGCCUGGCUGGGGAAGGACAAAAGAUGGCGAGUGGUCAUUGGAAGUGAAAUUAAUGGUCAUGGGACAGCACUUCUCUAUCAAAGUGAGGAUUUUGUACACUGGGCUAAGAGUCAUAAACCCCUUCAUUUCUCAAAUAAAACAGAUAUGUGGGAGUGUCCAGAUUUUUACCCUGUCAGUACCAAUGAUACAAAGGGAAUUGACACUUCUGGUCUAGGUAGAACUACCAAGCAUGUGUUGAAGGCAAGCUUUUUCGGUCAUGAUCACUACAUAAUAGGGACCUAUGAUUCAGAAACAGAUGAUUUCUUUCCUGAUACUGACUUCAUGGAUAGCAAUGUGAAACUGAGAUAUGAUUAUGGUAUAUACUAUGCUUCUAAAACGUUUUUCGAUGGAGCCAAGAGAAGGAGAAUAUUGUGGGAUGGGUAAAAGAGGCAGAUGAUCAAUCAGAUGACAUCAGCAAAGGAUGGUCUGGACUUCAGGUAGUUUAUAGCUUUGACUUCUAUUCUUUGCAGUUAGCCGACUUGAUUCACUCUUCUUUCUGCAUUUUCUGGCUAUCCUCUUCUAUUGUUUUGUUUUAGAAUUUCGGGAGCAUAUCAUUAAUCUGUUUCUCUAGAAGUUCAGGUUCUUCUCUCAGAUUCUCUAUUAGGUUGCUACUAUACAGUUUUCUUGAAAGAAAAUCUAAAUUUGAGUUUUGAAACAGUAGCCUUAAAGUCCUUAGACGCUAUAAUUUGAUUAAAUAACUUCUCAAGACACGCUUUAAAUCUGUGCAUAUCUCUAAACUUCAGCACGAGUGACCCAAACUGUGUUGUAGUCAUUCCCUAGAACUAUCUUGCUUGACAAAAGUGGAAAGCAACUAUCACAAUGGCCAAUCGAAGAAAUUGAGGGUUUGCGCAAAGAUGAAGUUAAUCUUCAGAAUAAGGAGAUAGAGGGAGGUAACAUAUUCGAAGUUACAGGCAUCACAGCCUCACAGGUAAAAGAAUUCAUCCAUCUAAACUUUCUGUUAUCUGGUUGAGUUGACUCGUUGCUGAAGAAAUAACAGAAACUUUUGCUGCACAGGCUGACAUAGAAGUCUCAUUUCACCUGCCAAAUCUUGAUGAUGCUGAGUUAACACAUCCCGAAUGGCUUGAUCCUCAACUUCUUUGCAGCGAAAAGAAUGCAUCAACAGGAGGAGUUAUCGGUCCAUUUGGCUUGCUGAUCUUGGCUUCAGAAAACUUGACUGAAUAUACUGCGGUCUUUUUUCAAGUAUUCAAAGGCCAUGACAAGUAUGCUGUGCUCAUGUGCAGUGAUCAAAGCAGGUAAGCAUGUAAUUCAAGUCCACCUAAAGUCAUGCAAAUCAUAGUUUGUUCCAUCAUAUGUUACAUAAUUUUACAGGUCAUCUUUGAGAGAGGAGGUCGACAUAUCCACCUUUGGGGCAUUUGUCGAUGUAGAUCCUGCAGAAAAAAUAUCACUAAGAAGCCUGGUAUGCUGCCCAUGCUCCAGAAAUUUUCUUUUGCUAAUAAAGUUGAACCAAAGAACACAUAGAUCCCUAUUACUGUCAGGUUUUCUUUACUCUCUGAUCUUGUAAUAUUGUGGGCAAAACUAUAUCUAUACUUCAACAUGAUCGGCAUAGACCCGGAAAUGGUUUACUUUAUCUGCAAUUCAUGAACUGAAACAUCUUUUUCUCGGGUCCCUUUCCUGAGAUUUUUCCUGGGCUAGACAAAAAACACUCAAGGGAUAGAUGUUUCUGCGUUUGCUACAAGAAGUGGAAAACUGAACAUGUUUCUGUUCUUCAGAGUCAGAUUUAUGCUUCACCUUUUCUUUUUUCUUUUUUUUUUUUCUUUUCUAUAGAUUGACCAUUCGAUCAUUGAAAGUUUUGGAGGUGAAGGAAAGACUUGCAUCACUUCUAGAGUCUAUCCAACGUUGGCAAUUGGUCAGGAAUCCCAUCUUUAUGUAUUCAACUAUGGCACAGAAAGUAUCAGAAUCGCCAAUUUAAGUGCUUGGAGCAUGAGGAGAGCUCAAUUUUUCCAGUCGUCCACAAAGGAAGAAAAGCCGAAAUUGAUUGAGGAAUAGAUUUUUGGCGAUCAAAUUCAAGAAAUGCUUCUGAGCUCCUGUUGCUUUAUGAUUCUUUCCAAUAUUAUCAAUCGCAUCUUUGGUAGGAUACCAGUAUGUAGCCAAGGCAUGAUGAAAUUAAUUAAUCCAGGGCAGGUUUGCUAAUAGAUACAUUGCAAUCCGCCACUGGUCUGUAAUGACCUCCUUUGUUACUUUUUCUUUUUAUUUUUUUUUAAAAUGAAUCAUUUAUAUAUGGCCCUACUCAUAGGUAGGGUUUGGAUUGGAUUUAUUUGAUUUAACUUCAUAUCAGACUUAGAUUAUAUAUAUAUAGCAUGAAAAAAAAUAACAUAAACAUAAAAGAAUUAUCAUUUUUAAAUAACAAAACUAAUAUUUUUAGAAUGUUGCAUGCAGUAAUUAGGGAGUAAAAGCAUGAGCCUCUAUCAACUAAUUCUAUCUAACGAAAAAUUUCAUUAAUUCCAAUAUUCUCUUCUUUUUCUUUUUCUUUUUUUUCUUCCAAUAACUUUGUUCCAGUCUAUGUUUUUGUUCACUUAUAGUAUCUGUGAUUUUUCUCCAUCGGCUUUUUUUUGCUGAUUUAUAUGUGCUUGCACUUUUGCAUGUGUGAUGGCAAAAACGGCGAUUGGUUGAUGUUGAACCUGUAGAUCCAAAUGGUAAGAAUUUAACAUUGGAAAUUAUGUUCCUUGGUUAAUUAUAAAGCUACAAUUGUUGUGGGAUAGACGGAACCAAAAAACUCUUAUCCAGCAGAAAAAUUUUUGUAUUAUAAAUGUUCAAAUUAACUAUCAUGCCAACUUUGAAAUAAUUUUAUACAUCAAUGGAUAAUAAUUAAUGUGAUAAAAUUCAUCAAGCAUUUCAUGAAUACAAAAUUAGACCUAAUAACUAAACAAACGUUAUGUAUUUACUUCAAAUUCGACGUGACACUUUGUCAUGGAGCCCUGUUUGGAUUGCCAUUUUCUGCCGGAAAUUGCAUCGUUUUCCAUGAUCACAUUUCCUUAUUAUUUUUUCUCUCAAAUGCAUCAAAUCGUUACAGUAAUUUUUUCAUGAAAAAUGACGGAAAAUACAAUCCAAACGGGAAGUCAAAUAAAUUACUUAUCUAACAAUGAAAACUACGCUAAACAAAGUUACUCUAUUCUUAUACUGAAGACAUAAUUCAAAUUUAUUAAAAGAGUAAAGGCCAUUAUUAGGAGGGAUAGAAACCAUAACAAAAAAAUAAUUUGAUAAGAAGUUAGAAAAAGAAAACGGUAAGACCGAGAUAUCUUUUUCUUUGCUCCUUUUCGAAAAAGUGACCCAAAUAUCUAGUUGACGCAUAAAUUCUCUUCAAUUAGACAUAUUGUUAAGAGGGAGGAAAGAAAAGUUGAUUAAAUUUACAGUUUUAGCAUUCUCUUUUUCUUAUCAUUCUAUCACUCAUAUGAAGUGCAUGUUACAUAAGGAUGUCAACUAAAAUGCUCUGAAUUCUAAUCUGAAACUUUGAUAAUUUACGCACAGUGGAAUAGUACAAGAUUUAAUCCGGUUAGCAAGUAAAUGGCAUGCAAAAAAUAAGUAAAUAAAUUAAAAAAAAAAAACACAUGCUAUAUGGAUGCUUUGGGCUAUGCUAAUUGUAAUCUGCAAAAAAAAAAAGAAAAAGAAAAUUAAAGAUGUUGUUUGCUUUUGGACUAUGCUAAAUGUACUUUACCGAUUUAGAGGAGAAUUGGGUUGAAUGGUAAAGUAGGAGGGAUUGUAAAUAGAGGGAAUUGAAUUGAAAAUCUCCCAUUCACCCAAUAUAUGUAUGUAUACACACACACACACUAGAGUCUAGAUUGCUUGAUACAGAAUCCGUUUGAUUUGGAGUUUUUUUUUUUUUUUUAAAAUACAUAAACAUUCUAUAAACAUGAUAUGUGUGAGGUAAAAAGAUAAUUCAUAAACAUUUCAAAAAAAUUCUAAAAACUUUUUGAGGAAAACUCACAAUCUACAGUGCUCUUAAUCUGGAUUAGCGAAUUUUUUUUUUUGUUACAUCAUAAACAUGUUUCUAAUCACCAUUUUAAAAAAAAUUUUCAAUCACAUUUUUAUUUCACAUACGUUACAUUCCAAAAGUACUACAUUUUUAUUCCCAAAAAAUCUUCAAUCCAAACAUUAAUGUAAUGUGAAAUGAAGAUAUAUGGAUGCUUUGCUUUGCAAUCUAUUUUCUGUAAAGUAAAUAUUGCAAUAUGUCUAUUUAUACUGACAACUUAAUCAUGACUUUUUUUUUGGUUGCGUUUUUUUUGUUUGGUGGUGCUGGGGGGGGGGGGCGGGGGUGUUCCAGGCUUCUUUGAGCUUUUGGGAAGCCAGAAAGGAUACUGUAGCAUGGAUUAUUUUACACGCUUGACCAUGCAUUCAACUUAUUGCUAACUGCCAAUUUGAGGCCUAGUUAUUCAUCCUAAUUUAAACAAUUCUACAAUCAGUUUGACAGUCCUUGGAACCAUGUGGAGGUUAAUUAUUAGUCAAAUCUUGAACUCUAUUUUAGGUUGCAAGUUGCAACUUGAUUGGCUAAUUAGCUCAUCGAGUAUGAUAUACUAUUAAUAUCCUCUUUAAUUCAUGUGUUAUUCUUGUAUGUCCAGUCUUUUUCUCUUUCUUUCUUUCCUUCUUUCUUUCUGCUUGGAUGUUUUGCCCUUCUGUUUUUGGUUGGGGUACAAAUUAGGAGUUGUUAGGUCAAUUUUAAAGACCAGAGAAAUCGAGGCUCCUAAGGAAGCUCAAUUUGUGGAAAAUGUGAGAGAUGAGUAAGUAGUAACAAACAACAAUGGGGUACUUUUUGGUAUCAAUUCAAUAAAUCUAAUGAAUGGAGGGGCCGCCGCCUAAUAUUUGAGUCAAAAUAUUUGGCACAAUCUGUCGAGAGCUGGUUAAGUGAUUGACAAGUUUUGGUAUGUGGAUGAUCAAUUGAUUUGAGGGCCACCUGCCAUACACAAAAUCUCUGAUUGCUGGAGACAAACUGUAAUCACAUUCCCAUCUCCGUGCUUCAAAAGUUUCUGUAUAGAUACUUCCGACAAAUCAUAUACAGACAAAGGGCGAUUGUAUCCCGACACUUGCCUCGAGCCAUUAGGGAGUAAUCUAAUUUUACCAAGUAGCCCAAGGCCACAAGAAAGUUUCCUAUAGAUGCAGCCUGUGGCUUUCUUGUACUCCUUACUUCCUUUCUAAUCGAAAUUUAGUACUACUUUCUUUUCUUGCAGUACUUCCUAGUAUGAUAAUGACAAUGAGUGUGUUUGGAUGGUAAAUCAUUUGAGAUAAUUUUGUGAAAUUUUUUUUUAAAAAAAAUAAAAUAAAAUACUGUAGCACUUUUUAAAUGUGAUGUAUAUGAGAUAAAAAAAUGAUUGAAAAAUGUGUUGACGAUACAAAUAAGUCAGUAUAGUCAGAGUAUAAAUAAUGUGCAAUCCAAACAAAUUGUGCGCGAGCACAAACACACUCAUCGAUAUCUUUGCGUGAACCCAAAUUGGCCAAUCAUCCAUUUUAAAAAUUUUUGUUUGUCGGAAUCCCAACGGUCAUUCGCAUAGCCCAUAUCUAGUGUUGGCCCAAUACGUUCUUGGGGUUAGCUACGAAGCCCAACAGGAAUUCACAGCAUUCGUGCGUGGUCCAGAUGUUUCCUUUAACGUGUUCUUAAUCGUUUAGAACUAAAAGCUCGAUUAACUCUCCAUAAUGUCCAGAUUCGACGGCAACUAAAAGAUAAUCAAUCGCCAUUCUAGGUUCUUAUCAUUUGGUUUGGCCUAAUUAGAUUCCUACUGGUUUAGUCUUGGAAAAUAUUUCAAACUCAAGUAAUUAAGCAUUAAGCAUUUGAUAAGUUCUCCAGUCAAUCUGUCAAAAUUAUUUUGAUAGGUUGGAAACCAAAAAAAUCAAGGGGCAUAUUGGUCUUUUAAGGGACCAUAUUAAUCCAUCUAACAAUGGUCAGAAUUGUUAACUUGCAUAAAUUAGUCAUAAUUGAAUAUUCCGGAAAUUAAUUUGAACAUGAUAUUACUGGUCUUGUAUUCUAUGGUGGGGCUAAAUCCACACCCUUAUAAUCAAGUCGAUCAAAAAGCCCGUAGCAUUUAUGGGGCUUAGUAGAAAUUUUUUCAAUAAAAAAUUAAUCUUUUUUUUUAAUGAAAAUGGAUGGUGCUAAUUUGAAUUUAAAAUUUACAUCAACCAGAAUGGUCUUAAAUUUUCCAACAUUUUUUUUUCAUUCCCUUUGAUGAUAUUUAUGUUUCCCUCUUAUUUGGUAGAGAGAAUGCUUUUCUCUCUUUUUAUCAUGUAAGAGGAGAUGAGAAGUUUUUUUUUUUUUUUUUUUAAAUUGUGUUAAAAAAACAUUUUUACCUUUUUGCCAUGUUGCACUUCAAAAUUGAUUGAAGUAUAAUUUUAGACGACACUAUCAGAUCAACAAUUAAGAAGAUGGUAUGAAAGAAUUUCAAUUAAUUAAAAUGUGUAAUUGACUUUUAAAACAUCCCUUGUCGUGUGAAUACCAAGUUUUUAUAUUGAGAAAAAAGUAUGUAUCAAACACUACAGAUCCUAUGGGCUUUGUUGUCAUCUUAAUGCUAGGGUUGGGUGCAUGGACUUAGAUUGAGGGGUGUAGAUUUAGUCCCCUCCUAAUCCUAUACUUCAACCAUGAGAUUUCAACUUAUCCACCCUUGGCAAAAGUAGCUUCCAUGGUCUUAUAGUUAAUAUUUAAACCUUUGCUUUUAAGUUACUCUAAUUGAAGAAAAAAAAAAAAGGUAAUUCUAUCUUAUAACGAGAUUGGUUUUCACAAAACAUCUAAAGACAAUUAAUGUACAUUAAAUUUCUUCACUUUUUUUGCAACCUAUUUCUACUUAGUAUCUUAAAGUAUAUCUUUUAAGUUUUUUUUUUUGAGGGAAUAUCUCUUUAAGUGCUAGGCUCUAGGGUUAGAAGAGCAGAUUGGUAUUGUGAUGAGAACUCUCUAACCUCUUAAAUACUAGCAAGCAGCUGCUGUCAUUCAAUAUCCUCAGUGAAUCACCAAGCGGAUGAAUCAUAAUCAAAUCAAAUCGGUUAACAAGUAUGCUCAAAUGAUGAUGCACAAAAAUGAAAUCUUGUAGGCGUGGGGAAAAAAAUCAAUUUAAUUUACAACUGGGGAAAAUAAAGUAAAAUUUCUAGUUUCUCCAACUAUUAAUUUGUAAACCAUAACCCGAAGGAGAUCCGUGCAAAUAUAAAAACUAUGUGCCGCAGAAGGAAAAAAUACAAGUCUCUUCUUUUGUACUUUGCUUCUGCUAUUUAUUUUGUUCAAAUUUAACAAAACAACAAACAUCCGUGAGGAAAAAAUGGAAAAGAAAGAAUUUUUUAAAAUAUAACCAAUAGUAUGCCGUCAACAUUGGCCUAAUGUUGGUCCACUUUUGUCAAGGCAACAAAAUUGGACAUGCAGGUAGAGCUGUAAACGAGCUGAAUUGAAUCGAGUAUUUCAUGUUUGAACUCUGUUCGUUAAGCGAUUCGAACAACAUUCGUGUUCAUUCGUUAAUUUUCGAACUCCAAACCUGUGUUCGUGUUCGGCUCGUUAAGCAAAGUUCAUGUUCGAGUUCGUGUUCGUAUUCAGCUCGUUUAACAUAAAUGAGCCGUUCGCGAACAUACUCGAAAUGCUCGAUCCAAAUUAUUUUAAGCCUUAAAUAUGCCAUAUAAAUCAUAAUCAUUCUAAAAAAUAAUUAAAGCACUAAAUGACUAAAUUCUAUUGUUCAUUAACUAUAUAACUAACAUUAACAUAAAAAUAAUAAAUAAAACCCUCCAAAUAUAAAAGUCUAGCCAUAAAAUUAACCCUAAAAUUUGUCAAGUGAUAAUUAUGCUCGUGUUCGUGAACGUUCGUUAAAACUCACGAACAUGCUCGUGUUCGUGUUUGCUCGAUUAUUAAUCGAACAAAAAAAUUCGUUCGAACUCUGUUCGUUUAAGGUUUCGAAUGAGUCUUUUAUGAACACGAACGUAUUGAAACAAACCGAACUACCGCAUAGUUCGGUUCGUUUAACAGCUCUACAUGCAGGUGACUCAUAAACGCUACUAUUCCAAAGUAACCCUCUAAGAACUUAGGGCAAAUAUUAUUGAGAAACCCAUAAUCAAGUUGCAUCCUCGAUGUUUUCUUGCUUAGGCUGUUUUGGAAUAUUAACUUCAUCUUUUGGCUCCUCGUCUUCACUGUAGGAAAAGAAAAGAUUUGAAUUAACAAAAAGCUUAAAAAAAUUGUAAAAGAAAGUAGCAUCUAAAUAAAAUUGAACAUAGAAACUUCCUUUAACUAGCAAAUCAAACAAGUCAAUAAAUUACAUAAACAAAUUUUAAAAAAUCUUUUCAUGAAAAGCUAAGUAGUUAGUGGGGAGUUAGCUGCAAACCUUCAUGCAAAUGAAGACUAAGUGAGGUUAUAAGAAAAAAAAAAAAAAGAUGGUGACUUCCUAUAAUAUUCCUUCUACAAAUGGUGGAGUUCUGGUUGUAAUUGAAGUUUAACGAACGAAGAUUUGGUUCGAGAAAACAGUUUAAAGAACGAAGAUUUGGUUCGAAAAAACAUGUAACUUCGUGUUGUACCACCUAAGAUACUGACUCUCACUCAACUAGUUGCAUUUUUUACUUUUAAUUCAGUUUUUUUAAGUGUUUCUUCACGCCUAUGGAUUAGCAUAAUUAUAGCAAUGCAAUCAAUACAAUUUUAAAAUCUUCCGUCAAUAUAAUAAUUAAUAUAAUUGUAAGAAAUCUGCUAAUAUAUUUAAGAUUUGACAUGCUUCCUAAAUGAUAAUUCAACCUUUAUAUUUUCAAAUCUUCAAAAAUCAUUUCAAAAUCUUUUCGAGGCAUAUUUUUCCGCAUCACCUUUUGAAUUUCUUAUUUUUAUUUCCUAUUUUAAGUAGGCAUACAGUUAUAGGUAUUAUUCAUCUUAUUCAGCUCACCUUGAACACCAUGAAAAAACUAUUAAUUGAUUGAUAAUAGAAUGAAAAUGAAACCAUUUGAAAGAAAUGACAGUACCUUGACAGAUUUAAAUUUUUUGACUCGAUUAGAUCGUGCUUGAUAUCUUCAUAUACAUCAAACAAAACUUUGAUAUCCUCAGAUCCAUCGACCAAUAAUGGAGUUGGACUAAGAUGAACAUACGACGUACUGGGAUUAAUAUCACCCUGGAUAUCUUCAUCUUUAUGCCCUGCGUACAAAUCUGCAUAACCACCAAAGUCUUCAGGCUCAGGCUGGAUAUGCAUGGAUUGUGCUCCAGCAACAUACAUGCCCGGAUUGAUGGGAUUGGGUAAAGGUUCUUCUGCACCGGUCCCGGCGGCGCUUCGAAGGCUAUGAAUAUGGGCCAAUUGGGUAAGAACAAGGUCCAAUUCAGCCCUACAAAAUUGUAUUUGUUUUUGCAUCUCUUGAAUGACUCGAUGACAGCCGCCAACAGGAUCACUUGCACGUAUAUUGGCUUGAAUAAUCAUUGAUUGCAUCGCACGAUGUCGGUCGUUUGGAUUAACAGUAUUAUAUACCUUCAUCAUAUUCCUCAACCCAAACAAUUUGUGGGCAUUUAGGAACUGCUUUUGGUGGUCGGGAGGGAAGUAUCGGGCCAAGGGACAACCCGGAGCACAUUUCCUGCGGUGGUAUUUGCAUGCAGCACAAGCCCUUGUGUCACUAGUGCUUGCACCAGCGGUUGUACGCUUAGUAUUAUUGCUAUUGCUACUGCUUGGUUCGGCUGUGUUGUUGAGAACUUUGCUCUUGUUAUCUUGGUGGUUAUUAGUACCAUUCAUGGUAGAAGUGGCAGUAAAGAUCGGCAGCAAAUGUGCCGAAGGAGGAUCCCUAUCUUUUCUCCACUUCGGUUUAUGGGAGAAAAGAGAGAGAAGAUCGAGGGAGAGAGAUCUCAGUUAUGAUAUGGAUGCGGGGAGAGGCAUAUGCCUAUCGUGUGUCGUGGGGAGGCAUACUGGGGCUACGACUCUUUUCUUUUGCAUUGAAUGGAAAAAAGGAUAUCAAUCAAAUAUUUUUGUUCAAUUAGCAGGCUACUUUCCUUUCCCCUUCUUCUCUAUUUCUCUUCUGUCUGCUUUCUUUCCUUUUUGUUGUAGUUUUUUUUUUUUUUUUCGGGUAAACCCUUUUUUUAGUUUCUUUAGUGGCAAGGAACAUGAAAUUAAUCUAUAUCACCAGUCAAAAAAAUCAAGAUUUAUUUUCUUUCAUUUUAUUUCUUACCUACUUUUUAACCUUAUUAAUCCAGAAUUUUACUAUAUGCCAAUAAGGAAGAAAUGAAAAGAGGGUGUUGUCUGCUAUGACAAAAGCUUUCAAUGGGGGAUUAUUAUUGUUGGCUUUUGACUUUGGAAACCACAUAAACCAACAUGUCUAUCAUGGUACGAUCACCUUAAAAGUUUUUAAAAUUUUAAAGCACAUGCUCUAAAGGCUACCAAAGCUUUAGUUCAAGAAAACCUCUCUUCCUCGUUACGUAGAAUACAUUUCCAACCAGAAUGAUAUAAACUAAAAAAAUUAGGGUGAGAUAAUGAGACAGUAAUUUAAGGUGAUAUAAACUAAAAAAAAAAGGGGUGAAGUUUAAAAGCUAGUGAUUAGAAGUACAAAAUUUUGGGGUUCGAUAAUUCUGAUUACUUCUUAUUCGAGGUUAGGACUUUUGCAGCUAAUUAAGAUUGUCCUUCAACAACAUUAUCCUUAUCUUGGUAGAUCUAGAAACGAAAUUUGCCGUCAAUUUGUAUGGUAGAGUUUAGACCACGGCCUAUUUGGACCAUGACUUAGCAUCUGCAAUUACCUUUGAUUUGCAUGCGUCUUAAUAUAUCGUUGGAGCCUAUUUGGACCAUGACUUGGGCUAAAACUUGUAGUACUCUGUGUUGUUGGAAAAGCUAGUACUAUAAAUGGGCAUAAUGCAAUGCAAAACAACAUGAUGGUGAUCCCGUCUUAUGACCAUAUCAUAUCCCUUAUCUUCACUGAAAUUUUGUUCGAGUAGAAGUUUAGGUACAGUUGAUUUGUUGGGAGAGAUUUUGUUCGAGUAGAAGUUUAGGUUCAAUCGAUUUGUUGUGAGAGAUGGUAAAGUGUAAAUUGGAGAAUUUGUCCAUCCUUAUAAAAGAGGUAAGUAAAAGGAAACUAGGAAGUUGAUAUACGGAUUAGGAUUAGGGACCUCUAUUCAAUCAUUGCAAAGUGGAUUUCAAACAGCCCAGGGCCAGGCCUUACCCACGAGCAAGAGUCGGACUCUGUGGGCGCAACCCGGGCCUAAUCUAGAUUAGUCUGAGCAAUGGCUCUCGAUACCGGGUGGUCUGACAAAAAAAAAAAAAAAAAAAUAGAGUUGUACAAGUGAACAGUUUAAUGACAUUUCGUGCAAUUUGCUCAAAUAGUAAUUAUGUACGCUAAUACAAAAAUAUAUAAAUCUUGAAUUUUGUAAAGUACCAUCAUAUAUAUAUUAGCAUAGUAUUGUACACUAAAUACUAAUACAAUAGAUACGUGCCCUAACCCUAAGUCCUAGGGUACCGAUGUACAAAACAUUAACAUUUAUUUAACAAUUUUUCCGAGUUUUUUCUUUUUAUGUAAGUGAGAAGUUUUGAAUUCGAAAUCUUUCACUUAUAGUCUCUUCUUCCGUACCAUCUUCUCUACCCCUUCUUACCCUGAAAAAGCAGGGGCACCUUACGUUCUUGAACCGAUAACCAUCUUUCGGCUAACCUAGCCUCCUCCGUCCCUCGGGACCGACAAACGGUAGUACAGGAAUAUUCACCUGUUGUCCAUCGACUACGCCUUUCGGCUUGAUCUUAGGCCCUGACUCACCCUCCGUGGACGAACCUUGCGGAGGAACCCUUAGGUUUUCGGGGCAUUGGAUUCUCACCAAUGUUUGCGUUACUCAAGCCGACAUUCUCGCUUCCGCUUCGUCCACCACUGCUGGCGCGGAGGCUUCUCUCUAAGGCGGAACGCUCCCCUACCGAUGUAUUUUUACAUCCCACAGCUUCGGCAGAUCGCUUAGCGUUCAACCCAUCCUUUCCUUCCUUUUUUUUUUUUUGAUUAAACAAUCAGAGUUGUUCAAUUCAAAAAGUACUUAAUCUAAACCAUACACUACACUUCACCAUCCUAUUUGCAACCGUAGAGACUCCUUAACCAUCGAUAUGUAUACUUGUCCCUCAAACCAACAGCUAAAUUCUUGUAUUAUUCUAGCAAACAGGUAUGUUAGCGACCAAGAUUUUUAGGUCUUGCUGGAUAGACUAGGUUUAAUUCCAUACCGUAUCGUUUAAACUCAAAAUUUAGGUCCUAAAUUUAUAAAAUGAAUAGAGUUCCAAUUUAAUGUCUAUAAAGCUUUAGUAAUAUUCUCAACAAAAGAUAUAUGGUGCAUUUCAUAAAUUUGAAAUCUAAAAUUUGAAAUCUGAAUCCAUUAAGUUACUGAAUUAUUAAGUACUAAAUUUGAUAUAUUUAAAUAUACAUCACAUUAAGGGAUAAGUGAAUGGUUUGUCACUUAUUUUUGGAGCAAGUUCUACGUAGAAGUGUCAUUUAAUUUAUUUAAAAGUUAUAUUUUAAGUUAUCAAACAUGUCUGAAUAUGUUAAAAUCUUAAUUCAUUAAACAUAAAUAUUGAAUUAGGUUAUUAAAUAGGACCAAAACGUUCAUUAAAAAAAAUUUCCCUAAAAAUAUAUAUUUUCUAAAGAAUAGGAAUAAAAUCUUUGUUGAAGAUUCAAUUCAAACAAAAGUCAUCUAUUAUUUUAUUGUACUAAGGAUUUGUUUAACGAAUCCCUAGGAGUACUUGUUAAUUGGAGUUUUUUGCAUUAAUGUAAUGAAAAAGUACGACUAAAGCCCUAUAUGAUAAUUCAAUUUACCACCUAAAGUUAAUAGAUUUAGAACUUCAUAUGUUCAAACAUGUUUGAUAGUAAGAAAAUAGAAUGUCUUAAUUAAUUAAGUAGCUCUGAAUUAUCUAGAUGAAACUUACUACUUUAAUAACUAAGUGAUAAAAUGUUCACUUAUCACUUAAUGCAGAAUACGCUCAAAUAUUAAUAUUUUAGUAUUUCAUAAUGCAAUAAUUUAAUAUAUUCAAUUUUCAAUUUUCAAUUUUAUCAAACGCUUCUAAAUCCAAAAAUUUGCUGAACGCAAUGCGAAAUAAAAGCUAAGAUUACUUGUAUUUAUAUGGAAUGUUGUAAGCGUUAAUAAGUGCCCAUUACAAAAUUUAAACUCAAACCCCGCUUGAGCUGACCCCGUGUGUAUUUGGAAUGCAAUGGGCUUGCGUCUAAAUUUGGGUUAUAUAGACUUGGACUUUACCCAAGCCAGUGAUUGACUUACCAGCCGACAGAAAUUUGAAAAUUGAGGCCCAAAUUCACAAAAACUGUGAUAGCUUGGGAUGCAUUUGAAUAAUAUUCAAACCAGUGACAUGUUGCCAUGAUCAAUAGACAAUGAAAAAAAUAGGGUACAUGAAUUUGAAAAACUUGGCCAAAUUCACAAAACUAUGAUGGUUUUAGGCCCCAAUAUUUGGAUAGAAUUGACAUUACUGCAAUAAUCAAUAAUCACUUGGAUAAAAAAAAAUAAAAGCUAAAAGAGAUGGGAAAUAAAAUGUUGACUUAUUAAUUACAUCUAUAAGGCACAGAGAACUUUCCUUAGCAAAUAAUAUUAGAGUAUAUUUUUUAUGCAUUGUCAGUAUAUACACAUGCGUGCGAUAUUAGGUGUAUGCCACGUAGUUUAAUCUCAAAUUUGAAAUUUAGUUUUCGUACAAAUGUCAUACAUUUAUAACUGCUAGUGUAAAACUCUUUACAUUGACAGUGUAUAAAAACUUAAUUCAUAAUAUGAGAUCAACUUCUCACUUAUAAUUUGGGGGCACACCAUUCAAUGAUCCAGUACACAUCCUUAAAUUCACACACUUAUCAGGAUGAAAACUAGACCAUCAUGCUCUCUUAUGUUCCUUUUUUUUUUCUUUCUUCUUUUUCUCUCGGGCUAGUAUUUUCAUUAUUUUCUAAACCUUGGAAACUAGGCCUUCCGCUUACAUUUAAAAAGAAAUAUAUUUUUAAAAAAUAAGUAUUAAUCCUCGUCAAUAUGUCAAUUUUCUCUAGCCUACUUAGUGGCUCCCUGAUUAUUCAGAAGUGCAAGAAGUUCCAUCUUGACAUAGAAUUGAUUCAACAUUGAUACCAAGGUAACUAAGCCAGAAAAUUGCAAGUCUAUAGCUGAAAUACAUUUGUUUUAGCUCACGGACAUAGAAUUGAUUCAAUAUUGAUGCCAAACUAACCCCAAAAAUUGCAGAUCUAUUGCUGAAAUACAUUUGUUAUAGCUUGAAAACAAAUUUGUUUUACCGUCAAUUUGUAUUGUAGAGUUUAGACCACAGCCUAUUCGGAAAUUGGACCAUGACUUAGCAUCUGCAAUAACGAUUAAUACCUUUGAUUUGCACACGUCUUAAUAUAUCCUUGGAGCCUAUUUGGACAAUGACUUAUGCUAAAACUUGCAGUCCUCUGUGUUGUUGGAAAAGCUAGUACUAUAAAUAGGCGGGAAAAAUGCAGUUUUCAUCCCGAGUGUUUGGGUGAGAGACUAAUUUCAUCCUCAAAAUUUUAGUAAUAGCACAUUUAAUCCUCAAUCAUUGUCAAUUUUGGUCAAUUUAGGACAAUUGAUAGAAAACUCUUGACAUUGGACGGAAAGUAGUCACAUGAGGUACAUGCUCCGUUAGUGUAAUUUAUUGCAGCCAACAAAAAAAAGGAAAAAUUGUCUUCUUUCUCAUUAUUUUGUCCUUUUUUAACAAUAAAGAAUUUUUCCAAUAUUCUCACUGUCGUCAAUCGGACAAUCAGCUGACUACUGGUUAGAAGAUCGGUGAAAGUGGACCCAUGAAGAACCCCAUUGAAGAAAAAUGUCCUUACAAAAAAAGAAACUAAAUGAUCGGUCACCCCCAAAACAGGGAUCUCAUUGUAAUCAUAUUGAACAUUGCUAUAUGUAAAAUAGGGAUUAGCUCAUUGUUCACUUUGGAUUUACUUUUUAUUUAUGGUCCCCAACUCAAUAGGACCAUUUAGAAGAUUAUAAAUGAUGGUGUCAAUUUGCUCCAUUGGUUUUCAUAAUCCUCUAUCUUGCUUUCUCUGGUUUUCAUAAUCCUCUGUCUUGCCUUCUUUUAUUUUUUUUUCUACAACUCAUUAAGAAUAUAUAUACGUGUAACUAUUAUCAGAAUUAAGAUUGCAAUUGUACAAAAUUGGGAACAAAUUGUGUGACCAGAAUCAUAUGUCAAAAUUGAGAUUUUAGCAAGUUUUCAUACACAAAAUAGCUUCUUUAGAAACAGAAAAUGUCCACUUCGUACGCAAAACGUACAUAAUUGAUCAAUCAACAGCUGGUUUUCAUACUUCUCUGCCGCUACUUCAAUCUACAUUUAUCCUAAAUCCUACCUCUUACAAACAAAGGAUUAUCCAACUAGCAUUCUAGCAAACACAUUUGUUUCCACAAAAUACAAUCACAGCCUGGCAAAUUUAGCAAGAUUUCAUACUAGACUUGGCAACAACUUGCCCCAGUUUCUAUUUGCUUUGCCUGUUCUCCUCCAACUCAAAACCAACAACACCAUUAAGACCACAAUAAUGUCAAUGAAAAUUUUCUCCCUCUUUCAUAUCUUUUCAACUAUUUCUUUCAACUUAUUCACCUUUUAUGGUAAACCAGCUAUAAGUACCCUUCCUCUUGGACCAAUUUCCUCUUCAGCCUAUCAAAAUACUUGCACCUGUCGAGCCUCUAAUAAAACAUGAUUCAAAAAUUUGUUAAAAUCAAAGUUUUACUGGUGUGUCAAUAAUACAAUGAGUUCUUACCGGCCACAAAGAACAACCAAGAAUCUUUUUUCGAAUUGUCUCCUCGCUAAGAAGUUGUUAGUUUUGUCCUUAACUCACAAUUGCAGACAGGUAUUGAUGAAAUCGAAGAAGCAGAACUUCUACUUCUUAUUUUAGCACUCUAGGUUCUCUAUGCCUCCGCUAUUAUAGGUAGAAUAAUAGGUAUUUACCAUGGUGAAACUUUGCCUGCAAAACUUAGGGCUAGAAAAAACAGAGCAUAUACUCAAGAAAUGAGAAAUGAAUGAAAAAAGAAGAUAGUUUUUCCCAUUUUAUUGGCUGCAAUAAAUUAAACUAACAGAGUAUGCUUCUCACGUGACUACUUUCCAUCCAAUUUCAAGAGUUUUUUGUCAAUUGUCCUAAAUUGAUCAAAAUUGAUAAUGUUUGAGGAUUAAAUGUGUUCUUGUUGAAACUUUGAGGACGAAAUUGGUCGCUCACCCAAACAUUGGGGGGGAUGAAAAGUGUAUUUUUCCCAUAAAUAGGCAUAAUGCAAUGCAAAAUAAUAUGAUGGUGAUCCCGUCUUAUGACCAUAUCAUAUCCCUUAUCUUCACUGAAAUUUUGUUCGAGUAGAAGUUUAGGUUCAAUCGAUUUCUUUGGACAGAUGGUAAAGUGUAGAUUGGAGAAUUUGUCCAUCCUUAUAAAAGAGGUGAGUGAAAGGAAACUAGGAAGUUGAUAUACGGAUUAAGGACCUCCAUUCGAUCAUUGCAAAGUAGAGUUGUUUAACGAAUCCCUAGGAGUACUUGCUAAUUGGAGUUUUCUGCGUUAAUGAAAUGAAAAAGUACGACUAAAGCCCUAUAUGAUAAUUCAAUUUACCACCUAAAGUUAAUAGAUUCAAAACUUCAUAUGUUCAAAUGUGUUUGAUAAUAAAAAAAAUAAAACGCCUUAAUUAAUUAAAUGGUUCUGAAUUAUUCAGAUGAAACUUAAUACUUUAAUAACUAAGUGAUAAAAUAUUCAUUUAUCACUUCAUGUAGAAUAUACUCAAAUAUUAAUAUUUUAGUAUUUCAUAAUGUAAUAAUUUAACAUAUUAAAAUUUCAAAUUUUAAUUUUAUCAAACGCCUCUGAAGCCAAAAAUUAGCUGAAUGCAAUGCGAAAUGAUAGCUAUGAUUAAUUGUAUCUAUAUGGAAUGUUGUAAGCGUUAAUAAGUGCCCAUUACAAAAUUAAACUCAAACCCCGCUUGAGCUGACCCCGGUGUGUAGUUGGUAUGCAAUGGGCUUGCGUCUAAAUUUGGGUAAUAUAUGGACUUGGCUUUUCCCAAGCCAGUGAUUGACUUACCAUUUGACAUGAAUUUGAAAAUUGAGGCCCAAGUUCACAAAAAAUUGUGAUAGCUUGGGCUGCAUUUUAAUAAUAUUCAAACCAUUGACAUGUUGCCAAGAUCAAUAGACAACGAAAAAAGUAGCGGCCAUGAAUCCAAAUUCACAAAACUAUGAUGGUUUUAGGCCGCAAUAUUUGGAUAGACACAAACAAUUGACAUUACUGCGAUAAUCAAUAAUUACUUGGAUUAAAAAAAAUAAAAGCUAAAAGAGACGGGAAAGAAAAUGUUGACCUAUUAAUUACAUGUAUAAGGCACAAACAACUUCCCUUAGCAAAUAAUAUUAGGAUAUAUUUUGUAUACAUUAUCAGUAUAUACACAUGCGUGCGAUAUUAGGUGUAUGCCACGUAGUUUAAUCUCAAAUUUGAAAUUCAGUUUUCGUACAAAUGUCAUACAUUUACAGUUACUAGUAUAAAACCUUUACAUUGACAGUGUCUAAAAGCUUAAUUCAUAAUAUGAGAUCAACUUUUCACUUAUCAUUUGGGGCACACCAUCCGGUGAUCCAAUACACAUCCUUAAAUUCACGCACUUAUCAGGAUGAAAACUAGGACAUCAUGCUCUCUUAUGUUCCUUUUUUUUUCUUUCUUCUUUUUCUCUCCAUGCUAGUGUUUUCAUUAUUUUCUAAACUUUGGAAACUAGGCCUCAAAUUUUUAGUUGCUAACGACCUAGACAGGAAAAAAUUGACCAACCACUAAGGACUUCCAUUCCAUGUAAAUGAUUGGCCUCAAUUUUUAAUGUACUAAUGUACCUUGGUGCUAAGAUAAACAAAAUUUCAGUGUGCUUGAGAUAAAGGAAACAAGUACUAAUUUGGUUGGGGGGGAAGGGUUGUGUAGUUUGGGGAGAGGGAGUAUAAAUAAGAGAUCUUUGUUUCAAGCCUUCCGCUUACACUUAAAAGAAAUCUAUUAGAAAAAACAAGUAUUAAUCAUAGUCAAUAUGUCAAUUUUCCCCAGCCUACUUUGUGGUUCCCUAAUUAUUCAGAAGUGCAAGAAGUUCCAUCUUGACAUAGUAUUGAUUUAACACUGAUACCGAGGUAACUAAGCCAGAAAAUUGCAACAGCCUACUUAGUGGGUUCCCUAAUUCUCCAGAAGUGCAAGAAAUUCCAUCUUGACAUGGUUAUGAUAGUUAGUGGGUUCCCUGAUUCUCCAGAAGCGCAAGAAGUUCCGUCUUGACAUAGAAUUUAUUCAACAUUGAUACCGAGGUAACUAAGCCGUCUUGACAUAGAAUUUAUUCAACAUUGAUACCGAGGUAACUAAGCCAGAAAAUUGCAAGAAGUUCCGUCUUGACAUAGAAUUGAUUCAACAUUGAUACCGAGGUAACUAAGCCAGAAAAUUGCAAGUCUAUUGCUGAAAUACAUUUGUUUUAGCUCAUGAACAUAGAAUUGAUUCAAUAUUGAUACCGAGCUAACCCCGAAAAUUGCAGGUCUAUUGCUGAAAUACAUUUGUUUUUAGCUUGAAUACACUUUUGUUGGUUAGUAUCAUCCUUGACUCUUGUGGUUGGGAGGUAGGGUUACAAACACUCAAGUAUACUUCCAAAGAAUGUAGCAUACAUUGUUAAUAUUGACCAUUUCAGUAAUCAACAAAUUGAAACCAACAUUGCAAAGGAGGAUAAGAAUACGAGUAGAUGCAGACCAAGCCAAGGAUGACUAAAAAUUCGCCACUAAGUUCCUGGACCAAUUCCCAUUCCAGCAUGGCACUUCCUACCACAUCCUGUCGACGUCAAAUUUGUUGUAACCAUUUGCACAGCUAUUUCAUUGAAUCCGUCUUAUUUCCAAGACAAAAAUAAUUUAUCUUAGUAAUUAGAAGACUGGAUACGAUCCAAAGACCACAUGUUUGGAUCACAUGACUUGUCACUGAGUUGAAGUUUCCUAAGCAGUUUUUCUUGCUGACGAGACACCAUAACAACACAAAACAAAAGUUUAUUACUUUAGCAGCAAAAGUGAAGGGAUAGUUAACUGUACGUGGUGGAAUAAGGAAGAAAUGAGAGCUAUAGCACUUGCAAGUAGAAAAAGGCCGUCCGAAAAGAUAUGACCUGAUCCACAGCCAACAUUAGCUGAUAUCACUCAAAUGCAGAUUGGAGACAUUUAUUCAAAGCCUCCAAAAAAUGGUAGAAGAUGGACCAUAUGAAUGUGUCUGACUAUUACACAUAUGAGAUGGGAAAUGUUUUCCUGAUAUCACAAUCAUAAAGCAUGAAAGAAUGUAAUGGAGAGACUUAAUCUCGCACCAAAAGCUGCAAUAACCAUAAAUAAUUUGACUUACAAAUUGUGACUAAAAAUAAAGCUUUAAAGAUUUUGCUCUCAACCGUGAGUAUUAACGGCUUCCCAGACUAGAUUCUUUGGAACAGGCUUGGUGAAAUCACGAGCCUGCAAUGCUGCAUUUCUAAGUGUCUUGCACGUCAUCACGUUGGCCUCCCAAAAUGAUGCAGCAUUAUAGGGCAAACCAUGCUUCUUGCAGAGCUCCUUUACAAAAGGUGAAAUUUUCCGAAGUUGGCAUCUGGGCAACCUGGGAAACAAAUGAUGCUCGGUCUGAAAUUGCAAGCCACCAUGAAACCAAUCCAUCCAGGACGGGCACAAAAUAUCAAGAGUUCCACUAGUUUGCUUCUCAAACCAAUCAUGUCCAGUAGGUGGCCCAACAUAAACGCUAGUGGAGAAAUGGUUCAAGCAAAAUUGAACAUGCUGAAUUCCAGUUACCGAGAAACUAGCCACAACAAACAUUAGCCUUUCACCCCAGUUGGGCAAACAAGACACCAGAAGUGGGUACCAAAUCCAAAAUACAAGCAGCCCCAAGAGCUCCUGACCCCUUCGUGGCACGCUUCUCUUGGACGACGACAACAAUAUAAAUGAUUGAGCAAACAAAUUGAUUCUAGCAAAACACAUAACAGGAUAAAAUGUCCAAUGCUGAUUACUAACUAGGAACCUAGCAACUGAAUCAAAAGCCAUCUUCCUCUCAUAAAAAUAAGAAGUGAGUGAAUUGAAAAGCUUGGGAGAUACCGCAAAGAAAGGCAUGUGUUGAAGAUCAGGGUCAAAUUCAAGACUGUUGCAAGCAAUGUGAUGAGCAUUAUGGUUCCACUUCCACCAAGCAAUACUGAUUCCUGCAAGACAAUUCCCACUCAGGAUCUGAGCGAAUCGGUUGAUGCCACGAGUCGUCAUUACCUGAUAAUGCCCUGAAUCAUGCCCAAUCCACCCACUCUGAAUCCAAAGGAACCCCAUCAAUCCACCACAAAUCAAAUGAACCAAAACCCUUUCACAGCAUAAAACACCAUAGACACUCAAACAGAACAGCACUGCCAUGAAGCACAUGCUCAAUAAAACCCCGUGCCCUUUCUGCUCAAACAAUCCCAUUUUGUUAAACUCAUAAACGAGCUUCCUGUAAUCCUUAGACACCUCAGAGACAGAAUAGUCUUUCAGAUAAAACCCAUUAAAGAACUUAUCGAGGAACUUCCAGGCUGUACCUGGAUGAAAUGCUACAAAGGCAUCAGUCGCAUCUUGGCCUGAAAGAUUCAAGAGUGGGAAUGCACCACCUGGAUGUUCUUUCACCCAAUCUGAGACAUCAUAAAUCUUGCCCUGAAUGGAGAUCCACAGAUCCCCUGGUUUGUUAUGCUUCUUGAGCUCAUCAGAGGUAAUGUAGCUCUUAGAUUCAGCCAUAGAUCCAAGAAGGGAACACAAUUAAAAGUCCAAACCUUUUUAGUAGUAAAAUGAGAAAGGGAUCCGAGAAGAACCCUUUUGUUUCUUCUCUUUCCCCCUUUCUUGAACUGAAGAAAAUGCGAAAAAGUAGAAGAAAUUUUUUAGGUCAUUGGAAGAAGGACGGAGGAAGGAUCACUUCUUAGAGCGAAGCGGGGUGAGGCGGAGUGUGAUUGCACAAGUGAAGAUAUCUGAUAUAGGGUGUGGGGAUUUAAGAAGCGCCACAGAAUGCUUUAAAUGGAUAUAUGUCAUGUUCAACAAAAGCAGAGGAGAGUGGGCGUCAGCUGUGCAAAUAACAAAUCAGAAUGGCAUCAUGAUUUACAAAAUCUUUGCCCUUACUAAAUACUACAGAUUACUUGAAAGUGGUAGUAUUUAUUAUUAUUAUUUUUUGUUUCCUUUGAUAUGGCUUGUACAACUUUUCUCAUAAAUUGGUACAAUUAGCUUAUGGACCGAGUGUGUGUGGAUAGGAGAUUAUUUGAAGUAAAAACUGAAACAUUUUUUAUGGUGUGAUAUAUAUAAGAUAAAAAGGUAAUUAAGAAGAUAAAAAUAUGUGUUUAAAAUUGCGUUUGUGAUGCAAGUAAAUAAUAAUAGUUAUUCAAAGUAUAAAAAAACUUUUUCAAUAAAAUUUUUUUUUUACUUGUAUCAUAAACACGUUAUUAAACCCUCUUUUUAAAAUUUUCAACAUUUUUUUAUUUUAGAUGCGUCAUAUAAUAUCACAUCAUGAAAGUAUUAUAAUGAUUAUCUAAAAUAAUGUUUCAAAUAAUAUAUUAUUAUAUCCGAACUAAUACUAAUGCAAUAUUAGGAUACAAAUUCCACCUCAAGAGUUGAUCCAAUAACUUCAUAUUUUUGGAGGUCAAGACAUUAAUUGCGUUCAUGUUAGUGAAGAAGAAGUGAUGGUAGAUUAACAUCUAAUCAAUUCAUUUUCAUGCAUUAAGCUCUCUAUUCGAGAAGGUAUGAAGAUGGAUACUCUUGCAUUAAAUUGAUGUGUGGAGAAAAAUAUCAAUUUGGGAGCUAUAGUAUCAUGGAAACUUUUGAUGGCAUCAUAGGGAGUACUUUUAACAGGAAAGGAUAUCACAAGAACUCAAGAAGUAAGAAGGAGACAUAUUUAGGACUUGUUAAAUCCAUACUUAAAUCGGACUCAUUAUUUGAACAUGUCAAGUGUUACCCCUUAAACAUCAAAACUUUAUAUACAAUACUUACUUAAUUUGGACUCAUAAUUUUUUUUUUUUUUUAAGGAAUUGGUCUCAUCAUUUGAACAAGUGUUACCCCUUAAACACCAAAAUCUUUUAAUACUUUCUCGGGUCUUUGGCUGCUUUAUCCGGAGGUGUUUGCUUCGCAUUUUAAAAAUCAAUAUCAGAAACUAUAAAAAAAAAAAAAAAUCAAUAUCAGAGUCAGGAAGAUCAAACCCUAUAUGGGCAUGGGUAUAGGUUAUCGACAAUCCCCAUGAAAUAUUUGGUUUGAAAGUAAUAUCAUUUUUAUCCUAUUAAGAAUCAAGAUAGAUUUAAGUGUUAAUUUCUUCAAAAACAAGUAUAAUUAUUUCUUCAAAAACAUGAUAAAUUAGGUGGAAAUACAUCAAAUGCCCAUCCAUCAAUUUGAAACCUAAAUAAACUAAGCAAUAAUAAACGGUUUUUCUAACGGAUGUUCGAUAUGCAGUUGUUAAUACAUUUAAAUCAUAGCUAACCUACCGUGUAAAUACAUAUACUAGCAAUUAUUAUCUUCAUUUGUAUCUAUACACUUUUCCUAAUUAAAUUUACAUUUUCAAAAAUUAACACUCGAGCUAUUUCCUAAUGAGUGACCAUUGGAUACUUCUAAUUCUACCGAAUGAUUCACCAAAAAUUAUUGGGCACUCUUCACACAAACCAAUAAUAAAUUGCAACAAUUAACACUUCUAGACUCUCUAUUAUUGAAUGAUUUUGGUAGUCAUCUAGGAACAACAAAUACCCUUAUCAAAUACCCUUUAAAUGAUACACCCCAUCUUAUUAGGGUGACAGUCUCUAACAUGAUCCUUCAUUUUGUAUGGGCGUACACACCAAAAGAUGUAGGUGAGGAUCCAAAACCCCUGCCGAGAUCUGAAACUUGUGUUUGGAUUGUAAUUUUUUUUAAAAAAAUUAUUAUAUUUUUCGUGGACAUAUUUUUUAAUUGUUUUUUUAUUUUAUAUAUAUCAAAUUAUUACAAUAUUUUUUCUAUAUAAAAGGUCCAGAAAAAUACAAUACGAACAAAGUCUUUAAUUUACUGUGAUCCUGUCGAAAUUCGUCCGGAUUUUCUUUGAAAUGCAAGAUUUCCGGGGGCGUUUAAGACGGUUGAACCGUGAAAUUGGUAGGGCGGAGUUGAAUGGUGGUUCGGCGCAGUUUUGUAUGGUUCUGCAAUAACAGGUCAGACUGGUCAGUGACUUAGAAAUGCACGUGGGUGGGGUGGGAGUACGGGACAACGUUGGACUUGCGCGGCUGGCGUCUACAGUUACCUGUUCCCUACUUUUUUGCCACAAAAAGUAUAAGGUUUAUUUAACAAUUUUCCGUCGUUUGGAGUUGGCACGAAUGAUUUCGGGAUAACUUAAUUACGUUCUGUGAUCGUACGUUCAAGUUACCUCUUUAUCGCUUGUGUAUCUUUGGGGAUAAGGUGCACAGACAUAAAAAAAUUAGUCUGAUAAAACUGAAAUACUCCUUAUAUCGAAAAAAAAAUUUAACAAUAUUUCAAAUGAGUAUUCCUUAUUAUACCUAAAUUAUACUACAUGACUUGUUAUGUUAAUAUACACAAUCACAAUGAACACACAUAGGCCUGUCAACGGUCCAGGUCUAGACCCGGACUCGGAUUGGAUCUGUGAAUUUUUUGCGGGUACGGGUAGGAAUUUAAUUCUGUUACCCGGACUCGGAUCCGGAGUCGGAUACGGAAUAUAGUAUUCCGACCCGUAUUAGACCAGCAUUCGGAUAUAAAUGGAUUAAUAAUUUUAAAUAUAUAUAUUUAUCAAUAUAAUUAGAUUAGGGUGAUGUAUUUGAAUAAAGUCAAUUUGAUUUCUUUUCUUAUUUAGUUUUUUUGUAUUAAUUAGAAAUUAGUUUACAAAUAUAUUUUUUCUCAUUUUUUAUUAGAAGCCCGACCCGGAUCCGAAUCCGGAACAUAGAGUAGGAGAUCUGUCGAGUAAAUGGGUCGGAUCCGGUUUCGGAUCCGGUUCCGAUAUGAUAUGUUGGGUCUGGGUCCGAAAUAAUAAAUUCUAGCCCAGAUCCAAUCCGGAUCUGAAACAUAGAGUAGAAGAUCCGUCAAGUAAAUGGGUCGGAUCCGGAUCUGAUAUAAUAUGCUGGGUCCGGAUCCGAAAUAAUAAAUUCUGACCCAGACCCGACCCGUUGACAGGCCUAAACACACACCCCUUACAUAGAACAGAAUAUUGAGGCUAUUUAGGCAGACUGUGUUAUUGAAAUCUACUUAUAGUUUUUUUGUGGUGACGCAAAUUAAUUCGGAAAAUGACAUAAGAAUUACUUUUUUAUUCUUUUAUUUUAAUUCAAAGGAGAUCCUAAAGUUUACAAAGGGAAAAAAAAUAGAAGGGAAGACUUGAGAGUUAAACUAAGGAUGCCAUGGUCUCUAAGUUAAAACUGGGUUGGAUCUUAAAAGGACGUACAGAAUCAUGUAUGUUUAGCAACUUAGCAUUUGCACAUAAUGUUUGGAGCUUUACAAAAGACCAUUUUCAUAAACUAGAAAGCGUUGCGGAUGGCAGCAAACAAACUCUCUUACUAUAAAACCAGGAGAAUAGGCUUUUUGUCCUUUUUUUUGGUUGUAAGUAAAACUUGACGAGUGCAGGUUUUUCCUCUUGAAACAAUUUUAUCACAAGCUCUAAAAUAGUGCUUCAAAAUCAAGUGCUGUCACAAUUGUCCUGAUUUGGUAGAUAUUUGAUGCCAAACCAAAGAUAAUUUUUAGACAAUUAGAGUAAUAGCUGUCUUACCUAAUCAUCCCCGAGAGGAAAAUAAAAACCCAAAAAAAAAAUUUGACUGUUAGAUAUUGUUCAUUAUGGAAAGAAGAACUCCAUCAAGAAUUGGCUCAAAUAAGGUUGAUCUUGAUUCUAUCAUUUUUUUUUUUACGUGUGACAAAUACUUUUGGAUAUCAAAUUUUUUCAAAUAAUAUUUCACUUAUAUCAUAAUCAUAUCUUUAUUUUACAUAUAUUAUAUUAUAAAAAAUAUUAUAAUAAUUAUUUUAAAUAAUAACUCUAUUCUGUCCACACAAACUUACCUAAUUAUAAAAGGCUGUACUGACCAUACAACAAGCUUUGGUUGCAUGGCUGUACUGACCAUACAAAAUUAAAUGACUGCAACUUGCAAGAUGGGAAUAUGCCUCUUGCAUGUGCUUUCCGUCUAUGAAUGAAAAACAUCUGUCCAAAGGCAAAGAAAUUUCGUGGUAGGUGGGAUACAGUGAUAGGAUGGGACAAGAUCUAUAAGUAAUUUUGGCUUUUUAUUGUGUUUGGCACUGGUGUCAAUGUUGAGGGAGGUUUCGUGACAAGGGAGGUUGAGUGUCAGUCAUGAAUCUUGCCGGGGGACACGAUUAUGCAAAAUGAUUUCCUUGUACUAUGUUAAGGCUUGACUAAUCAUUUGCAAUUGACCUACAAAAACAUCAAAGGUAACUAAAAAUCACCUUAGACUGUGCUUAGCAGUAGAAUUUCAAUUAACUCUAAACGUUAAUCUAAUUUUGUUGUAUGAUUUCAAUUAUUGAAAAAAUCAAGAAAUUUGGUAAGGCAGUGCUCGAGGGAGGGGAUGGAUCAUCCAUCCCACAUUAACAGAUCGUGGAUAGUUACCCUGGAUUUAAAGUUCUCAACUGCACUUUCUCAUCAAGGGAAUUGUGGGUUCAGUUCCUCAAAGUCUCCAAGUUAAAUUUUAUGGUAUUAUAUUAGUAUCUUAUUGAUAUACUUUGCCGUACGUAGUUUAGGGUUGUUUUCACUUCAAUAUGGUAACAAGAAGAAGAAGAAGAAGAAGAUGAGGAGGACGAGGAGAAGGAGAAUUGUUGCAACUUGCAAAGCCAAUGAGCUGGUGGUGCUAAAUCAAAUAGUUUAUAGUUCUUUUUUUUUAAGUAGAUUUUUUUUUUAUUUUCUCAAACGCUCGUGUGUUUUCUUUAACUUGAAAAUUUGAGGUCAUCAACCAGAAUUGUCACUCGUGUGACCUUCAACCUUUUGGGUAAAUGAUAUAAACAUUAUUGAAGAUUAAUAUUAGUGGCUGUGAGAGUUCAGAAAUGAGAAAUCCUGAUGGAGACUAGAUACCAAAUGACGGGGGAAUAAGUACGAUUGUUAGUACAAGCGUUCUUGAAUAAUGUAAUUAUUAUUGGGAGAAUGGAUGGGUUGGGUGGUUUGAAAGGAAGGAACGUAAGUGAGAGAUUUCGAAUUCAAGCAUUCACGCUUACACUAAAAGGACAAAAAAAAAAAAGAAAAGAACAAUGUAAUUGUUAUUAAUUAAACACACUGUAAUGCACUAUAAACUAUAUGUAUAAUUUUAUAACAUAGAUAUUAUACUUACUAAUGAGUCCUUAGAUUUGAAAAGUUUUGAAUCGUAAAACGUUAUCAAAAAGCAAUGGAGACACAAAAGGUGCAUUUGUCAUCAUAUUAGUAAACACUUAUCUAUUAUUUUGUACAUUAAUUGAUUAAACUUUCGCUAAUAUGUUUAUAACAUCGUGCUAACACCAUCCAGUUUUUGAAUUCCAGUUAAACCCCCUUCGCCUCUGACUCCUAAGCUUCACCGAUUCGCCUCCUAGUCCAUGAUUAAAAACAUAGGCUCACACUUCACACAAAGUAUUUUCUUUUCUGUAAACAGUGCUUCAAUAUACUUUUAGUAAAAUUAAACAUAUUGUUUGCUCAUUCAUUUCUUUUCUUAUCACCCUAUACUCAUCUCCUUCCUCCUUCCCCACCAUUUUUUAUUUAUUAUUUAUUUUAUCAAGAAAAGGGCGAGAUACAAAAAGUACCGGAAAUUCUAAUUUCAAGGGUCUCAACCUCUCUUCCCCCGGCCAAUGGGCGCUGUAAUAGAUUAACCAUCAUGAUACUUGGUAGUAUUUAUUAGUGAUUCAAAUUUUAUUAAAUAACUGAUGUAGAGGAGGAGGGAUGAAUUGGAUGAUUUGGACGGAGGGAAUAUAGGUGAGAAGUUUUGGAUUCAAGUCUUCUUAUUUACACUUAAAAACAAAAAAUUGGUGUAAGAAAAGGUGGAAUCUAUUCCAGAAGAAGUAGAAUUUUAGAAAAAUAAAAAGUAGUGGAACUAACAAAAUUGUUCGGGCCAGCCCAACCAAAGAUGAGAAGACAACAAUUCAAAAGUGCUUGGGCCUAUCGACUAAGUAAAGUGAAGGAAUUCGAGGGAACUGUCUUUCACAGUUGGUUUGUUGUUGUUUGGAAAAAUGAUGAGUAGGAUGAUUCCACUUCUGAUCCUCGGCCCUCCUCACUCUUCAAAUCCUGACAAAUUCGUGAUUUAGACACAAGGAAAAUGGCAGCGGAAAAACCACAGCCGGUUCAAGUUCCCUACUGCCAGGUUUGCACGUUACCUGCAGAGUACUGCGAAUUCGGGCGGGAUUUUGAGAAAUGCAAGCCCUGGUUGAUCCGCAACGUUCCCAAUCUCUACCCACACCUCCUCCAAGGUUGCACUAAUCCUUUUAAUUUUUUUCCCCAAUAAACAUUUUCUCUUUUUUAUGCUAGAAUUAAAUACCAUACUUGCUCACCAGUUUCAUUUUUUUUUUUUAAAUUUUAAUUCUUUUGGGGGGUUUUGUUUGGUAGAGGCGAAUGAUAAAGAAGCAGAGAAGCUAUCAGAGCAGCUUCAAGGGUCUGGUAUAUCCCCAGCUGGAUCACCAGCUGCAACCGCUGGUGAGUUUUUUUUUGUUUUUUAAUAUACUCGUGAUCAAGCACAUUUUUGAGAUUUUGUUUUGUUUUUAUAUUUUAAGCAAUUGCUAAUUGGAAUCUGUUAUAAUUUAGAUUACUAGAAUGCUGAAAGUGGAAAGUUUGAAAAAAAAAAAGAAUGUUUAAGGUAUAGAUAUCUGUAUUGUUUCAGCCAUUGUUAUGCAUCUGCAUCUUUCAGCAAAUUUUUACAACAGGAAAGAAGUGAUUUUUUUUUCCUGUGGAAAAGCUUAUCAGAGAGAGAUGAAUUGGCAUCUUAUUGAAUCAUAUGUAGAAUGAAAUUUCUAUGACAAGCAGAUUAAUACCUGAAACCAUUUUGCCUUCAAAGUUUAGUUUCUAAGUGAGCAGCUUGUAAUCUGGCAAACUGUAUAUCUAAGUUGUAGCUGAAGAGUAUCUUUACCAGACUAGAGAUGUCUGUAUUGAUUCUGGUUAUACUUUACCAAGUUUCGGUGCAUUUUAGGGGAACCUUCAGCCAGCAAGCAAGAAGAUGUCAAACGACUUCCUGGUGGAAAAAUUAAGAGAAAGGUAAGUCUUAUCUUCUAAGCACCGUCAGUUUUGGUUGUUUAGCUAGCUGGCUAAAAUGUUUUGGCAAGAAGAAAGUUUUUCAUAUCAAUAGCUAAUCUAUGAAAUAGGGUGCUGUUUCUUUGGUUAGAUAAAUAAUUUUCAAUAUUAAGAUGCGAAUUGUACAUGUUCAGGAAGGUUGCAUAACAAACUACAUGCAGGAUUAUAUAUGAAUCUGGCAUAUACUAUUGUUUACAUGUCUAUAUGGUGGAAAUUUUGACAUAUAUGUGAACAUCAGUUAAUUUCACACCCACAUCUAUUCAUUUUAGUCAUGGAUAUCCAUGGCUUCAAAUUCUUCAUGCUGGGAUGUUUUCAUGCUCACUUGUUUUACACUAAGCCUGAAUUCUGAUCAGAGUGUGUAACCACGUUAAUUUGUGGUGUUGUUUGGCUUUAUGUCAUGACUUUUAUGUGGUUUUGCUUGAUAUGAACAGCACAUUGGGUGGUAGUGACUCAUGAAAACGGGGAUUUAAUGUAUCUGAAUCGACGGCAUACGUAAUGAAGUUUUUUUUGAAAAUCUAUUUUAAUGCUUUAUUAUUCAAAUUUUCUUUUCGAGCUAAUAAUCCAAAAUGUCUUCUUGCAAUUGCUACCUGAUCUGUUUAUUCACAACAAUUAGUGAUACAUAAACUUUGUAAAAUAUUAGAGCAAAUCAGUUGUUACUUCCCCCCCCCCCCCUUCCUCCCAAAAAAAAGGGAAAAAAAUCCUUCUUGUACUUUAUUGUUGUUUGGUCGAUAGAUUCCCAUUACUCAGAUACAGUAUAUGUGCAAAUGAUGGAAUGCUGUUUCUGUUAACACUUUUGUGUUUUUUGAUGCUUGACAUUUUGGCCAUCAAGGAUGGUUAAGUGAUGAUGAUUCUGCUGGAAAACUAACAAAGACUGACACAUGCUGAUGGAGAUAUUUUGCAGGAGAAACAAGAAGUUGUUAUUGAAAAGAUUGUGCGGAAUAAACGCAAAUGUAUCACCACAGUAAAAGGAUUAGAACUAUUUGGUAAGUAUGAUGCUGAUUUCAUUCUAUGAAAACUUGAAAUUAAUUUGAUGUGGAGUUCAGACAUUGUUAAUACAUGUUGCAGGUAUUAAACUUAGUGAUGCUUCAAAGAAGUUUGGAAAGAAAUUUGCUACAGGUGCAUCUGUAGUUAAGGUAAUAGCUAAUUGGGUGAUGCAUUUGUAGCAUUAUAUGUGUUGGUUGACUGUACCAUUUGUUGCUGGUUGUAGGGACCGACUGAGAAGGAUCAAAUUGAUGUUCAAGGAGAUAUUGCUUAUGACGUAGUAGACUUCAUUAGAGAAACAUGGGCUGAGGUAACUUCCUGAGACCGCUUCUCUUUUAGUUGGAUUUUGAUUCAAAAGACUUGAUUUUGCGAAAUAGGAAGACACUUUUGUGGUAGAAAAACAUUGACAGUUAAAUGUACUCCUGCUGAAUCAGAAGGCUAUAUAAAUUGUUACUGGAAAUUGAUAAAGGCGCAUAAGGGUUAGUCCUUGCUCCAUAAUGUUGUAUAUGACAGUUCAUUUGAUAUUCUCGUAUGUUUUUUGUUUAAAUGUUGAAUGUGCUCGUAGCAUGCCGCUAGUCUGUUUUUCGUUUUUGGUUCUUGUAAAAUUGCAUCAACUGUGAGAAUUAUUUAAAAAGGAAUACAAUUCCUGAAAAUCCAGGUAUUUUUGUUCAGUCUAAAUUAUUCUCUUUAUGCUGUGCCAUUCCAGGUGCCAGAAAGCGCUAUAUUCUUUAUUGAGGAUGGGAAAAGGGUAUCUGCAGCUUGAGCUUUUAGUUUGUGCCAUGAGGAGUUGAUGCUAAAUUUUGGUCGCAUGCUAGCAGAGAUUUUGAGUUGAUGACAUGCUGGAAAGCAAUCUCUCUUUUGUGCCUGUUAUUAGGCCUGUCAAUCGGGCCUAAUGAACCGGGCUUUGAUGAGUUCAAACUCAGCUCAUUUAAUUUGAGACAUUUUCGGGCUUCGGGCUAUGAGUUUCGGGUUCGUAAAUGUGAAGCUCAUACUCAGCUCACAUAAUAUUCGGAUUGUGAGCCUUAAUCGGGCUUAGCCCAAGCUCACUUAUUACUCCUGAAUUUUCUUAAUAUAAUUGCUAUAACUAUUAAGUUGUAAAACUAAUUUAACAUUUACAAGACUAUAAUAUUAAAACUAAACAUGAACAAAUAAUAGUUCUUAAAAAGUAUAUAAACCAAAAUUUUUUCAACAAUAUUUAUAUGUAAUCCGUUUAAAAUGCAUGAAAAAUAGUAAUAAAACAUGCAAUCAUAAGCCAAUACAUCUUUAAAAGUUGAAACUUUUUUUUAUAAUCUUGUGAUUUAAAUCCAAAUAUGCUUGAUGAUUUUUGUGUUUGUAGACCAAAAAAAAAAAAUCAACCAAUAAUAUGCCAAUACAAAAAGUUACUCAACCAAUAAGAAAAAUUAGAGAUUUAGUUAUGCAUUACUAAUAUUGGCUCUCAAGAAAGUUCAUGAAAGAGUCUUUAGAUGUGUUUUUGUGUUUUGUAAUUUAUAUAUAUAUUUAGUAUUUAGCAAAAAUAUAUUUGGAUAUAUAAUUAUACAUAAUAUCAAAAUAUAAAUAUUAUAUAUAUAGGUAAUUAAAGGGCCGGGCCUAUAUCGGGUAUGAGCCUAAUAAGGCCCAAGCUCGGCUCACAUUUAAUUCGGAUCUAAUUUUUAGGCUCAAGUUCAGACCGGCUCACUAAAUGAUCGGGCUCAUCGGGCUUUCUGUCGGGCCGAACGAGCCGAGCUCGGGCUGGCCCAGCCCCAUUGACAGUCCUACCUGUUAUGACAGUUAAUUCAGAUGUCAAAAUUUGCAAGAUAAUAUCUACUUUAGGUCUAGGUAAACGACUUACAAUUACAUUAGCCCCUCCAUUCUUCGAUAGAGAUGUUAAAAUUUGCAGUUGGGGUUUAUAUACAGAGCUUUGUACAGGAAGAAGAAGAGAAUCCAAUGUACCGGUGUACCAUUUUUGGAUAAAACAUGGUGUCGUAUUUUUCAUAGGAACGUGUUCCUUCUUAGUUAAAACUUUGAAUGUCUUAAACAUGUAACUAACCAUCAAGAACCCAAAUUUGUACAGAUCGAUAUUUCUCAGCACAGAAAAAGAUAAACCUUAGCUGACAAUUGAUCUAUUUGGUCUUCAAAGAAUCCCUUCCUGCUAAUGGAUUUUUUGUUGCUGCUGGUAUUUGCUGCUGCUGCUUGGUAAUGCAUAUUUUCUGUUGCUAAAAACCCCUAAUUUGGAAAUUCUACGCCAAAUCUAAGGGAAUUCCUUCUAGUUGCUAUUGUUUACCUGUUAAUAUUAUUGUUUUGGGAAUCACAUUUUCGGCCUUCGAUUUCUUUGUGUAAGUUCUGAGCAAAAGAACGGACGCAAGGUUUCUUUUGACAGAAAGCGGUGGCUUGUAACUAGGGGUGCAAACGAGCCGAGUCGAGUCGAGCUUUGGCCUUAUCGAGUCGAGCCUUAACUUAAUUUCAUCGAACUCGAGCUCGAGCUCGACGAGCUGGUAAUUUUCAAACUCGAGCUCGAGUUCGACUCGAUUCGAGCCCAGCUCGAGCUCGAGUUCGAACUCGAAAAAAAUAAAAAAUAAUUAUUUAAUUUUUUAAAAAAUAAAUAAAAUAAUAUUUUUUCUUAAUAAAUAAUAAAAUAUUAAGGAUAUUUAUGUAAUUUUACUAUUAAAAAUAAAAAUAAAAAAAAUAAAUAUAUAUAUACUCGAGCUCGCGAGCCUAACGAGCUUAAUGUUUUGAGCUCGAGCUCGAGCUCGACUCUAGCUCGAGCAGCUCGAGCUCGACUCGAGCUCGACUCGAGCGGCUCUAGAGCGGCUCGAUUCGUUUGCACCCCUACUUGUAACUCGAAUAUAAUGUUCAAAAUAGAUGAAAGACCUCAGCAGAGUAUUGGGUUCGACUCCGAGUGACUAUUCUCAGCAGUAUCAUUGCUGCUGCCUCAAGCAAUGAAGUGUGGUUGAAAUUAUUUGAAGUCUAGUCGUGUCUUGCGAACCGCCAAAACCUUUCUCUGUAGCUGGGAAUCGGGGUCAGCAAAGCAACAAAAAUUUCGUUACUAUAUUUCGCGGCCAGGAUCAACGAGCCAAAUGUUACAUUCAUCCAUGCAGUAAAGUUACCUUGUUUGAUUGUCAUUUUUAUUUUAAUUUUUUUAAAAUAUUUUUUAUGAACAUAUUUUUCAAUCGUUUUUUUAUUUCAUACAUAUUAAAUUGUUACAGUACACUUAAAAAAAAAAAGCAAUUUGAAAGGGCUCGCAAUUGAAGGUUUAAAUCAUACUCUUUUUAUUAAAUUUACCUCCUAGCACCGAAGAAAUAAAUAAGAACUUUGGGGGAAUAAGAAGAUCAGAUCAAAUCAAAUCAUGAGAAAGUCAACAAAAUGAGAAACCCAGGAAGCUCAGUAGCCACCGCCUUUUCUGGUGGGGUGGGAGGUCAGUGGUUCAACCCUUGUCUCCCAUCAAAUUGUCUGUUUCUUAUGGACAACUCGGUUAAUCUCAGCAAUCCUCCUUAGGAGCUGGUGUCUAGUGCCCGCAAGGGUCCGAGUCCUGUAGUUAUCGUGUUCGGGGGGAUGGGGUCUCUCCUUCCUGACCAAAGUGAGAUUAGUCGGGCCCGUAAAAAUUGACCGGAACACCCACUCCGUCAGCAAAAAAAAAAAAAAAACCCAGCAGGAAGGUUUGGAAAAGGUAAGGGUACAAAUGUAACUUAACAUCUAGCAUUAUACUAUCGAGCAUAUCCAGAAUAUCCCCUUGAGCCAUUGCUAUUGAUGCUCCCGAAAGGACGGACCAGUAGUAAGUACCUUGAAAAACACAGCCGAAGGAAAAUCCAUCCCCCUGGAGACUUGAGUAGAGCUCGUAGACACUGAUGUGAGUGAUCAAUUUUCAUCUGGAAGUUGGAUUCUUGACAGACCCUUUCGGAUUUGCUCUCUGAUUCUUCUGUCGUAUUAAGGUAAAUAAUUGUCCAACUCGACUAAUUCUCAUCAAUCUCUCUGGCUCUGAAGUUUCGGUAGCAUGCCUUUUGCUGCCGUUGCUCUCUCUCUUCUCUUUCUCUCAAUCUGUUUAUGUAGUCCAAUUUUUGCUGGUCUGUGAACCGUAAUUUUUGUAGCACAGCUUGGUUAAUUCUUGACUUGGAUAGUAGGCUGAAGACUUGAAAAAAAAAAAGAGAGUAAAGCAGGGGUCUUUUGUUCUUGUGAUGGACUGGGCAUUCAAAUAGCAAUGGACUAGUUAAAGAAUGCAGAACUGUUGGAAAAGAAGUAAAAGGCUUACUCAUUAUGCAAAUUUUCAUUUUGCUUUUUACUAAUCUCAGCGUUGCAUUUGAACUUUGGAGUUGGUUAACUUAAAAAGUUGAAUAAAAUGGCUUGUUUUUUAUCACAAUGAUUCUUUGUCAGUCUGCUUCUUGUAUUUAUAUAGAGCAGCAAAGUAGUGACUUCGAAGAUUGAUUUCGAGUUUAAGUACAAACUCUGCAGGUUUAAUACAGUUAAGAGUACAAUUGGCAGCUACUAUGGCGCACUUGCUUUCUACCUCUUGUUCUUUGAAUAUCCCUCCGAGCUGCAAAAAGCCAAAAUGCUUGUUAGUGAAUCAGUGUUCAUCAUCGGGAUUUCCCGCAUCUUUUAGUUUGCCAACUUCAACCUCUCGUUCGAAAAUGCUCAUCCUGCAUGGAAAAGGGCCAAAAAGAUCCUCCACCAUCUAUGCUAUGGCUGUUUCUCUGAGUCAAGAAUCCAAAGCUCAGCCUGGCUCUAGCUUUCCUCAAGAAACCGGUGAAGCUGGUAGUCCAAAGAAGGUCAUGGUUAUUGGUGGUGAUGGUUACUGUGGUUGGGCUACUGCACUCCAUCUAUCAAACAGAAACUAUGAAGUUGCUAUUGUUGACAACCUUGUUCGUCGCCUUUUUGACCACCAGCUCGGUCUUGACUCCCUCACACCUAUUUCGUCUAUCCAUAAUCGUAUCCGUUGUUGGAAGUCCCUUACUGGCAAGGAUAUCCAACUUCACAUCGGGGAUAUAUGUGACUUUGAGUUCCUGGCUGAGACUUUUAAGUCAUUUGAACCUGAUGCUGUUGUCCACUUUGGAGAGCAGAGAUCUGCUCCUUACUCCAUGAUUGAUAGGUCAAGAGCUGUAUUUACCCAACAGAACAAUGUCAUUGGGACACUUAAUGUUCUGUUUGCCAUAAAGGAAUAUAGAGAUGAGUGUCACUUGGUGAAGCUUGGAACCAUGGGAGAGUAUGGGACCCCAAACAUAGACAUUGAGGAAGGUUAUAUUACAAUUACUCAUAAUGGAAGGACAGACACUCUGCCUUAUCCCAAGCAGGCAAGUUCUUUCUAUCAUUUGAGUAAGGUUCAUGAUUCCCAUAAUAUUGCAUUUACUUGCAAGGCGUGGGGAAUCCGAGCCACUGAUCUAAACCAAGGAGUAGUUUAUGGUCUGAGAACAGAUGAGACUGCAAUGCAUGAUGAGCUAUGUAAUAGAUUUGAUUAUGAUGGAGUUUUUGGAACUGCGUUAAAUAGGUUUUGUGUUCAGGCUGCUGUCGGUCAUCCACUUACUGUCUAUGGCAAAGGGGGCCAGGUAUUUUCUCCUUUCAUGUCUCUGUCACAUUAAUCAUAUGAUAUUUCCUGCAGAACUGGAGAUGCUUCUCAGCUGCAAACUGCGAGUAGUUAUAUUGCAAUAGGCACAGUCUAAUAUCUAUUUCUUUUCCUGUGUGAAAACAUCAUGAAUCGAUAGAUGGGUAGUUCCUACUGUUAUUAGUCACUGGAAACAACAAAUUUAAACUCUUAGCACAUUCAGCAAAUAAAACUGUGCAACACAUAUUGCAUAAGCCUCCUCCAUCGGAUUACAUGGGACCUAAUAGGUUUGUCUGUCACGUGCUUCAUAGAUCUACAUAUUGAAGCAGUAUUAUGUUCUGAAAUGGUAUAUUAAUUGACAAAGUCUUGAGUACCUAGGUAAGAUUAGUUUUUAUAGUUCACAUUUUUGGUAUGGUUUUGCUAGAAGGCAGCUGAAGCUUCCUCUUGAAAUCACUUAUAAGUCCAUCCCUAUUUUAGGCUAGUUAUCUGGAACUUCCGAGGAAAGUAUGUAAUAACAUGAACCUGCCAUUAUAAUGGAUAAUAACCGAGUUGCUGCCUGUUGUCUCGAGAAGGUUAAAUCUGGAUAUUGAACGUAUAGUUAUGCUGAUUUGGAGAUUACAUGACCUAGGUCCAAAGUACUCUUGGCUAACUACCUUCUGAACUUGGAUGUAAAUUGAUGCCCAUAGACGAUAGUUUGAAAUCUGCUGAUAUGAUGUUGGGUUUGGAUGGGAAAAAUGAGUUUUUUUAUCUGGAUUGCCAUAAUCUUUAUGCAGCCUCUGUAGGGUAAGCCACUGCUGGAGAAGCUACUCCAGAUUCCUUUCUUAUUUUUUAAAUUUUCUAAAUUUCUUUGGCUGAGACUCACUGAAGUAUUCUGACUAUAGGGCUUGAAUUUGGAAAUGCAUCAUUCUGAUGUUAAUAGGAACUAGGAAGUGCUUUUUGUUUUUGGCUGCAUAAAAAAAAAAAACGAAGGGUGUGGCACUUGAAGCUAGGGUGGUUUUGCAGUCACCAACUCACUCAAGUGCUUCAAUCGAUACUUCUAACUUUAUUUCAUCUUCAUCCAUGUUCUUUUGUGAUCUACUGAAUAUUUGUAAUGCAUUCUUUUUGUACAAUGCAGACCAGGGGAUAUCUAGAUAUAAGAGACACAGUUCAGUGUGUUGAGCUUGCAAUUGCUAAUCCAGCACAGAGAGGAGAAUUCAGGGUCUUCAAUCAAUUCACGGAGCAGUUUUCUGUCAAUGAACUUGCAGCCCUUGUCACGAAAGCUGGAGAAAAACUUGGCAUUGAGGUGAAAACAGUAUCUGUGCCCAACCCCAGAGUAGAGGCAGAGGAGCAUUACUAUAAUGCCAAACAUACAAAACUCAUUGAGUUGGGUCUCAAGCCCCACCUUCUCUCUGACGCUCUUCUUGACUCGCUGUUGAACUUUGCCAUCAAGUAUAAGGAUCGUGUUGAUCCCAAACAGAUAAUGCCCAGUGUUUCUUGGAGAAAAAUUGGUGUCAAGCCAAAAACUGUUGCAGUAUAAAAGAGUGUUGAAUGGUACUAGUUUCAGUACUGAUUGUCUACUAUUAUACUGCUGUAACCGUUUCUGAUGGGGUGUUGUAUCUUACUGAACUCCUUGCAUAUUGUCGGCAUUAGCAUCCAGCAGCCUUCCGACUGUAAAUUUUGGUAGGACGUAGAAAACUCUAGCAGUAACUCCAUCAUCCCUGUAAUGUCAGUAACCUAGAAGAGUCUUUGGUGUAUCACGUUUAUUAAUUUUCUAGAUGAAUAAAGUUGUUUUCUAAAUUUGUUGAAAAUUGAACAAAUGCCCUAUACAUGCGACUACAAUCUUAUACUCCAAAAAUUUUUCCUGUCUUCGACAGAUGGGGGGACAUGUAUGAAUACUCCUUUCCUUGACGAUGAAAAUACAGCCUACGGCAGAACAAGCAUCCGGUUGAAAUACAUAAUCGAAGUGCUUAGCUGUUCUGUUGAUUUGAGUUGGUGGAUCUUGUUUAUAUUCAUAAUGCAUAUGACAUGAAUUGCUUGUAACUGGUAUUGAGAAUCAUAAAGCAAAACUGAAUACUAAAUUUGAAUCUUCGACUCACUGAGGAAAAAACAUAUGAAAGAGAUGGUUCAUAUAUUUUAUCUUCUGCACAGCGUUUUUGUUUUUUUGACAUAUUGUGCUGUAACAUGUUUUUCAGUAAACUACAGUCCAUGUACUAAUCCCUAGUUCUUAAAGACCCUAACUGCAUCAUUAUCCAUCGAGGUAGUCUUCAGCUAUCACCGUUGGUUGGUACCAUGAGGGGGGAAUCAAUGUUGUCAUCCAGGAACCAUGUUACGGUUGGUAUGAAGCAACAGAGUCAGACAUGUAACUGGAUUCUCUUAAAAUCCAUUUGUCCAGAACCAUAAUCACUAUCCUCGUAUCAGAAUCGGGAAUGGAUAAAUCUAUGCACUCUUCUGCAUUCUGUAAGCCCAUUCGUUACAAAAUCCAGUACAACUGAAGCCAAUUCAUGUUGAUGCGAAGUGAAAUAAUGAUCUGCGCCUUCAAAAAUGUGUAGUAUAUGAUUAGGUAUGUGCUUUGCAAACUCCUUGGCAUCACUGACAGGAACAAAUUCAUCCACGGAACCUUGAACUGUCAACACCCUACAUACACGUACAGAAUAUGGAAAGAUAAUGAAAAUAUGUUUCAUAACGAAGAUCCUGAUAUAGAAUACUCUUCAAAAUUGAAUUGAUAACAACAGUUCAAUCAUAAUUCGAUAAACAAGAAUCACCAAUCCCUACCUGCAGUUUCUGUCGAUCUUUUGGCAAGCUGCACGAGUAUCAGUUGCUAGACGGUCCAUCAAACUUUCCUUAGAUACACGAUACUUGGUCUUUCCUACAUAGAAAUACCCCAUGUGAGACAUAACUUGGCUCGAAGGCAAUUAUUUAUUUCCUUACCUCUCAUACACAAUUUUUCCAUAAGUGAUUUCUUUCUGGACAAUACAAGGAAACCAACAUGCAGCACUUGAGUACAAAACCAAACUCAUACAAGAAGAUGAAUCACGGUCUUAGCUACCCCUUCUGUUCUUGACGUCAAUAAAUCCAUUCUGCUCAAUUUUCUCCAGAAAGUCUUUACCCAAGCGACCUUCAAUUCCUCGCUCAAGAUUGAAGCGGCCAGCGAUAUUGACAAUAAUUUGUAUGUCAUUAUCCCUUGAAGCAUACAACAGCACAGCAUUUCCUCCUAAAAAAUCUCAACUGAACAGCUUGUCAGGUGACUGGAAGGAAUCUAGAAGUUCGGACAGUAAAUCAAUGUUUGAACUUAGUCGAAUAGCUUAUGUACCUUUACUAUGCCCGACAAGUGCAGCUACAAAACAUUUCUCUUCCUGGAAGUGUUGAAUUACUGCACGCAAGUCAUCUGCUUCUCUAUGGUAGUUACCAUACUGAAAUGAUCCUUCACUUUCUCUGGGAAGCAAGAAUACCACAUGUUUGUCAUGAAUGAGUUCGUACAAAAAUCAACUAAAGAAAAGAAUGUGGAGAUAGCUUUUUGUGCUCAAAUGAAGAAAUAUUGUCUUCUUCAACUCUUUUACAAGCUUUUGCACCAAUCUUUGGCUAUGUAUUGGCUCCAACCAGCUUAAGUUCUAAUAUGUAAAGGUUUGAGAAGUGAGUGCCCUACUACUUUGCAUCAAAGAAAAUGAAAGGCCUGUUAGAAAGAAAAUCAAAGAAAAAUUACUUAUCUAGUUCCAUUUUACAAGCCUUUCUGCUAGGUACUUCUAUUUAGAUCUAUUUACAAGGUUGAUCAAACACUUGUGAAAAGCACUCAGGAACUAUGUGACAGUGAUCAGAAGUAAGAUAAGCAUAUACAUGACAACUCUCAAGAAAGGUUCCUAUAACAAACUAAGCAGACUGUCAUUUACUAAUUGCACAGAAACUUUGACUAAAUGUUCAAAAUUCAUGAUUUGAAGGGUGGACAGUAUGUAAAUUACACUGCAUUUACACAAGUUAAUAUUGUUUCCCUUCUUUAGCCGUCUUGGGUAAUGUUCCUCUCAAUCUUUUACUAGCACUAGUAGGUAAGAUCGCCCCUAUCUUGUGUUGCAUUACACACCUUGAAGAGUUUGAUUAAACAUAUCUACAAAAUGACAAUAUAGAAGUAAACAUUUCCAAGAGUUUCCCCAUAUAUAUUUUGUCCUACAAGAUCCUCUUCAGAAAAGUAAAGCAAGCAUCAUAUAAAAAAUUAGGGAAAUGGUAAAUGUUAAAAAAGACAGAAUGUACUUGAUCCUUUGUACUCUGAAAAUCUGCUAAAAGGAUCAUUCCAUAGGAUGAAGAGGGAACAUAAGUAUACAGCCAAUUUAUGUGCAGGAACCCAAAUCUGGAGGGCAAUAUUAAUCUCUAUCUUCACACCUAAUUUUCACUGAAAAGGGUCUCAGAUUGAAGAUAUAGUACAAUUUUAUUCUUAAAUUUUUUCUUCUCUUAGACCAUUGUUUGAAGAGGAUGUGUCAAAUUUUAAUCUAAACAUGCAUUUUUUCUCAAGAUGUCUGAUGUCCUGACUGGGUCAAGAACAAAAAUUUUGGUGAUAUUUCUGAAGAGACAUGUCGGGAGGAGUAGCGUGUCAGUGGCUAGUCACUUACCCAUUCCCAGCAAAAUCAAAGCGGAAGGCACUAAUUCCUUCUUUUUCAAAAGCAGCUGCUAGAUUCACCAUGGGAAUGCGAUCCUGAAGUUUAUGAGAAGGGAACAACAUUAAUGGAUUGAAUGAUCAAGGUAGUCCUUAGCAACAAAUAUACUGUAGCAAUCAAAAAGUAAUGAUACAAUGAAAUUGAUUUAGAAAUGGGAUCUUCCUGAUGAUCAUACAACAAAGUGCUUGUAACAAAAUACAGAAAAAAAGACACUUCAGGCUCCCAACACAUACUUACAAGAACAUGUUACCUCUCCACUGUUACACACUUACAAAAAUUUUGAAGAUUAUAAAAACUGUAUGUGAUUUGAGUGUAUAAUAUCAGGGAUAUAAUAAGACCAGGCGUUUAUGUUUUAGACAAGUUCAGGCAGGCAGGAAAAUAGACUUUUUUUUUUGGAGCAUGGGACCCGUCAACAUUCCUUCUUCAGAAGUUUUGGCGAAUGCCAUCUGUAAGGAGGGAUGCAGAUAAAAUGUUUGUGCAUAUGACAUGCAUCUAAAAAAAAGUUUUGUUAUUUUCAAUUCAUCUACAGCACCAAAUGGGAUGGAGAUUGCAAAAUUUUUGCAAAGAUGCUCAUCAGAUAAUGCUGAAAAUGAGAUUGCAGAUAAUUCCACCAAGUAAAUAAAGAAGCAAACAGAGCAUUAGAGUGGAGAACUACCAAAAUAUAGAAAACUUUCUCAUCCUAAAACAUCCAGUUAUAGAGAUGGCAAACACCAACCUUUGAAGAUCUAAAUCCAUGACAGAUAAUCACAACCUCCUUCGACCCCGUUUCAUGCAAUAUCCCCACAAGCUUCUCACCAUAUCUGUUCUGUAUACGUACUCUCUUUUGUUCAUGGGUCCCUGCCAAGAAGUUAACAAAGAAAUGAGUCCUGAUCACCUCAAUAGGUCACCUAAAUCCAGCAAGUUGCCAACUUUUAGGGGAUCAUCACUGACAAGUGAAUUAACUGAAGAACUCUGUAUCAAACAUGUCUCGCUAUAUGCACCGGGACCAAUCCCAAAAGAGACCCUGAUAAAAGAGCGAGAGAGAUAAAAGAGACCCUGAUAAUAUUUUUUUUUGCAAAAUUGUGGGAAUUCCCCAUAAAUCAAGAAGCCAAUAAUCAGAACCAAUUCCAGCACGCAAAAUUACACAAGAAACCAGGAAUAGCUAAAAGAAGAUAAUUCAUUUUGUAUAGAACCCAUAAUUUGUACAAAGUAGAAAAUGCUACGGAAGCCGUGAUCACCAGCAAAUUUGAUAAUGUUUGAACAUUUUCUUGAAAGGUUCUGCAAAAAGCAAUCAACUUUCUGAUUGCCCCCUUCUUCUUGUACCCCAGUCUCUCAAUUGUACUAUAUAGUAUCUUUUAUUUCUUCACUUAUUUUUGUAUUGGUGUGUUUACCUUACACGAGAAUAUUAAUGGACCUACCCGGCUGGUGGCUGCUGUCGUUGUGGUGGUGAUGGUGCUCUUUGCCUUCGUGGACUGCCAUUUUAGCUCCUGUAUUUGACCUUUCUGGAUUACUACAAUGAUUCAACUAUACUGCUUUUCUGCUCCUGCAACUUUUCUUUUUUUAUUUAUUUAUUAUUAUUAUUUUGGACAACCUUGCAGGACCCAUCGCUUACGAGCAAAAUAACUACCCUUGUUUGAAAAAACAAAAAGGGAAAAUUUUUUUGUAUGUACACAUGUUUAUGUGGGAUGAAGCGAUACAACACGAGUUGGAGGAAACCUACCUAAACUAAAAGGAUAGAAAGAGAUGGGAAUUCGAACAUAAUUUUUUUUUUUAUAUCAUAAACACGUUUUUUAACAUAUUUUAAUAUCUAUUUAUGUCAUAUAUAUUGUAUCAUUAAAAUAAGUACUACAGUAUUAUUCUAAACUUAUUAAUAAAUCAUUUCUUUGAAUGGUAUAACAUCUACCAUGUUCACGUAAAAGUGAGUUUUUAUAAGAGUGAACGCUUGAAAUAAGCGUUUUUUUUAUAUAAGUGUUGAAAUUCACUUUUUUUAAUUUCAUUUACUACUAAUAUGGGAGAGAAGUUUAAACAAGUAUUAAUUAAUUUUGGGGCAAGAAUGAGUUGGAUAGUUCAAAAGAAAGAAUAUAAGCGAUAAGUUCCAGUUUUAAGCCCUUCCAUUUACAUAAAAAAAAUUAUUAAUUAAUUUUAUUUAAGGUCACCUUGCAACUGUCCCUACGUAUAGAUCACGUAGAUGUCUAAGAUAAACAAGUAAUUCUACCAUCCCUUCGUAUUAAAUGGCGCGGCAAAAAAAAAAAAAGACGUUUCUUUAAGAAUGGAAUUCCAGAAGUGGAGAGGUGCACAGGAAAAUACACAGAAAAGUAGACAGCUCUUUGAUCGAGGAGCACCUCCUUAUCAAUGGAUUGACAAGCCAAGAAUCCAAAAUUCGAUUUCAGUGCCUUCAAUUGCAAACCAGCGUCCUUGAACUGCUGGUCCUAAUUGUGAUGGUUGAGUUCUGAGCAGGAGGAUCCUGCAUUCACUUUGCAAUUGCCAGUUGUUAACGAUCCCCAUUCAUGUGGCAACUGUUUCUAUUUUUGUUCAAGUUUUUUAGUCAUAAUUUUCACUCUUUCUGCGUAUUUCUAGCAUGCAAACACCAUCAAAUGUCUGAAUAUUCUCAUAUGACGGAUCCUUAGUACGCAAAUCUUUUCACUAACAGGUUGGAAGGAAGCAGUCUAAUCUAGACUUAAAUGAGUUAAAAGAGCCAAAUCCUCUUAUGUACUCGUUACACUAAUCCCGCAUUUACACCCCUUCUAGCCCUCGCCAGGCUCCAAUACAACCUUCCGCAGAUUCUACAUUUGUAUAGCACAAAACAAGCACGUGGAAAGAUUCACCCGGACUUGUUAUCUUAGACUAAUAUUGCUGACCAAAGCAUCUCGAAAAGAAAAUUUGCAGAUUCCUGAUUUCGAAUCGCAAGACAAACAGAGGCCAAUGGCAUGGAAACCAUUUUCUACCGCCUGAAUACAAAAUGUAUAGCAAACAAACUGGCCUUGCCAAGGCACUAACAGCAUCACAAGGACCAUUCAAGAAAUAUAGCUACAACCACAUUUCUCAACAAUGCAGCAUCAUGUUGACUGAGAGUUACACAGUACAUCCACUGCACAGCAGGAGUCCAUCUAUCGAACUAACAAAAAUGCAAUAAAGAAUAAGAAAAUAAAAAAUAACAGAAAAACAUAAUGCUAUACUGAACCCACUGUUAGCUAUGUGGUCAAGUAGGGAGAACGGACGAUAAAAAGUCAUUGAAUAGAACUCAAUGUAAGUGGUACACCGAAAAUAGCACUCCCUGCCAUUCAUCUUCUACACAUUCCAUUCAAAAGCAUACAUAAACAUCACCUUGGAGUCCGCAAUUAGCUACAUUGUUUCUCACAGGUUAAAAGGUUUCCAUGUGAAACACAAUAUGCACAUUAAACCUGAUAGUUAUGAAUAAGGGACGGGAUUGACCUGUGCAUCUCCUCCAUGCUACGAUCCAACAGGUGCAAUUCCCUUUGCCUUGGCUGCAGCAGUUGCUGCUGCAGCUGCUGCAGCGGCAGCAGCAGCCGCAGAUGCUGCUGCAUUGGGUGUUGAUGGAGGAACAGCACCGGAUUGCGAUGUGCUUUGCGCGGUAACCAUUUGUUGUUGUUGUUGUUGCUUCUGCUGAGAGUUUACCUGAGCAAGCAGGGCCUUGAUCUGACUUCCAGAGAGUGUCUCAUGCUCAAGUAGAGCAUUAGCAAGUGCAUGGAGCUCCUUGCUGUUCAUGGUGAGAAUGGUUUUCGCGUUGUUGUAAGCCCUCUCCAAAAAUUGUUUUACUUCUUCCUCAAUAAGGAGCCUAGUCUCAGUGCUCAUGCUCUUGCCGUUAUCAUCAUAGUUGUGAGUAACAAGUCCCACGUUUCUGCUCAUACCAUACUUUGUAACCAUUGCUCUUGCAAGAUUGGUUGCUUGCUGCAGAUCGGAAGAUGCACCUGAAGUCACUUCAUUUUCUCCAAAGAUGAGCUCUUCUGCUACUCGUCCACCCAUGCAAACAUCCAAACGAGCAAGCAUCUGCUUACGAGAUAUACUUGUCUCAUCCUUGUCAGGUAAUUGGGCAACCAUACCAAGAGACAUUCCACGAGGAACAAUGGUUGCUUUGUGAACUGGAAGGGCCCCUUCAGUAUGGAUAGCCACGAGGGCAUGGCCACCCUCAUGAAAAGCAGUCAGCCUUCGUGAUUCAUCAGAUAUAACAGCUGAUUUCCGCUCGCUUCCCAUCAUGAUUUUGUCCUUUGCAUGCUCAAGAUCAGCCAGUGUCACAGCUUUAGCACCAUCCAUCGCAGCCUUAAGGGCAGCAAUAUUAACCAAGUUUGCAAGAUCAGCACCAGAGAAUCCGGGAGUUCCUCGGGCAAUGAUAGUCAGAUCUACGUCUUCCGCUUUAAGAACCUAUCAGCGAAAAAAAAAAUUUCGGAUUAGAAUCCCCUGCUGAAAUUUCCUUCUCCCAAAAUGUAGAAUUGUCUAAGGAAUGCGCUAAUCAAAGAUAAUUCAAGUAUCAGCCAUGCAUGUCAGAUGGAUGUUAUCCAUAUGCGCAUCACUAUAAUGGCCAGUACAUCAACCAGUAACUUGGCGUAGGAAAGAUUAGCAAAGAUCACCCAUAUAUGUCUUCAAGUAAGUUACAUAUGUAAACUAUAAAGAGAAAUAUUGCAAAAAAGGAAACUUUCAAAUGAAGUACAUGGUGCAGAUGCUUAUGUAAAUUAUGGCAUAUCAAAUGGGAAAUUUGCUCUUGCACAAAAGGAAACAUCCAAACAGAAGUACACAAAGCAGGAGCUUGCCUACAGCACCAGAAUCACGUAUAGGUGAGCAAACGAGUAAUGACCAGCUAGUAUCUCACAACUGAUCUGUCAGGGAUUGAGCACGGCAGAGAAAUACACUUCACCAGGCAAACAAGGGUAGAGAAUUUGAAAUAAGAGCUUAGUGGAAGGAAUUAGAUUGAUUCAUCGAGUUGGUUUAUGAAACCUGUGUUGACAUGGAAUGGGGUGUGGUACGUGGCCAAAAAGAAGAAAGAACAAAGUACAAAUCUUUGCACAAAUCUACAUUGCAAGACUUGAAAAAUGUCUUGAAAAUGGCCAAGGAAAAACACAAGCCACUAAGCCACUAAAAGACUCAGUAGAAUUGUUCUCUUGGACAAAGUCAAUCAACAACAGGCAGAACAAAAAUAACUUUUUGGAGACAUUGCAAGACUUGAAAAAUGUCUUGAAAAUGGUCAAGGAUAAACACAAGCCACUAAAAGACUCAGUAGAAUUGUUCUUUUGGACAAAUUCAGUCAACAACAGGCAGAACAAAAGUAACUUUUUGGAGUAUACUAGGGUCCUAACAUAUCUUCUUUGGCAAACAAAGCUUCUACUUUUUACAUAACAUUGCAAGGGCCCCUCCAUCUUAUUUCUGAAUUCAUCACAUGUAUCUUCUUCCAUUCCAGAUCGCCCUUUGGGAAAUAUGCACACUAAUUCAGAGCCUACAAUACAAAAUUAUCCUCAAUUCGCAAACUAAAGCUCUUUGAUUCAGUAAGUGAAAGAUGAACAAGUGGGACAAUUAAAUGAAAAAACUGGGGAAAGAGUAAAUAAGAAAUAGAGGUUUUUAUCAUCAAAAAAAGCAAAGUACCUUUGACAUAUGUGAUUCCAAGAUCUGUCUCCGUCCUUCAACAUCAGGAUUUGGAACAACAAUAUGACGAUCAAAUCGUCCAGGCCUAACCAGAGCCUUAUCCAAUGACUCCGGGAAAUUGGUUGCAGCAAUCACAAUAAUUCCCUCAUUCUGCUUGAAGCCAUCCAGUUCAACAAGUAACUGAUUCAGAGUCAUUUUCAUGUAUUGCUGGUCCUUUGGGUUGCGGCUCCCACCUAUGGCAUCAAUCUCGUCAAUAAAUAUUAUACAUGGAGACCGUUUCUUUGCAGCAGCAAAGAGAUCUCUAACCCUGCGGGCACCAACACCAACAAACAUUUCUUCAAACUCACUGCCGCUGCAAGAGAAAAAGGGCACCCCAGCUUCUCCAGCUAUAGCCCUUGCCAGCAUAGUCUUGCCGGUACCUGGGGGACCAACAAGUAGAACACCUUUUGGGAGCUUACCGCCAAGUCGAGUGAACCGCUGCAAUAACAUAAAAGGUGAGCAUAAUGAAGUCUGCAACGCUUCUUGACAGUUUAGGAAGGCUAAUCUAAAAUCAUUAAAAUCAAAGUUCUCUCCCAGAAAAUAAUUCUAAUAUCAUGUCAAUUGCUUGUUGAUCAAGAACCAAAUGAAGGGCAAAAUUUAACCAAAUUUAGGUAGCUAAAUAAGGCUUUGUAGAUCCAUAUGAAUAUUCUAACUUUUGCUAAUGGAAAGAAGGAUGCAAGAAAAACUAUUAACAACUGCAAAUUAUAGAAGUUUAGAUAUUCUGCACAGAAAAACAGAAAAAAUGCAUGAGUUAUUCACUCACAGAUUCAUGUGAUUGGAAAGGGAGGUGAGCCAGCCACCCAAGAGAUUGUUACAGAUCAGAAAGCACAAGCUGCAAUUACCUUAGGGUCUCGAAGAUAGUGAACAAUUUCUUCAAGCUCAGAUUUGGCUUCAUCAACCCCCUUUACAUCACUAAAUUUCGUAUUAGAUUCCAAACUAGGGUGCACCUCUUCAUUCAGACCCAGUCCUAGUAGAAAAUGGUAAAGAGCAUUAGUCAGCAGAUAACCUUUUGUUUGGUUACAGAUUCAUCACCCAAAACCACAACAAUAACACAAAAAAAUUAUAAUAAUAACAAAUACAAUAAAAUAAUCUAAGACCUUCCAGCAAAGCUCAUAACUACAAGUACCUUUACUAAUCCCUCUAUCUUCGAUGAGUGCACCAAUGCCUGAGAUUAGAAGGAAGGCCAUACCAAGAGCACGGACUGUCCGCCAUAACUGCUCCUUAAAAUGGCCCCCUUCAGCAGCCACCAUAUGUAUAGGUGCACUAGCAGUACCAAGAACACCUUCCUUUGUAGAUUUCCCCACAUUCCUAAAAGCUGAAAGACCUCCAACCAUUUCUUCUUCCACCUGGGAGCUAGGAGCACCUGUAAUUCCUGUAUAACAUACUUAUCAAAUUCCUCAAACCAAUGAAACGUCACAGAAUAUCAAAACUCUUCAGUGGUAGAACUAAUCAAGAUAUGCUACAAGAGUAGUAGACCUGGUAAAACUCUAUCCAUGUAUGUAGACCCAAUCAGAAAGAGUACACCACAGAAAGGCCAGAGAGAAGAUAAAAAAAAUAAAUUAAUUAAAAAAAAAUAAUGACACUAGCCUCUCUGCAAUGUCUUGAGCAGCUCACUUUCGUCCAGCCUAUCAACCUUAACCAGUGCCUUGACAUACUCUGCAAGCGCUGUUGGGUUAGAGUGCAGUGAGGGUUGGCUUUCGAACACCCUAAUGACUGCCUCAGGCUCGUUUCGAUGAUAUAGCUCUUUGAGGUAUGCAGCAUCGCUUAAUUCAUCACUUCUCCGAGCUAGGCUAGCAGCAUAACUUGAUCGAAAUCUUUUGGUGUUCCCAAAUGCAUAUCCUGCAAGAAGAAAUGGAGGGAAGGUGAAGAGGAAUGCUUCAAACUUGUGCCAAUGAGCAAGUAAACAAUAUAACCAAGGGAAAUUCAAGAGGAAUCAUCCGCCAUGCAUCAAUUUAUCUUUCAUCCAAAAAUCGGCAGAAUAAUAUUAUUGCACCACAAUCAGAAAACAGGGAAUCUGCCAUAUCAACAAUAAGCGACUUCGAUUGCGUACCUAACUCUUUCUGGGCAUUAGGUGAAGUGCGAUAAGCUCUAACUAAUACAUUGCUCAGUUGCCCCAACUGCGACUGCUGUCGUUGAACCUGUUAUAACAAAACACAGGUCCUAACACAAUUAGAAUGAAAUUUCGCACAUAUGAUCAACAUGAAACCAUUAUUAUCAGAGCUAAAGCUCAUAUAACCAUCCCUCCUUAUCCACAUCAAUCGGCAAAAGUCACACCUACAAUACAACCAAAACAGACCUAGAAAAAGCUAACUAGAGUCAUAAAAAUGGAGUCUUUCCAAAACCCAUAUCAUUAAUUGCACAAAAAAAAAACACAUAAAAUCAGCAACUUUCACCACUUUUAAAAACAAAAAAUAAAAAAAAUUUCUUACCCAACAACCCUUUUGGCUUUACACCUAAGACUGAUAACUAAUUACUCCUAAACCCACCAAAGCUUAUACCAAACGAUUAAAUGACCUAUUUCUAGAUUAGGGCUUCAGCAUCCUAUGGAAAAAAAAAAAAAAAACUAAAAACCUUGGCUUGCAUGUUAUAUUUCUGAUGUUCAUACAAUUGAUAAUAAAAAAAAAAAAAAGUGUCAAGAACUGACCCGACUGAUAAGGCGAAUUAAAGCCAUUCCCUGUCCCCAAAAGAGGGCUAAUCUCUCUUUCGCCAAACUCUUCCCCUCCCCCUUUCUUUUUCUAAAUCAACUAUCCCUAUCCCUAAAUAUAGAAGUGUAAGUUAUUCGGAUAUUUUUGGAGUUCAGCAGAUACUGCAACUCAGGAGAGGAGGGAGGGAUGGAGAGAGAAUAGAGGGAGCUGGGGAGUGCAACCAGAGAUGGAUUUUUUCCCUGGAUCAGUAAUUUUUAAUGGGCAAAACUGAAGAGAUUUUUUGUACGCAUAUGAAUAAUCCUCAUAAAUCAUAAUACCGUAUAGUAUAGUAAACUUUGGUAAUAUUUGACCUCAGAUCUUGGGAUUUGGUGAGGAAGUGUCCAUGGCUUGUUUAAGUGGACCGGUUCGGUAUUAGAACUUUGGGGAGAACGGCCGAAGAUGUUUGUGGGCUUUUAUUCUCCAAAAAACAUCAAUGCUUAGGCCCGUCAACAAGGCCUUGUAAGUGAGUCAGGCUGUCCACAACCUUGAGGUUAAACUUUAGCCCAUUGAACAUUAACAACAACCAAGUCCAAAUUCAGCCCAUUCACUGCAUCAGGCUUUGGGAUGAGAUGAGAAAGGACGGAUUCAAAGCAUUUUUAAGUCGAACAAACCCAGUUGAGGAAAGAAACAAAACCGAGAAGUUUUUCUUCUCAAAUUCGUAGUGAAUUCUUGAUUGCAUGUUGUUAUUUCUAUAAUUAUAUAUACGCAAAAUGAAGAACAUUAAUCCGAAAACAAAUGCAUUUUAUUUAUGUAGAAAGGGCAGGGCCUCAGUGGGCUUAGGCCUGUUAGUUACUUUUUAUAAGUUUUGGAGUGGACAUGUCCAAAUUCAGUUCACGUAAACAAUUACUGAUUGUUGAAGUCCAAAUUCAGCUCAUAAGUGAUAUGAGGUACAAAUGUGGCUCACAAGGAAGUAAUUACGAUUGUUAGGAAGUUUUGUUGUCUUAAGCAUAAUUUUCACAUGUUAUUCUAUUUAUUGUGUGAAGAUUAGACAAGUCAUUUGGCACUCAGCGAGAGGAGGUAAGUGCAUGCACAAUCUGCAAUCAUGACAAACCUCAAGGGAGAUUUGUACACAAUCCCUUUUUAGUAAUAAAGUAACAAGUCAUUUUCUUAAAAAUUAAUAAAUCUUGAGAAUGAAAUCGUUUCUAUGCCGACAGGUUAAGAGAAAAUCGUUUAAAAUGUUUCACAUUUCGUCAAAUGAAUCUUUUCAUUAUUUACUUUCAAAAUGAUAACUUCUGUCUCUUACAAAAUUGAAACAGUAAAAUUUGGUCCCAAUCUAAGUUUUUUAUCUUUUUUUUUAACCUUGAAUCCAUUAAGCGAAUCAACAUAGUCAUUUUUUAGGGAAAAAAAAAAAAGGUAAGAUACCAUUUAUCGUUAAAGCAAAUGAUCCGAUCCAUAUUCAAUUUUUUUUCCUCAAAAUAAGUGAGAUUAGACCCAAAUCAUAUUCAUUUUUUUCAUUAAAAAAGUGGGAUCUGAUCUUCUUGUAGACAAAAAAUGAUUGCAUAUGGAUGACGUAGUGAUUUCAAGAUUAAAAAGUGAUCAAAAAUUUAAGUUGGAACUAAAUUUUAUUGCUAAAAUUUGUAAGGAAUACAAAGUUAACAAAGUGAAGGACGAUAAAAUUCAUUUAGCCAAAUGUAAGGGACAUUUGGAACUAUUUCUGUUUCAUUCUAGUUGAACUAACACUAGGAUUAACAAAGUUAUUGCAUUAAGACAAAUCUUACCAUUAACAUUUCAAGAAAUACUUAAAUUCAGAAAAUUUAGAUGAAUCAUUCUUUAAGCGUCGCUGAUGAUACACACUCUACCAUGUCAUUGCCAACAUUUGAAAAGUUAGGGUACCUUCCCUUGUCACCCAACAUCUACCUGCCUCACACCGAGAAGCUUCCCUGUCGGCACGCACAUGUAUUAGUAUUACACCGCCUACGUAAAGGUCACCCCCAUGCUCAUUCAUCUUUUCUUAUAUCAGGGAAGCAAUACACCAGCACAGGAAGCUUCAAUAUUCAUAAUUUAGCCAAAAAACAAAGAGAAACUUGUGCCGAUGAUGAUCAGUAGAAGUUGCCGUGUUCCAAUGACAAAACAUCAACGAUUCCCGAGCCGAGAUAUCUAUCUUGAUCUUUGUGGGAUUUUUAAUCCCAGGCUCAAUCUGCAAUCAACUGAGAGAGGAAAUGCUAGUUUCAUUACCAAGUGAUUAAGGGUUCAAAAAUAAUUCCUCAUGUGUGAUACUUUUACCAAAUGUUUUAAGGGCCUAUUUGGUUGGCAUGCUAAAAGUUACAAAAUGAUAAAAGGAAUGCAAUCGCGGAUAUGCAAAGGGAACGUAAGAACAACUUUGAUUAGAAUUACUAUCCAACUAUUACCUAUUUUUCUUCCUUCACUUGGGCUCCAUUGAUUUGCUUAAUUUCUUGAGUUGUGCACAUGUAGUAUUAUAUGCAUCUCUCUCCCAAGAGAUCCAAAUCAUUAUUGUUCAAUGCGACAGAAAAAAAAAAACAAUUUGAUGCUUCAAAGAAAAGGAAGAUACUGUAAUGUACAACAAACUAUCCAAUCUAGUAAAUUAUGCGAAUGCAGUAGUCGAAAUAUGUGCUUAGAAAAGGGAGAUAUUAAGAAGUUGUAAUGUACUACAUGAGGUAGUUAGCUAUACGCAAAAAACUUUGUAUCAAGAAAUAAUCAUUCGUUAGUUGUUUAUCAUUCUGUAUGAUAACCUUUUACAAACUAAUAUUUUGCAUUAAGUUCUACAUGGCCAACUGCAAAGAACUUAAGGUGCAUUUACGUUCGAAAAAUUGUACAACAUUUUUUUUCCCGGUUUUAGAAUGUGGAGGGCAAUUGCGAAGAAGUACAGUACUACAACCUUGUCUGAGUCUAUGACCUGAGGUAGAAUCAGAAUAUUGUUCUCAUAAUUUUUCAUGGUUUUUUCUACCAAAUUAAAGCUUUACUCUAGCUUUUGUUUUAUUUGAUACUUUUUUUUUGAAUUAUUUUCUUUUCAAUGUAAGUAAAAAAUCUCGAAUUCAAGAUUUCUCACUUAUAUUCCCUACUCAUGUACCAUACAGCCUAUCCCUCUCCCUAGUUUUAUUUGAUACUUUGAUAGUCAUUUGGAAUAAAUUUCAUAAGUCUAUAUAUUUUGCUUUUCAGGGAAUAAUUUCCCAUAAGAAUUUCCCACGAAAAUGAAAAAGAAAAAGAAAAAGAAAAAGGUUCCCAUGAGAAUUCACUUACCCAAGUACUUCUUCCCUUAUAAAGAAAGCAACAAGGGUAAAAUAAAGCAAAUUACCGGAAAAUAAUCACAAAAAGAUGUCUAACUCGAGUGGUCACUCCAGAAUUAACUAAUAUUGUCGGACGUAGUAGUAGGUAUUAAGAUUCUAAUUUGACUGCCAGAAAGUACUACUCCGUCCGUCCCACUUUGAUAGUCCUGUAUUCCUUUUUCAUCUGUUCCAAAUUGUAAUUCACUUUCCAAUUGAAAAAUGUAAUUGUAUUUUAAAUUUUCUAAAAUACCCUUAUUCAAUGUAAGUAGUUGUUACUAUAAACCUACCCCAUUUAAUGAGAGUUGAUUCUUUUUUUACCGUCAAUUCAAGUUCCCAUAAAGUUGUACCAUAUUUAAUGUGAGGGUAUUUUAGAAAAAUAACAAUCUAAAUUUACUUUUCUAACAAAGUUAACUAUUUUUUCUUAAAUUGUGUGAAAAAAGAAACAGGACUAUCAAAUGGGACGGAAAGAAUAGUAAUCAAUGAGAUGUUUAUUGUACCUUCUACAUAUCAAUCUGAAACCUUUUGAUAAGCGGAUUGGAAAAAAAUAAGUAUAAUUUUCACCUUUCAAAUUCAACAGCCAACCAUAAAACUCUCUCUCUCUCUCUCUCUCUUGUCGUACCAAUCAGAGUUCAGUGCCACAUGUACAAAAAUUUAUCGAGUAAUAGUUUCAGAAACAAGGAGAAAAUCCACGAUUAUUAUUCCGGGAUGGAGUAGGUACAUUAAUUAAGAUUUUAGUACGGUUAUUGUUCAAUUAUUGAUUUACACAUAAUUUGGUGUUAACUAACAUUACUUUAUUGUAAACUUGAAUUUUGUUCAUAUACACCAACCCAAUAUAUGAAUCCAAUCACACUAAAUGUACCAAAGCCAAUUGUACACCUACCCCAAAUGCCUACAAGAUGACAAACAAAGCUUACUGGUUGCCCUUUGAUGUUUUUGUACUAUAAUGAGGAGCCAUUAAAUUGAUAAUGAUUCUUUAAUUUAGCGGCAAAACCAAGAAUCCACUUAGUGGUCUAGCCACCCUGAACAAAAAUGUAAAGAUAAAAAAGGGGUGGAUGGGGGAUGAACACACAAGAAAAUGAAAGAUCGCCUUGCUACAGUUGAAAUGGUCCUGCUAAUACAUUGUCUAACACAAAAUGACAGAUAUACCAGUACAAAAUUGCAGCAGCUAGCCAAGGAAUUAAUCUCGAUUGCAAUAACCAUAAAACCUUGUCAUUUGUAAAUGUGAAAAGAACUAGGAACUGGAGGACGGUAGCAGCACAGAUACACAUAUAUAUAUUUAUAUAUGUAUGGGACAAAAUCAACUAAUAACAAUUAACGAACAAAUUAAUAGGAAAGAAGAAAUCUCAUAUGCCCAACAUAAACAUAAUUACUUCAAACUAAAUCUCUACCAUGGUGCUGCUGGAUUGUGAUGACCCUGCUGGUCAUUGAAAGAUGAGCCACCAAGUUGAUGAAGAUCAUCCAGACUAAGAAAUGUUUCUCUAGCAGUAGGGAAGGCUUUUAGACCCAAGAAAUCCCUUGUUAAUCCGUCAUUAAUAUUGUUGCCACGGCCACCAAAUACGCCACCUUCUUUACCGCUAUUACUUCUUCCAUUAUUCCCCCUUCUUGAAGUCAAUAACACUUCCUGAAAGUUCUCCCCGAAUCCAUCGUGAUGAUGAGAAUUUACCAUACCCAUCAAAGCUCCUCCUCCUAGAUGAUCAUGAGUUGUUAAUGGACCAACACUUAUUUGUGCUUGGUGUGGAUGUUCCAUGCAACCUGCAGAGGUGAUAGCACUAGUUUUGUUCCCAAAAGAUGCCAUCAGCCCGUGAUGAUGCAUAAGCCCAGAUCCAGAACUAGACCCUAUUCCCAUCUGAUCUUCACGUGAGGCCAGACCCAGGCUAGAACCAGCUGUAGAAGUGGCCAAUAUUAUUGAUGUCGAACCCAUCAAACCAGUACUCACGUGAGCUGCUUGGUGGGGUCUCAGCAUCGUUGUUGUCGCCGAGGCAGCGGCCGCCACCUCGUCCGCACCAGCAGCUGAUUGACUUGAUGCAGGUUUGCUGAUUGUAACUCCCAUUUGUGCUGCUUUUUGCAGCAAUGCAGUUGCAGACAUGUGGGGUGAUGCCGAUGCCGCGGCGGCUUGGAAUGAGGAGGAAAGAGUUGGAUUAGGGUUAGGGUUGUUGACAUUUUCAUGAUGAUGAAUCAUGGUUUGGUCCAGUCUCGGGUUGCUGAACAAGUCAUGACUUGUUGGUGGACCUCCCCCUGGAUCAGAGAGCCAAGGCGGCAGCUCUGGUGGCCUCAAGUUGCUAUUGAAGCUUUGUUGUCGUUGUAACUGUAACUGUAACUGAUCUUGUUCUCGCUUGAGAGGAAACACGGGGAGGCCGCCGCCAUGGAGAGGAUGGUUUUGGAGGUGGAGUUGGACUGAAGAUGUAGUACUAUUGCCGCCGCCGCCUAGUAGUCCUAGUGGGUGGUUGUUUGUUGUAAUUGCCCGGGCACUCUCUUCUGCCAAGGCGUCGCAGAAAGCUCUAUGGGUGAUGAAACUGUCCCUCCUGACAAACAAAAACAAACAGAAAAAAACAAAAGGAAUAAAACAUCAAAAUGCUGCUGCAGAUUAAACAAUAGACAGUACGGUACCAUAUAUCUAUGAACGAUGCUCCCUCUUUUUCAUCUGAGUCCGUCUCUGUCGUCAACUUUUUCUGCGCUUUCAUCUAUGGUGGCAGCAUAGAUAGUAGUAGAGUACAUGAUUUUUUAGCAGUAAAGUUUUCUUUGUUUUUAGCUUUUUGCAGUGAAAGAAUAAAUAAAGUAGUGUUAGGACAUACUACAAAACUUGUAAUGAUACAAAUUCACUACACAUACGCACAUACACACAAAGACAAAGACAAAACAUUGCAACAACAACACAAGAUUCACAAGGCAAAGAUGUUUAAGGUGGUACCACGUACUAAUUGCCUAGUAAAACUGAAUGUGAGCAAAGUAUUUUUUUUUUUUUGGGUCAAAAAAUGCGAGCAAAGUAUUUGACAUUGGGUAUUUUGGUAGCUUCUUUCUAAUGUGCAUGGAACAUCCAUUUGACCCCAGAUUCCUAAAUUAAAAAAGAAAAAAAGAAGAUCGAUUACCUUGAGAAAAGGGUUCCACAGUCACAUCUAUAUUCUCUAGUACCACAAAUCUUGGAAUGAGCUUUCCAAUCUGAUUGAACAGCGUAACGCUUUGAGCACUUUUCACACUUCCAUUUCUUCUCACCAUGCUUUCUGGAAAAGUGUUUCUUGACUCCAGUGAGGUCCCCAAGUGCCCGUGAGGGAUCAUGGUGCACGCAUGUAGUUUCCGGGCAAAUAUACACCUUCUUCCUUAUUACUUCUUUGUUGCUUCUUUGCUUUAACUUCCAGGGUAAAUUAUGUCCCCUCCUGUGCAAUUGGAGGUUUUGAUCCCUUUGGAACCCUUUGUUACAGAUCUCACAUAUAAACCUGUUUGUUGCCAGAAGGGUUCUUGGAGACAAAGCUAUCACUUCUGCCUCAGGGUCUAAUUAAGGAAUUUCCCGAUGGCAAUAGAAAAUCAGGAGAUUAAUAUCCAAGAAGUUUUUCCUUUAAUUUAGUACUGUUUCAGUCUACAAGAGAAGGGAUAUACUGCAAUAGAUAUAUAAUGCUGGACUUUGUUACCUGGAUUGCCUGGAAGAUUUCUCUUUUUCUUUGAAGCUGGUUGAGCACUUUGAUUAGUCGGUGAUGAUGCUAAAGGAGGCAGCUGCUGCUGCUGUGGGUACACAGCACCAAUUUCUAGUCUGUUGCCAGAAGAAAUGCUAGCAUCAUUAGAUCCAGAUGUCAAAUUUGACAUGCUGUCUUCUACCACCAUACCUGCAGCCUUCAUCAUCUUAGAAAAGCCUCCUUUUGAUACAACCUUGAUCUCUCCUUAGUUUCCCCUCUAAAUAUCUUGGGUAUACCCUUGUAUAGAGCUAUGCAGGUUAAUUAGAGGGUUGGUUUAUAAUCUUGGACUCCGGCCAAUUAGAUUCAUUGAUGAGCAACAGAUGAUAUCAAGCUUCUUUUUUUCUCGAAUCAGACAACAGAAUCCAAUACAAACCCUAGUUAUAAUUCAAGAAGAUUCUAAAUUCAGCUAGCUAAGUGAUGGUGAAAGAGGCACUGAUAAAUAAAAGCUUGUGUAGGUUGAUUUUAGUAGCUUCUUGUAGAAUCAUAUGAAGCUAGCUAGCUCCUAUCUAUUGUUUGAAAACCCUAGACGACUGAUUUGAAAAAGGAAGAAAAGGUUUCUUGUUAUAAGGGUGAAUCAAAAGAGAGAAAGAUUACAAUAUCAAGUGUUGAGUGAAAUCUUACAGUGUCGGCCCUUUUCUUCAAAUCAUAUUUGAAUUAACCAAAAUUGCCUGAUAGCUGUUAGCACCAUCAAGAUUCAAUAAAAAGCCACACAGAUGAAAACAAACAAGACCGCACCAUAUUCCUUUAGCAUAAACAUAAGAGAAGACUUCCGCUGUAUGUGUUUUGCUUUCUCAGUAUAUGUAUGUGUCUUGAGUGUGUGAGAGAGAGGAAGAUAAAGAUGGAGAAUGAGAGAGAGAGAGAGAGAGAGAGAGAGAGAGAGAGAUGUGGAUGAGAAGGUAUCUCUACUAAGUCCUCCACCCCAUGAAAAACCAUACCUCCAGGCCAACAAGCUUAUUCUGACGUUGUCCUUUGUCUUUUUCGUUGUUCCCUUCCCAAUUGUAAAAAACUACAUGUACUUUGCAGCCUCUUCCUUCACUGUUUUUACUUGAUCAAAAUUAUUCCCUUUCAAAAGAAAAUGAUGAUUAAAAUACCGUGCAAGUUUAAAUAAUUUUCAUUAACCAAGUUUGCUAAUUGAUUCCAAAAGUGUACUAAUUAAUCAAGAAAGGAAACCGCAAUACUCAAUCAUGCAUGGCAAAAUGGUUAAAGUGGAGAAUCAUGCAUGCAUGGAUGUUAGAAUGCAAAUGUUGUUGGAGGUAAACAAAGCUCAAUUUAUGGGGACUGUCUUGCAGCUUAAUAGUCACUUCACUUUCUUUCUUUCUUGCUUGCAUCCACGCACCUACUGCCUACAUAUAUUCACAUGAUUGGUUUGGUGAUUAUAUUCGAAACAAUCAUGCAUGCUCAAGAAAAAAGUUGUUUCAAUUAUUCUUACCGUCCUGUGAUCCUUGGUUUGAAUAAACAAUACUACUGGUACUUGAGAUCAUUAAAUUUUAUAAAAGGUAGAAUAGUGAUUUCAGAUAUGCAAUGAAUAAGGUUCCAUCAACUAUCACUUUAAUACUUCGAAAAACCUGACAAAUUCACGGCUUCUGAACUUAAAAAAGUGGAAAACAGAAUACAGGACUUGGUCCCCCAUGCUGCCAUAUCCAUCAUCACUUGUUACUGUGCAUUACAUAAUCGAGACGCUAGCCCCGUCAAUUUAACUUGAGUGUUUAUAGAAGCAUGUUUUGAAUUAAUACGUGUGAGUGAUCAUCGGAAGAGCUAAUGAAUCGGAGUGGAACCUAAGUAUCUGUCAUGAAAUGUAGAAAAAUAAAGUGAUUAAUACAUGUUGUACAAAUCCUGGACGUUUUGUAUCUUAUUAAGAAAAUUUCUUCAGUUCGUCCUACUUAAUUCUGAUCAAUAUAUAAUAGUGUCAACAAAAUUAACGAAAUAAAAGGACACGCGUACGGCGCAUAUCCAAAUCACUCUACUAAUCAUCAAUUCACAAUCCCUAUUAGUCAUGCAAAAAAGGUGUGCUCUACGCUAAAACAAAUAAUACUAUCAAUUGGAUUUAAGUGGGAUGCAUCUAAGAGGCUAAGAGAUAAAGUAGUUAAAAUUGAAGUUUACAGUACAAAGUGAAAAGAGAAAACAAGUUUGGAGGUGCAAAGUGAAAUUAGUCCUUAAAAAUGUCUUUGCAUUUUUGCUUUUCCUAAUUUCAAUGCUUCAAGAAAAAAGUCCCUUUCUUACCUGACUUGAUAGAUGAAGAGCACUGGCGAGCCACGUUGUUUUCCCUUCUCGUUUUACAAAUUUAAAGUGGCUGUUAAAAUUGGAAUGUGUAACCACCUGUCUAUGACUAUGACAUGUAUGUUUAUCAGCCCUUGAUUUUCUAAAAAUGGCGGAUAUUCUCCCUCUUGUGCUAACAUGCAAUCGAGUGACAGUCCUCUAAUGAGUCUAAAAUGUGAGGAAAUGAUGUUAGCAUUUUCAUACCUAAUGGAGUUGAAUGCCCUUUCACAACCAUAUAUACCUCACUCCAUCGAAGAAUAGACAAUUUUUUGUUAUUUCAGCUAAGGAAAUUAAUUGUGUCACGAGAAGAUGGUAAGAAUGUGGGACAUUUAAUUAACCACCACUUUCUAAUGAUGCAACUAUUUACAUAGGAGAAGUUCUAGUUUUGUAGUUUUGUUUUACGAGAGGGUUAUUGGAAUACCUUUUCUUUUUUUUUCUUUGGCUAAUACAGGCGUACGAAUUCAAUUGAAUAAUUCUAGUUGCCAAUAAUAGAAGCAUAUUCUUCAAAGGGAUACUGAUGACUGGUGGAGAAAAUAGAGAAAGCUGAUCUUGGGCAGCAGGCACAUCACUAAGCGAUUACCACAAAUGCGCAUCCACCUGCAUUUCUUGCAUGAAGAAAAAUAAAGGAAGAUGCUGUUUAGUAUGUCCUCAUUUGCUUCCAAAACAUUGUUAUUAACACGUUAUCCACAAUUUUGAAGUGCUUCAAUCUUUGCCAAGUAAUAUUGCAGGGUCAGAUUCUCAAAUUUUUCUGCAGAUAAACCAUCGUUUUCGGUCUAUUUUCCUUUUUUGUUUGUCCUUGUUUUCCGUCAAGGGAGUUUUAACUCUUCGUUUCAUGAGUUUUAUUUAUAACUUUAUCCCGGCAUUGAAAAAUAAAUUAGCCAGUGAAAAAUAAGCAGAGUACCUUAUAAAAGAUUGGAUCCUACGUACUUUAGUUCAUGUUCCUAUGAGAUUGGAAGCAAACAGGGAUUAAGUAAUUGUAGAUCACUUGUAAGCGAAAUUCAUAAUAUCACGACUCCUAGCUGUUAAUUAAAAAGGAAUUCAUGAUCUUUUGAAACUUCGUCUACUUUUAUUGAAAUUCUACACACACAAUAAUUACUUAGUUAUACCAGUGACCAUAUAUCAAUUGCAAAUGGUCUCCAAUGGAAAAAGAGCUUGAAAGAUAGUCAAUUGGAAUCUGACUUUCCUAUGUGCCAUGAUAACUCGGGAAGAAAACUUGUUUGGAUUGUAGUUUCCGCAGAAAAUUUUUUACACUUUUCCUGAAUAUCAUUUUUCAACCACUUUUUUAUUUCACAUAUAUUAAAUCUCUACAAUAUAUUUCUCUACAAUGACUGUAAAAGUAUCAAUCCACAUAGGCUCUAACUUGUGUGUGGAAAAUAACAUAUUGAAGCCAUAAGAGAUUCAUGUAGUUGUCUCCUUUUUCUCAUAAAUUGGCUAUAUUAUUUACGAGUUUCUUGAACCAAGCACAGACCUAAAUCUAAGCGAUCAAGAAACAUCUUCUUUUCAGAUUUUACGCAGAGGAAAAUUAAGUUAUGACGGUGACAUUUAUAUGAAGUUAUAUUGCCAAGAUAUUUAGCUGGCCCCUCUAUAAUAGGAAAAAGAACCACAAAAUAAUUCUAUACUCAAAAGCAGAUGACUAGAAAACAAACAACGUGACUCGCUAUGGAGCGACAUUGUCUUUCUGUUUAUUCACGUUAUGAAACAAUUAUUAUUCUUCUUGCAAUAGUAUUAACUAUAUGGAUUAGUUUGUUUUCACUUGAUAUAUAUAUAUAUAUAUGCUAUAAAAACGUCAAUAUUUUAUGUAAACUCUGCAGCAUACAGAUAGAGGGUCAUGCAUGCACGUUCAUGUUUCAUUCCAAAUUCCCUCUGCAGACAGCAUGUCAAGGUGCCACCAGUCUCCUCUCCUCUACAUCAAUCUGUACUCUGUAGCAAUUUUUAGCUGUUUGUUUGAAUAUGAGUAUGAUAAAAUAAGAAUACUGUUUGACCUAUUUCUCCUCAAAUCCUGUUGUUGACAUUUCGGAAGAACCGCUAUUGACUCGGGUUUUUUUUUUUUUUUUUUAUCACUAUAUUAGAGAAUGAAAUUUGUUAGAAUGUAGUUCCACUUUAACUAUUUUAGAGACCUGACAAUGAAGUAAUUCACUAAUAAAAGGCAGACAAGGUUGUCACCAACACAAAAAAAGUCUGAAUGAAAGAUUGAGUAAACAUCACGUAAUUCUUUUUUUCUUCUUUCGGUAAUGAAAAAUCAGUACUACGUAUUAGAGCAUAUACUCUCAAAAUCAUGAAAAGUCGCUGAUAAAGUUUUCACAAAUCGUUCAUUAAUACAACAUUGAUAUCGACACCACAAUUUGAACGUACGAUCUUUUAUGAACAAAUAGUGUAUUAUCACUUAUUACCAACUCACCUAACUUCUCUUGGCUGCCUUAUAUAUGAGUCUACGCAAUGUCAACUAUAGAACUGAUACAUACAAGUCUGCAUAAAAUAAUACCUAAAUAUUACAUCUACAUAUUAUAUAAGAAAGAAAUGAACUUUAGUACUUUGCUUGCUUGCAAGUCACGUGGUUUCCUAAUAGUUUGACAAAUGGCUUGUUAAUAUUUCUUCUACAUUGCUAUUCUUGCCAUUGCACUUUUUUUUUGGGCCUUUUGUUCAUGCAAAAUCAAACAAAUUUGGCUCUUAUGUUUAUGGGUGUUCUUCGGUCGAUAAUCGAAAAUUCGAUAAAUUUUUUUUUUGAUAAUUUGGGAAUUGAUUUUUUAAGACCAAUAUCCAAUUAGCGUCCAAACCUUAGUUUGAUCAAUUGGAUCGGAGAAUCAAUAGCGAGUUAAAAUAUUUUAAUUUUCUCUUAAAAAAUUGUUAUAACAAAAUAAUAUCCCAUAUGUUUUUCAACAAAAUUAAUCGACUUACUCAAACAAAACAUGAUAUGCAAAAAAAAAGGGUUCAUAAUCCUCAGUUCUAACUCAUAACCUCAAUUCUUAAAAAAUAUUGAAAUAAAUAAGAAUUUCAAACUUAAUUGUUAAGCUAAACUCCAAUGUAUCAACUUCCAUUACAAAUUUAUCUCCAAGUAUAGUUAUAGUUAGUUUAACUAAUCAGUAAUUACUAAUUAGUAUUUAGUGAUAGGAUUAAGAUUUACUCUUGUAUUUAGUAAUAUACAUAAGUGGGCAUACGUUCUACUUUUGUCUUCUAUUGAUUUUAUGCCAAAAGAAUGGUUUCCACUUAAUUGUUCUUGAAAUUUUAAGUAGGCUAGCUAAGCACAGCCUGAAGUCUGCUAGUCCUUGUUACAAAAUAGUGUAUGUAGCUUGCGACGGCUUAUAAUCCAUUUAAAAAGUUAUACAGUGUUCAACAAUGGUUAUCCAGCCCUUUCCUUGUAAAUUAACUUUUAAUGAUGAUGAAGCCUUCCAUGGACUAUUUUGAUCUUCCUUCCCUGUAUGAAUAAUUCAGCUCACCUACUCACUACAGGGGCGAAGGUAGUUCAACUGUUCAAGCUUCACUUGUCUACCUGGUUGAUAAUUUAUUUAAUAUAUAUAAAGUAAAAAUGUAAUUAGAAAAUGUGUGUACAAAAAAGGUAAAGUUUUUAUGUGAAAAAUCACAAAUCCAGACAAGGCUGGUCGGCCUUGAAUAUUAGCCCAAUUAACAAAGGGCUGAAACUUGAGCCCGGGUAGGCUCCCCCAAAUACGGCAGUGCCCGUUCAUGUUUCGGACUCUAUUGAUGUUAUAGCUCAACAUCUUGGGUUGCAUCUGUAGCCCAAUUAACAAAGGGCCGAAACGUGAGCCCAGUUAGUUUCCCCCAAGUAUGGAUCGGCCGCCUUUUUGUGUGUGUGUGUGUGUGUGUGUGUGUGUGUUGUGUGAAAAGAUGUGAUUGUGUACUGCCCUCUGUAGUUUCCAACUUAUAUUUGAUGUUUUAGUUCGGUAUCUAAUAUUGCGUUUGUAGAUGGUAUUUUAAAAUGACUAUAUCCACAUGCAAACAAGAACUUGUGCUGAAAUUUCAUUCUAGUUCAAAUAUUUCUAUAUUGAUUCUAAAUAAUUUUAUUUGUUUUGAUGGUUAUGUUAGUAUUUACUAAAACAUGAUCUUUUUGAAAUUUGAAGAACUAAAAAUACUAAAUAUGGGACAAUCAGAUGUUGGCAAUGCAUAACAUACCGAAAAGGGGAUGAUCUUGGACUUAUUCCAUGCUGCCACUUUAGUUAAAGUUCGAUCUUAGCGUAAGAUUGGUAAAAUUUAGGAUUUUUACUGAUCUUUCAUGAAGCAUUAUGCCAUAAAUUAAGGCAGGUUUGAUGGAUGCUUUGGUUGAAUCUGUAGGAGAUAAAAUAUCUAUAACGGUAGUCACUGUUAUAUACUUGUUUAAGGAUACAGAUUCCUUUAAAUGCUCAAUCAUGCAUGAAAUUUAGCCGGCUACGCAAUUGAUUCCUUGUAACCAGAGCAAAUAAGAAAAUAAUUUAUGUUUUGGACGGUUCUCCUACCCAUAUAGGUGUCAAACUAUUGCCAAAAUGUUGCCUGCUGACCUCAUGUGACACUACUAUAAUUUUCUGUAAAAUAUGAAAAUGCACGUUUUGUAUUCCUUUUGGCUUGAGUGAACAAGUGAACUUCUCUAGAGACUUGAUUGGAGAGGGCCAUAUUUCUUCAAGCUCCAGUACCCUUAAGGUAAUUCUUCUUAUUCGAAGUUUGAUCGAAGAAAAGACAUGGAGCAAUCCUUGUUGUGGGUAACUGUAGUACAGAUUUUCUUAGUGAUUGCCUAUCAAGGCAUAGAUGGGGCAUCUGAUCGAGUUGAAAGCAUUCUGGAUUACAUUCCAACCGAGGAACGAGGGAGGACAGCCUAUCACUUCCAGCCUCCCAAAAACUGGAUGAAUGGUAUGUCUUUAACGUUCUUGGUUUCUUUCUUGCAAUUAAUUUCUUGGCAGUUCUUGUCUAUAAUAUUGUCACUUACUAUAUGUUUUCUUCUUGUGCUGGCAUAUGUUUAUGCAUACUUCUGUCAUUUGGCACUCUGGAAUCUUCUUCUUCUGCUGCCUUCUGUCCUUGGCUUCUUUCUUCUGUCAUUUGGCAUUUAUGAUGGUGAAAAUGGCAAUUGGGUGACAUGGAAUGGAACCGGUAGAUCCAAAUGGUAAGUAUUAUAUGUUUUCCAUUUCUAUUACGCAGUCUUUUGAUCUAUUUUCAAUCUCUGGAAGUCCAAAAUUUGUUUUAUUUUUGUUUCUUUGCCCGUUGAUCAAGUACAAUUAGACAGAUAGCUUCCCCUAUGACUUCAGGAUUUGCAUAUCAGAUUAUGAAGCAGCAAUUGGUAUAGAUACAUGGACGCUCCCAUCUCGGUGAUCACAUGGAGUUUCAGUCCAGUGGUUCAGUGAUUUGCUUUCGUUGAAACUAUCCUCCACAUUUUGAUCUGACAUUUUUCCAUUUUGUAUCAUGCAGGUCCAAUGUACUAUAAAGGAAUUUACCAUCUGUUCUACCAGUACAAUCCAUAUGCUGCAGUGUGGGGUGAAGGUAUUCUCUCCUGGGGACAUUCUAUAUCUUAUAAUCUGGUUGAUUGGAUUCAUCUUGAAGACGCUCUUGAUCCAACGGAUCCCUAUGACAUUAGAGGUUGCUGGUCUGGCUCUGCAACAAUUCUUCCAGGUGGAGAUCCUGCCAUCAUGUACACAGGAGUGGAAUCUACGAACCGUCAAGUCCAAAAUAUAGCAGUGCCCAAAAAUCUAUCUGAUCCGUUCCUUUUAGAAUGGGCGAAAUUGGAUCAAAAUCCUCUGAUGACUCCAGUUGAUGCCAUUGGUUCAGAAUUUUUCAGAGAUCCAACAACUGCCUGGCUGGGGAAGGACAAAAGAUGGCGAGUGGUCAUUGGAAGUGAAAUUAAUGGUCAUGGGACAGCACUUCUCUAUCAAAGUGAGGAUUUUGUACACUGGGCUAAGAGUCAUAAACCCCUUCAUUUCUCAAAUAAAACAGAUAUGUGGGAGUGUCCAGAUUUUUACCCUGUCAGUACCAAUGAUACAAAGGGAAUUGACACUUCUGGUCUAGGUAGAACUACCAAGCAUGUGUUGAAGGCAAGCUUUUUCGGUCAUGAUCACUACAUAAUAGGGACCUAUGAUUCAGAAACAGAUGAUUUCUUUCCUGAUACUGACUUCAUGGAUAGCAAUGUGAAACUGAGAUAUGAUUAUGGUAUAUACUAUGCUUCUAAAACGUUUUUCGAUGGAGCCAAGAGAAGGAGAAUAUUGUGGGGAUGGGUAAAAGAGGCAGAUGAUCAAUCAGAUGACAUCAGCAAAGGAUGGUCUGGACUUCAGGUAGUUUAUAGCUUUGACUUCUAUUCUUUGCAGUUAGCCGACUUGAUUCACUCUUCUUUCUGCAUUUUCUGGCUAUCCUCUUCUAUUGUUUUGUUUUAGAAUUUCGGGAGCAUAUCAUUAAUCUGUUUCUCUAGAAGUUCAGGUUCUUCUCUCAGAUUCUCUAUUAGGUUGCUACUAUACAGUUUUCUUGAAAAGAAAAUCUAAAUUUGAGUUUUGAAACAGUAGCCUUAAAGUCCUUAGACGCUAUAAUUUGAUUAAAUAACUUCUCAAGACACGCUUUAAAUCUGUGCAUAUCUCUAAACUUCAGCACGAGUGACCCAAACUGUGUUGUAGUCAUUCCCUAGAACUAUCUUGCUUGACAAAAGUGGAAAGCAACUAUCACAAUGGCCAAUCGAAGAAAUUGAGGGUUUGCGCAAAGAUGAAGUUAAUCUUCAGAAUAAGGAGAUAGAGGGAGGUAACAUAUUCGAAGUUACAGGCAUCACAGCCUCACAGGUAAAAGAAUUCAUCCAUCUAAACUUUCUGUUAUCUGGUUGAGUUGACUCGUUGCUGAAGAAAUAACAGAAACUUUUGCUGCACAGGCUGACAUAGAAGUCUCAUUUCACCUGCCAAAUCUUGAUGAUGCUGAGUUAACACAUCCCGAAUGGCUUGAUCCUCAACUUCUUUGCAGCGAAAAGAAUGCAUCAACAGGAGGAGUUAUCGGUCCAUUUGGCUUGCUGAUCUUGGCUUCAGAAAACUUGACUGAAUAUACUGCGGUCUUUUUUCAAGUAUUCAAAGGCCAUGACAAGUAUGCUGUGCUCAUGUGCAGUGAUCAAAGCAGGUAAGCAUGUAAUUCAAGUCCACCUAAAGUCAUGCAAAUCAUAGUUUGUUCCAUCAUAUGUUACAUAAUUUUACAGGUCAUCUUUGAGAGAGGAGGUCGACAUAUCCACCUUUGGGGCAUUUGUCGAUGUAGAUCCUGCAGAAAAAAUAUCACUAAGAAGCCUGGUAUGCUGCCCAUGCUCCAGAAAUUUUCUUUUGCUAAUAAAGUUGAACCAAAGAACACAUAGAUCCCUAUUACUGUCAGGUUUUCUUUACUCUCUGAUCUUGUAAUAUUGUGGGCAAAACUAUAUCUAUACUUCAACAUGAUCGGCAUAGACCCGGAAAUGGUUUACUUUAUCUGCAAUUCAUGAACUGAAACAUCUUUUUCUCGGGGUCCCUUUCCUGAGAUUUUUCCUGGGCUAGACAAAAAACACUCAAGGGAUAGAUGUUUCUGCGUUUGCUACCAAGAAGUGGAAAACUGAACAUGUUUCUGUUCUUCAGAGUCAGAUUUAUGCUUCACCUUUUCUUUUUUCUUUUUUUUUUUUCUUUUCUAUAGAUUGACCAUUCGAUCAUUGAAAGUUUUGGAGGUGAAGGAAAGACUUGCAUCACUUCUAGAGUCUAUCCAACGUUGGCAAUUGGUCAGGAAUCCCAUCUUUAUGUAUUCAACUAUGGCACAGAAAGUAUCAGAAUCGCCAAUUUAAGUGCUUGGAGCAUGAGGAGAGCUCAAUUUUUCCAGUCGUCCACAAAGGAAGAAAAGCCGAAAUUGAUUGAGGAAUAGAUUUUUGGCGAUCAAAUUCAAGAAAUGCUUCUGAGCUCCUGUUGCUUUAUGAUUCUUUCCAAUAUUAUCAAUCGCAUCUUUGGUAGGAUACCAGUAUGUAGCCAAGGCAUGAUGAAAUUAAUUAAUCCAGGGCAGGUUUGCUAAUAGAUACAUUGCAAUCCGCCACUGGUCUGUAAUGACCUCCUUUGUUACUUUUUCUGUUUUAUUUUUUUUUAAAAUGAAUCAUUUAUAUAUGGCCCUACUCAUAGGUAGGGUUUGGAUUGGAUUUAUUUGAUUUAACUUCAUAUCAGACUUAGAUUAUAUAUAUAUAGCAUGAAAAAAAAUAACAUAAACAUAAAAGAAUUAUCAUUUUUAAAUAACAAAACUAAUAUUUUUAGAAUGUUGCAUGCAGUAAUUAGGGAGUAAAAGCAUGAGCCUCUAUCAACUAAUUCUAUCUAACGAAAAAUUUCAUUAAUUCCAAUAUUCUCUUCUUUUUCUUUUUCUUUUUUUUCUUCCAAUAACUUUGUUCCAGUCUAUGUUUUUGUUCACUUAUAGUAUCUGUGAUUUUUCUCCAUCGGCUUUUUUUUGCUGAUUUAUAUGUGCUUGCACUUUUGCAUGUGUGAUGGCAAAAACGGCGAUUGGUUGAUGUUGAACCUGUAGAUCCAAAUGGUAAGAAUUUAACAUUGGAAAUUAUGUUCCUUGGUUAAUUAUAAAGCUACAAUUGUUGUGGGAUAGACGGAACCAAAAAACUCUUAUCCAGCAGAAAAAUUUUUGUAUUAUAAAUGUUCAAAUUAACUAUCAUGCCAACUUUGAAAUAAUUUUAUACAUCAAUGGAUAAUAAUUAAUGUGAUAAAAUUCAUCAAGCAUUUCAUGAAUACAAAAUUAGACCUAAUAACUAAACAAACGUUAUGUAUUUACUUCAAAUUCGACGUGACACUUUGUCAUGGAGCCCUGUUUGGAUUGCCAUUUUCUGCCGGAAAUUGCAUCGUUUUCCAUGAUCACAUUUCCUUAUUAUUUUUUCUCUCAAAUGCAUCAAAUCGUUACAGUAAUUUUUUCAUGAAAAAUGACGGAAAAUACAAUCCAAACGGGAAGUCAAAUAAAUUACUUAUCUAACAAUGAAAACUACGCUAAACAAAGUUACUCUAUUCUUAUACUGAAGACAUAAUUCAAAUUUAUUAAAAGAGUAAAGGCCAUUAUUAGGAGGGAUAGAAACCAUAACAAAAAAAUAAUUUGAUAAGAAGUUAGAAAAAGAAAACGGUAAGACCGAGAUAUCUUUUUCUUUGCUCCUUUUCGAAAAAGUGACCCAAAUAUCUAGUUGACGCAUAAAUUCUCUUCAAUUAGACAUAUUGUUAAGAGGGAGGAAAGAAAAGUUGAUUAAAUUUACAGUUUUAGCAUUCUCUUUUUCUUAUCAUUCUAUCACUCAUAUGAAGUGCAUGUUACAUAAGGAUGUCAACUAAAAUGCUCUGAAUUCUAAUCUGAAACUUUGAUAAUUUACGCACAGUGGAAUAGUACAAGAUUUAAUCCGGUUAGCAAGUAAAUGGCAUGCAAAAAAUAAGUAAAUAAAUUAAAAAAAAAAAACACAUGCUAUAUGGAUGCUUUGGGCUAUGCUAAUUGUAAUCUGCAAAAAAAAAAAGAAAAAGAAAAUUAAAGAUGUUGUUUGCUUUUGGACUAUGCUAAAUGUACUUUACCGAUUUAGAGGAGAAUUGGGUUGAAUGGUAAAGUAGGAGGGAUUGUAAAUAGAGGGAAUUGAAUUGAAAAUCUCCCAUUCACCCAAUAUAUGUAUGUAUACACACACACACACUAGAGUCUAGAUUGCUUGAUACAGAAUCCGUUUGAUUUGGAGUUUUUUUUUUUUUUUUAAAAUACAUAAACAUUCUAUAAACAUGAUAUGUGUGAGGUAAAAAGAUAAUUCAUAAACAUUUCAAAAAAAUUCUAAAAACUUUUUGAGGAAAACUCACAAUCUACAGUGCUCUUAAUCUGGAUUAGCGAAUUUUUUUUUUUGUUACAUCAUAAACAUGUUUCUAAUCACCAUUUUAAAAAAAAUUUUCAAUCACAUUUUUAUUUCACAUACGUUACAUUCCAAAAGUACUACAUUUUUAUUCCCAAAAAAUCUUCAAUCCAAACAUUAAUGUAAUGUGAAAUGAAGAUAUAUGGAUGCUUUGCUUUGCAAUCUAUUUUCUGUAAAGUAAAUAUUGCAAUAUGUCUAUUUAUACUGACAACUUAAUCAUGACUUUUUUUUUGGUUGCGUUUUUUUGUUUUGGUGGUGCUGGGGGGGGGGGGGGUGUUCCAGGCUUCUUUGAGCUUUUGGGAAGCCAGAAAGGAUACUGUAGCAUGGAUUAUUUUACACGCUUGACCAUGCAUUCAACUUAUUGCUAACUGCCAAUUUGAGGCCUAGUUAUUCAUCCUAAUUUAAACAAUUCUACAAUCAGUUUGACCGUCCUUGGAACCAUGUGGAGGUUAAUUAUUAGUCAAAUCUUGAACUUUAUUUUAGGUUGCAAGUUGCAACUUGAUUGGCUAAUUAGCUCAUCGAGUAUGAUAUACUAUUAAUAUCUGAUUUUAUUUUAUUUUUACUUUGCUGGAAGACAGAGAAUGCAAGUUUUGACCAACAGAGGAUGGCUGGUUUUCAGUUUACACCUUAAUUAAACUAUUUCUUUGCCAUUACAGGAAGAAACCAUGGAGGGGUACUUGUUUUGGAUACUGAUACUGCAGAUUUUCUUCAUUGCUUAUCGAGGCCGAGUUGGUUAUUCUCAUGGAGUUCAAAAGGAUCUCCAGUACAAUCCCAAGAACCAGCCCCAUAGGACAGCCUACCACUUCCAACCUCCUAAAAACUGGAUGAAUGGUAUGUACUCUUAAUCAUGAUUGGGUCCUGAUAACGUUUUUCAACUCUAUGUUAGUCUAAUCUUGUUAAUUCUGGUUUUUUCUUGUGCUUAUUUUAUAUGAUUUGCAUUUGUUAUGGCAAACAUGGUGACUGGUCAAAAACGAACCUGCAGAUCCAAAUGGUAAAGAUUUCCAAGUUCUUUACUGUGUUCCUUCUUGCUGAUCUCAAAAAGAAAUGAUCACAUGAAUUAUCAGUCAAGUGGUUUUUCCGAUAUUGAAUCAGGUGAAACUAGCAUAUUUUGGUCUGACAUUUUUCAUUGUACAUCACACAGGUCCGAUGUACUACAAGGGAAUUUACCAUCUUUUCUACCAGUAUAAUCCUUAUUCUGCAGUAUGGGGUAAUAUAUCCUGGGGACAUUCUAUAUCUUAUAAUCUGGUAGAUUGGAUUCAUAUAGAGCAAGCUAUUAAUCCAACUGAGCCUUAUGACAUCAAUGGUUGCUGGUCUGGUUCUGCAUCAAUUCUUCCUGGGGGAAAUCCUGUAAUUCUUUACACUGGAUCAGACUUUAGAAACCGUCAAGUUCAGAACAUAGCAGUGCCCAAAAAUCUAUCUGACCCUUACCUUAGAGAAUGGAUAAAAUCCGAUCACAAUCCUUUGAUGACUCCAAUGAAUGGCAUUGAUCCACAAUUCUUCAGAGACCCUACAACUGCCUGGGAAGGCCCAGACAAAAUUUGGCGAGUUGUCGUUGGGAGCCAAAUUAAAGGUCACGGGACAGCUCUUUUGUAUCAGAGCAGAGAUUUUGUGAAUUGGACUAGGAGUCAUAGACCCCUUCAUUUCUCAAAUAAAACAGCAAUGUGGGAGUGUCCUGAUUUCUACCCUGUUAGUGUUGAUGGCAUAAAUGGACUUGACACAUCCGUGCAGGGUACAGGUACCAAGCAUGUGCUCAAGGCAAGUUUUAAUGAUCGUGACUACUACAUAAUAGGAACCUAUGAACCAGAAACAGACACAUUUACUGUUAAUCCUGAUUUCAUGGAUAGCAAUGUCAAACUGAGAUACGAUUAUGGAAUAUUUUAUGCUUCUAAAACUUUUUAUGAUAGCGCGAAGAGGAGGAGAAUACUGUGGGGAUGGGUAUUGGAGGCGGAUGGUGAACCAGAUGACAUCAACAAAGGAUGGUCUGGACUUCAAGUAAUAUAGCACAAUACACUAUUUUCUUCAUGUUUGCCGAUGACUCGAUUACUUGGCUUCUUGAUUUGCAUUUUUCUCGCAUUGGUUUUUGCUUAUCAUUUUACUUUCUAGAAGGGUGUUGCUCAUGGUUGAGGCAAGUUGCUAUUAUGCCAAUUCUUUACUAGUUUUUCUAAAGAAAGCAUAUUUCGUUCAUUACGUAGGAACAAACAACAAAUGAAUGUUAAGGAACCAAUAGAUGGUUAGAGUCCUAGCUGCUCAAAAAUCCAUCAACUGAUAUGCUACAUUUAUUCUGCAGUCGCUCCCCAGAAGUAUCUUUCUAGACAAAACUGGAAAGCAAUUAUCGCAAUGGCCUAUUGAAGAGAUAGAGACAUUGCGCAGAAAAGAAGUAAAUCUUCAGAAUAAAGAGAUAAAGGGAGGUACUAUGUUUGAAAUUACAGGUAUCACAGCUUCACAGGUAAGAUAUCAUACUGUUUGUUUCUUUUAUGGGUUAAUAGUUAUUAGAUGGAGUCUGCUGGAGACCUAAUGAAAGAUUUUCUACAUAGGCUGACAUAGAAGUCUCAUUUCACUUGCCAAAUCUUGAUGAAGUUGAAUUGAUGCAUCCCGAAUGGCUGGACCCUCAAUUCCUUUGCAGUGAAAAGAAUGCAGCAACAGGAGGAGUAAUUGGGCCAUUUGGUAUUUUGGCCUUGGCUUCAAAAGACUUGACUGAACAUACUGCUGUCUUCUUUCGAGUAUUCAGAGGCCAUGAUAAUUAUGUCGUGCUUAUGUGCAGUGAUCAAAACAGGUGUGCUUUUCAGCAAUAAUCAACUUCUUCAAAUCAUGUCAAUGAUAGUCGUCGUUCAAGUUUUGAUACCAUUUACAGGUCAUCUUUGAGAGAGGAGGUUAAGAAAUCCACUUUCGGGGCUUUUGUUGACGUCGAUCCUGUAGAGAUGAUUUCGUUGAGAAGCUUGGUACUUACUCAUGGUCCUUCAGUUUACGUUGGCUAUAAUUGUUAACUGAAUUGACCAAUAAAUCGCUUAUGCUAUCUGGUUUUCUUACACUAUUCUAUCCCAGCAAUCAUGCCUGCAUCUAUAAACUUAUGUUAUUCUUUAGCUUCCAAGGCGAGAUGAAAUGGUUAAUCUGCAAUUGACAAACUGAAACAUUCCAUCAUUUCCGUUCUCUUUGUAACAGUGUUACAGUCCAGACAAUAUUCUGACUAGAUGUUUAUGCUCUUUCCACCAAGAAAGACAAAGGGGAAGAUUUUUCUGUUCUUAGAAAUAAAAAAUUUCGGUUUAUACUUUACAGUAAUGUUUCUCCCUUUUUUGGCAGAUCGACCACUCAAUCAUCGAAAGUUUUGGAGGUGAAGGAAAGACCUGCAUCACUGCUAGAGUCUACCCAAAGUUGGCUAUUGGCAAUGAAUCACAUGUUUAUGUAUUCAACAAUGGGACAGAAAGUAUUAGAAUCUCCAAUUUAAGUGCUUGGAGUAUGAAAAGAGCUCAAAUUUUUGCAUUGCAUAAAAGAAGAAAGCCUGAAAUUGAUUAAGAAAUAUGUUUCGUUGGAAAUACACUUGAUUGAUUUGUUACUAUCCAAUUCAAGCUUCUUCGAUCUUCCGUUGUUUUCUGCUCCUUACAUAUUUUUUUAUUAAUCUGCAACUGAAAUAUUCGUACAUAGUACUGUUUAAGUCCAGGCAAAAAUGGGGAAAAAUGUUGCUGUUCUUGGAAGUUUACAGUAAUGUUUCUCCCUCGUUUUUGCAGAUUGACCAUUCAAUCAUUGAAAGUUUUGGAGGUGAAGGAAAGAUCUGCAUCACUGCCAUAGUCUACCCAAAGUUGGCUAUUGGCAAUGAAUCACAUGUUUACGUAUUUGACAAUAGGACAGUAAGUAUUAGAAUCUCCAGCACAGUGCUCGGAGUAUGAAGAGAGCUCAAAUCUACCCAAAGCCGGCUUUGCCUUGAUAAAAGAAUGUUACACAAUGGUGUCAGAUUUCGGUUACUAUUUAAUGAUUACCAUACAUAUGCACGUAUGUAGCUGUGGUAAAUGUGGAAGUACAACAUAUAACCAAAAUAGAGCCUAAACGAGCCGAGUGGAGAUUGCACAACUCGAGCUCUAGGCCUCUUUGAAUUACCAUUUUCUAGAGUUUUUGUUAAAAAAAUGUACUAUAGUGAUUUGAUACAUAUGAGAUAAAAGGAUGAUUGAAAAAUAUAUUUACAAAAAACGUAGAUAUUUAGUUUUAAGUUUCUUGGCCUUUACUUCGUCCUUAAGUAAUAUAAAAUUAGUAUUUUAUAUAAUUUUAAAAUUAAUAUAAAUUAAUAUUUUAUAACAUUUCAAACAAGAGACACAGUAUAUAUUUCAUGCUAAUAUACAUAAAACUUUAAAAUAGACAUUCUCAAUGAGAUUUCAAACUUUAUAUAUGAGGUUUGAACUCAAACUAGUCAACCAAUUUAAAUUGCUCGAAUUCAAACUAUUCGGGAAAAUAUCUAAAUGUAAUGGUGUAAUAAUUGUGAUGGUCUGUUUUUAUGUGGUAAUUCAUGCCUAUAAGAUACCGUUAGAAAAAAAAUCCAAAUUUAAAUUGUAAAUACAAAAUACUAUACCUUCCAUUACAAUAUGGAUGAAAGGGAUGAUUAAGAACUAGAUAAUAGACACCCACAUAUUAACUUUCAGUGUUUAUUAUAAAUAAUGUCAAUUGUAGUCUUGUUUUGUGAGAACCCGUAAUUUUCUUAAUUGCUAGGUUUUAUUUUCUUUUAAUUGCACGUUUUUCCACAUUUUCUUAUUUGGAAAAUCUUAAAAAUAAUUUUUAUGAGUAAAUAUGAUUUUUAAAUAAUUUAUCUAGUAUCGCAUAGUUUUUGAAGAAUUAAGAGCAUAUACCGGACGUGGGAUCCACUAGGGCGAAAAGUUCGGAAAAUUCGGCCAACUAGGUUAAGUUUCGGAUAUUGGUUUAAAUUACCGGGUGUUGUGAGAUAAUUAGAGGUUGCUAUGUGGAUUGAUGUGAGAGGGAACAAAGGGAUAGAGAUACAUUAAUAGAGUGACAAGUGUCACUUGGCCAUUGGUUGCACUUUUUGACUACUAUUCACACUUUUACCAUUUGGUUAAAAUAACUCAAAAAUUGACCAAAAAUUCACUCAAAAUUUGCUCUUCAUAGCCGGCCCUCUCCUCCAAGAAAGAAAGGAAGAAAACUCUUCAAAUUCUUGCCUCCAUCUUGCUCAAAUUCAACUAAUCAACCACUUAAUCUUGCUUUUGUUCCAUAGAAACCUUUAAGUGAGUGAUUGUGAGGUGUUUGGUGAAGUUGUUUGGAAAGCUAAGGUGACAAGUUGCUCUCUCUCUUGUUUUACUAAGGUGAGUAGUGAAGGAACCCCUCUCCUCCACCUAAUGAAGUUAAAUUUUUGACUUGUGGUAGUUGAAGUAAUGAUUUUUGGUGUUAUUCCUUGAUUUUUGGUUGAAUUGGUGAAAUUUUCCAUUUAUGGGUGAUUUUUCUGUUUUAAUAUGAUUGUUAUGGUGUGGCUAUGUAUGAUGAUUGGAAAUGAUCUAGAAUAAAGUUAGAAGGUGGAAAAAGUGGUUAAUUGCAGGAAAUUUUUGUUUUGGAAGAAAAUUGGAAAAGUUAGGGUUUCAUUACUCUACAUUCUGCCCGGCACUGUAGCUCAUAGUUAGAGGCCGAAUUGGCCUUGGGUUAAAACAUGAAAGUUGUAGGGAAUGAUAUUUUAGAGAUGCCUACAAAAUUUUAGGUCAAUCGGAGUAGCGUAUCUUAUGAAAAGACCAAAAUACCCCUGCUACCCUGGUUUCACCUGAACUUGAGAAUUGCUUCUGUAAUUGGUUAUUUUGGCUGGGAAUACUUCUGAACUGAUUGUUGAGGUCUUCUGAAGAAAUGUAACCUGAUGUCUUAGCUUUCGGAUGGCUUUGGAAUCACCUGAUUUGGACUUAGGUAGCCUAACUUAUGAUGUUUGAACCAGAAUGUGGUUUGUCCAGCAGGUUUUGCGGUUCUGGUCUAGUAUCUUGCAUUUUUGACCUAGUUGUGAUAUGAACUGGACUGAGUGACCUUUUGCAAUAUUGUAUCCCUAUCUCUUAUCUUCGAAACGAUGGGUCUUGUACCUCCAUCCGAUAAUCGUAGUGCCAAUGGUGCCAAAACCGCAAAAUGACGUCAAAAACUGUUUUUAUGGUGUAGAGCUUAAUUCCAUUUCCGGAAAUGUUUCUAGCUUGAUUUUUGUAUUUAUAUGACUUUUAGCCUAGUGAACGGCUUUUGGAAAUGAGAUUAUUCUGUAUGAGAUAUUGGGACUGAUUUGAGGAAAAUAAUGAAGCCAUUAGUGGUUGGAAAAAUAGGUAAACACAAAGGGCAUGCUGCCCAAAAUUUUAGGACUAUGUGAUUUCCUUCAAUUGAAUUGAUCUUAGUACAAAUGAGGGGUUUUAGGGGUUGUUUAUAACCCUAGGACCAACUGUUAUCUUUUGCUCUAUAUUAGUACUUAACCUAGGAAAGCAUACGACAUCUAGUCGAGCCUUACUUAUGCAUUCCGUUUACUCGAUUUUAGAUGUGAAACCUUCAAUUGGUUUACUUUGAUGAUUUUAGGAUUUCUUGGCGAUUAAAGCCAAUCCGAAGUGAAAACUUUUGAAGUGUUUGUAUUUGAACCGGUGAGUGUACCACUCCCCUCCAUUGCUGUUUAACUUGAUUUCUGCCCUGCAAUCUGUGAUUUAAAUGACUGCACUAUCUGUUUAAUUUGUUAGAGACGAUGGUGUACUUUAUCACACUCAUUCUCUUGUCUGUUCAUAUGCCAAUUUUGGUGCGAAUCUGAAUCUGUAUCUGUAUCUGAUAUCUGUAUCUGUAUCUGUUCGGACGUCGUUUGGAAACUUGUAUCCAACGACCUUUCUGUGACCUCUGAACUCAACCCCUGUGGCAAGUUACUCGAGUCUGGCCGGCAAGGGCCUGGCCGAUUAGAAAACGAACCACGGUAGUCUGUUUUGAGAUCUUUGGGUAUUGAGACCCUUGAUUCCGGGUAUACUCGAGUAUUACCGCUUCUGUUCUGUUCGAUGUUGGGGCCCGGUAGGGGUAUGUGAAGUGGAAGGAGUCGGAGAAAGUGGAGUCUAUGGUAUUGGUUACUUCUUUAACGUUGACGGAGUGUCAACUAUUAUUUCGAUCAAAUCGGUGAAGCAAAUGGGAAUUUAGCUCCUGAGAGCCACCCAUAUCCUUUCUGUCUAUGGUGUUUGUUCUGUUUGUUCACUUCUUUAUUUGAUUCGCAUAUGUGAUUAAUUGACUGUGAAAUUCCAUGUUUCUUACUUGCUUUUGGUACCUCAUUGAGCGUAAGCUCACCCCCUUCCCGUUAUCUUUGUUUUCCUUACAGGGAACCACUUUUGGGGCUAAGAUGUUUUGAAGCACAAGUCGAACUAGUUUUAAUAUCUUUUGUAAAGCUCCUCAAUAGUUGGAAAAAUUUAAAUGUAUUUUCAUCCAAUGUUUUCUUUUGGUUGGUAAACUUAUUAAUAUGUACAUAUUAAAGUGUUUCCUCAUGUUUAUGUGAAAUUUGUAUUUCGGAAUGUACAUCCUCUCAUGUCAUAAUGGGUACUUGUACCUGGUUGGAUGAUGACGUGGUAGCGGCCCGUCCAAUUCGAUUUGAUUCUUAUAGUUUUAUUCCGAUUUUGUUUGAGUGAACGAAUGAGUUCCGACGAGAGUUGGGCAAGCAGUCCGCUAAUCUCUUUAGUUCGCCUUAGGGGAAAGUGGGGCUGUCACAUGUUUAUUGUAUUUUAUAUUAACUAGUAAUACUUCACGUACUUUUGCGCAUGAUUUUAUCAUCCAAAAAUGUAGUAUUGUUAGAUGCUAAAUUUUUUUUAUAAUUUUGAUUGUCAAUUGCAUAAUAUAAUAUUCCAGUAUUUUUCAUUUUCAUUAACCAAUUCUUUUGAAUGCAUUAGGUCAUAAGCUUUCUCUUUUUGUUUUUUAAAGCCUUUAGAGAAUUUAUAUCUUUUAACGCUAACAAACAAAUGUCAAUACAGUCAUGUUUUAUCAAAGUCAUUGCACACUUUUAAUAUCAUUAUACUUAAACCACAAAGGUUAAAAUGUAACAUCAAUUUUAAAAAGGAUAAAUGUAAAUGAAUUAGUUUAUAUUAGUUUUAUAAUUCCAACUCAACUAUCAUAUUAUAUGUUUAUCUCAGUCCUUUCUUCCUUCUGUUCCUAACAAACUCAUUUUCUUGCCGAAGUGUAAAUCAGAACCAUCAAACUAUAAUCCUUAAAAACCAGUAAGAUUUGACAAAGAUACAAAAUGCUUUAACAUAAUCAUUAAUAUUUCAAAUAAUAUGGCAAUAUCAACACCUUAGCUUACAUACCUUUUUUUUUAAGACAAAGAAAUUGUAAUAGUAGAGUUAGAAUAGGUUGAUUAAUUUAUAGAUUUUGACAUAGUAUCAAUACUUGAAACAAUAUGCAUAAUAUGUUGCUUGCCAUUUUUUUUUAAGGACUAAAGUAAACAGAUUGUUAUAGUAGACAUUGUAGAGUAAAUCUUAAGUCUUGCAUAAAUGUUUCCAUGUUCUACCUUUAUUAUUUUCAAGUAAUAUGAGCUAAAUUUGUAAGUGAUGUAAUAACAUGGUUCAAUACGAAAUCAGAUGCAUGUUUCUUAAUUUGAAUAGAUAUAAAUUAUCUUCAUAUUAUUCUUUUUUUAGUGUUAUUUUUGUUAAUAACGAAAUAUAAAUUGUCCACCAUAUUCAAUUGUUUCUCUGUUCCUUUUUGUUAAUUGAAAUUUUAUUAGGAGAGAUAUUUGGACAUACUUUUUUCUUCAUUUUUAAUGCUGUUUUUACUUCACUUGUAUGUUAUUUUUUUUUUAGCUGACUCUAUUAAAAAGAGUUAAUUACACUUUACUUGCCUGUACUUGGCCGUGAGUAGCAUUUGGCCCCCUAUACUAAGAAAUAUACACUUUAUCCCUCCAUGUUAACAUCUUGAGGGUUCUAAAUCAUAUCAUCAAUUCUCAUUCCAAGACUAACCCUAAUUGAAAUUUUUACACAUGGAGUACAAUUUGUAACACUAUCCCAAUGGUCACAUUGUUAUCUGUUGCUCGAUAUUCUCUGCAAAUUUGGCUAUAAAAAAGCAAAUUGAACUCUUGCACAUUCCAAACUAAAAAAGCACUUUAUUUAGCCACCAUACCAUUUGAUAAACAUCCAGAAACCCAACCAAAAUACAUCAACUAGAAAAGCAACUAGAAAGCAGAAGAUGCAUAAAGCCUCAUGCUCAUCUCAUUGUUCAUUACAAUGCUUAAUCAAGAAAGGAAAUACUUUGACAGAUAGGUUACACUCCCACCUUAAUUCUCCCUGUCACUUCAUCAAUUAAAGGGCCAUCAAUUAUAAUAGAGCAAAUUAUCCGGUUAGCCCAUUAAAUUUUUGUAAUCGUCGAGUUUUGGCCAUUCAACUAUUAAAAAUCUGGUUUUGACCACUAAAAUGUAUAAAGUUAAGACGUGAGACCAUUCUGUUAUAUUUAGCCAUUAAAUUCGCCGAUCUGUCUAUCCACGCGAUUUCCAAGACAAAAGGCAGGGUCAAUUUAGGAACACUACGCCAAUCAGCAUUUCCAUCCGGAUAACUCUCAUUUCUCAGGUCACAAUUUCGGUCCCCUUUGCUGUUGUUCCUUUUCACAUCCCAAUUCUUUAGCGAAUCUCCUCCGUCACCCAUAUUGUAGCGGUCAUCGUCUUCUUCGUCCACGUCUUGUUCUUCAUCUUCUUGAGUUUUGAAGUUGUCGUCGUCAGAGUCGUCGGGGGAGUGAAGAACAGAGGCAUCUUCGGCGUGGCAGAUGGAGCCGAGAAGGUUGAGUAAGCAGUUGGCGGUGACGCGUUGGAUCAGAUCGGAGAAGUUGGAGACCUUGGUUGUGGUGGCGGGCAUUUUGUUGAUCCUGACUGAGUUUGUGCGACUCGGGCUGCCAGUCACUCAAGAGUGGGCAGUGGCAUCAGUAAAAUGUGUGAGUAGUAGUAACUAGUAGGAUUGUAGGAUUAGUCAACGAGUUAAAGCAUUUGUUUGGUAUAGAACAUUUUUUUUUCUUCUCUUCUCGGUAGAGGCUCGGUUUAGAUUUAUGGUUAUUUUAUCUUGGUUAUUUUGUCUGUUAUAUAUUUUUUUUAAGAGAUUUUCUUGGUUACCACUCACUAGGAUUCAGUUAGCAAAUAUACGAGUGUUACCAUGCCAAAGUGGAGUCUUGCAAAAAAUAUUUUUUAAGGGAAGCACUCACUGCUACCGGUAGCGGUGGAUGUGAGGGGUGAACAUAGUGAGACUGGGAUGUUUCCUCCGUCUCCUCUAGGAUGGUGAUCUUGGAAUUUGCAAGCACAACGAAGAAUUUGACGCUCGGAAAUCUACUAGUGGCGUUGGAGGAGUGAUGUUUGAAGUGGAUGAAAAGGGUUUGACAAAGAUUUGAGGAUGGGAGGAAGAAGAGCGACAAUUUUUGAGAGAAGCAUUGAAUGCUAUGUCGAACUUCCUAAAUUGACCUUGUCUUUUGUUUUGGAAAUCGCGCGGACAAACAGAUUGACGAACUUAACGGCUAAAUCUAACAGAAUAGCCUCGCGUCUUAACUUUAUACAUUUUAGUGGUGAAAACCAGACUUUUAAUAUUUGAAUAACCAAAACUCGACGAUUGCAAAAAUUUAGUGGCCAACCGGAUAAUUUGCUCAUUAUAAUAUUACGAGAGGAAUCAUGAUGGCGCAAGAUAGGAGUAGUAGUUUUGGAAGAAUUUUAAAUGUUUUUAACUUGUUACUGAUGACAAUUAAGAUUAUUUAGUCUUUUUUUGUUUUCUUUUUUAAACGUCACAUGAGGUUUUAUUUUUUAGACGCUACUAUUCUUGGCUAGUGGAUAAAAUUGUCUAUACAAAUAAUAUAUAUGGGCAUUAAUAUCAGCUCACUAAUUUUUUUUUUACGAAAUUCUAAAAUCUAAUGUCAGUAUGAAGUAAAAUGUAUAUAUUCUAAGUUUAAGGGAGUAAAGUGUUACUUAACCCUAACUUCAGGAGGGUAAAGUUUAAUUGGCCCUAUUAGAAAGCAUACGCAAAGCAUAAGUAAGGACUCCUGUGUCCUAAGAGUACUUUUUUUAAAAUAAAGGUUAUGAAAUUUAUAUUAAAUAACAUAUAUAUAUAUAUGUUAUAUAUACACAUACACAUGCACAAAGCCAAAUUUGAGACGGAUUGCAGUAGUAGUCAAAGAGUUUUAUAUUCAGCAACCAUUAUUAUUUAUCAUAAUUCAAAAUUAAUGUUUCAUUUUUGUAAAUGUUAUCACAAUUUAAAUAUAGUGAAUAUGAUUAAUGGACAAUAGGUAGUUUGGAUAUAAUGAAAAGGACAAACUUCAAUUUGUAUCUUAGAACUUGUAUCACUUUCCUAUUUUAUACCCUAAAUUUUAAAUUUGAACACUUUGCUCUCUAAACUCUCAAUUUUAGAUACUUUGCACUCUAAAUUCUCAAGUUUUUCAUAUUUAAAUCCAAUCAAUAACAUCUUUUGCCAAAUUAAUGGCAUAAAGGAUCCAACAAACUAAUAAUAAUGUGCCAAAAGUAAUCAAAAGGUGUCAAGGUAUCAGAACAAAAAUAAAACAAUGCAUCAUCAUUAUUUUGCACCAUCUUUUAUCUUAUUAAUUUGGCUAACAAUAUUAGUAAUUGAAACCAUAUAAAUAAAGAAUAAUAUGCUAAAAAUGUUCAAAAAAAAACUAAGAGAUCGUAGUUGGAAUAAACUAGUACCUUGUUAUUAAUUUUUAUUGUCAUUUAUCUUGUUAAUUUUGUGAAUGUCAUCAUUGAUUAGAUUUAGAUGGGACAAAUUUAAGAGACUAAGGUGCUGAGUGUCUCAAAAUGAAGUUUAUGAUGUAAAGAAAGACUGAUAUAAGUUUAGGGGUACAUAGUGACAUAAAUCCUAAUGAAAACUAAGACAAUUUUGUGCUUGCAUCCAAAAUAUCAAGUCUCACGGUACUUUAUGUAUAAAUAGAUAAUUUUUUUAAAAUUAGACGGCAACAACUAAUCUUAUCUACUUCUAGUCCUACUCUAGCUCACACUAGGGAAGGAGAAGCCCAACAGUAACUAGCUUAAUUUAUUUCUAGUCCUAUUUUAGCCUACACUAGGGGAGGAAAGGCCAACGAAGUUUAAAGAAAUCGACGGAACUGAACUACCAUUGAACCAGCUAGCGUAGUCUACUUCUAAUCCUACUCUAACCUACACUAUGGAAGAAAAGGCCCAACAGAGCCUAGAGAAAUCGACAGGAGAUGGCAACAACUAAUCUAAUCUACAUCUAGUCCUACUCUAGCUUGCACUAGGGAAGGAGAAGCCCAACAGCAACUAGCCUAGUCUACUUCUAGUCUUAUUCUAGCCUACACUAGGGGAGGAGAGGCCAACGAAGUUUAAAGAAAUCGACGUGACUGAAGUACCAUCGGACCAGCUAGCGUAGAAAUCGACGGGAUUGAACUACCAUCGGAUUAGACGAAUGUAUUAUGUACCCGUAUAGAUUUAGAAGAAACCACACAUAGUGACACAUUAAUAGUAGGUAAGGUUUAAACCCUUGAUCUUCCAUUCUACCAAAAUUUAAAAUCUUUAGUGGUUGCCAACGGUCCAAAGGGCUGUUAGUUAUGUAUAAAUAGAUAGAUAGACUGGUAUUUUACUUCAGUUAGGAAGCUAGAGAUUGGAAACUCUAUAUUAAUUAUGUUAAUUGGUGUCUUUAGUUACAUAGAAGUCUCAUUUCACUUGCCAAAUCUUGAUGAAGCGGAGUUGAUGUAUCGCAAACAACUGGAUCCUCAAUUUCUUUGCACUGAAAAGAAUGCAGCAACUGGAGGCCAUUUGGUAUGUUGGCCUUGGCUUCAACGCAGUUGACUAAACAUACUGCCGUCUUCUGUUGCGUACUCAGAGCCCGGAGGCCAUGAUAACUUCGUCGUGCUCCUGUGCAGUGAUCAAAGCAGGUGUGUCUUUCAGCAUUAAUCAACUCCUUCAAGUCAUGUCAGUGAUAGUCAAAGUCCAAGUUAUCUUUGAGAAAGGAGGUUGACAAAUAUGCUUUUGAGGUUUUAGACUUUCUGUAGAGAAGAUUUCACUGAAAAGCUCGGCACUUACUCAUGGUCCAUCAUCUUACUUUGGCUAUGUAUCUGAAUUAACCGGUAAAUCGCUAUUUCUUUUACGGAAAAAAAUUGCUAUUUCUUCCAGGUUUUGUUACGCUAUUGCAUCCAAGCAAUCUUGUCUGCAUCCAUAAACUGGACAUUUUCCCUUUGGCUUCCAAGGCGAUAUGAGAUAUUUUAUCUGCAAUUGACAAAUUGGACAUUCAUGAUAUUAUUCAGGUUUUCUUAUAUUUUUUGUGCUCUUUCCACUAGGAAGGAAAACUGAAAAAAAAUGUCUAAGUUCUUGGAAGUUUGAUUCUCAGUUUGAAGUAAUAUUUCUCCCUUUUUUUGGCAGAUUGACCAUUAAAUCAUAGAAAGUUUUGGAGGUGAAGGAAAGGCCUGCAUCACUGCUCGAGUCUACCCAAAUUUGGCUAUUAACAAUGAAUCACGUGUUUAUGUAGUCAACAAUGGAACAGAAAAGUGUUAGACUCUCCAAUUUAAGUGCUUGGAGUAUGAAGAGAGCUAAAAUUUUUCCAUUGCAUUAAAGAAGAAAACCUGAAAUUGAUUAAGAAACAUAUACCACAUGAAAUAUAGUUCAUUGAUUUGUAGAUAUUGAAUCCAAGCUUGUUGGGUUUUUCAUUGUUUUCUGUUUCCUUGAUUUUUUUUUAUAUCCAUUUCUUUUUGUAUGAUUACCAUUAACUCAGCUUCAAGACUUCAAAAAAAAGUGGUCUAGCUACUUAGGGUUGGCAAUUUUCGACACGACCUGAAAAUACGACACGAACCUAACACGAAAUUAAUGGGUUUGGGUUGAGGUUUCGGGAAUUCGGGUCAGAAUCGGGUUGAACCCGAUGAACCCGAAAAGAAAACAGGUCGAUUUCGGGUCAACCCGUGGUGACCUGAUAUGACCCGUUUACGAAUUAAAAAUAAUUUUAUCUAACUAAACUAAGUUAUUCUUUUUUUCAAAGGCAUUAAUUACUUAAUCCUAAAUGAAUUUAUUUAAUUUGUGUGAAGUUGAAAUUAUUAUAUUUGGACAAAUAAUAUAUUAUAUUAUUUUUUACUUUUAUACUGUUUUAAUUUAUUUUAUAUUUUGUUUGGGAUAAAACAAUUUUACGGUGUUUAAUUUAUUUUAGAUUUGGUUUGGAAUUAUUUAUUUAAAUUUUUAUUACUUGAUUAUGUAAUUAGUUUUGUGAGAAAUUAAUUUUAUUAGAAAUUACAGUGAUAAAUUAAUAAAUUAAAAUUAAAUUUCGGCUCAUUUCGAGUCGACCCGCCAACCCGUCAACCUGAAAUUUUCGGGUUCAGGUCAAUAUACCUGACCCGUCACGGGUUGGCGGGUCGGAUUCGGGUCAAUAGAUUUUCUGAUGGGUCGGGUCAGACCCGACCUGUCAACCUGAUUUGGACCCGAAUUGCCACCCCUAUAGCUACCGUAGUUGGCCUUGAACUCAAACUAUAAUACGAGAUUUAAAAUAAGAUUAAGUUUUUAUAUAUUGACAGUGUAUACAUUGUUAUAUUUGAAUAAGUGCCACAUAUGUCGAAUUUGAAUUUCAAAACUAAAAUUUACUUAUGUGGCAUUUAUUUAAUCGUGAUAGUAUAUAUACUGUCAGUGUAUACAAAAUUUACUCUCUAAAAUAUAUAUUGCAAAAAUGAUAGAGCAAUUAUUGGGCAUAUUUUGCGCUGUUAUUCUAUCUUCAUUUUGGUUACUUACUGUGCUAUAUUGAGAUUUUGCUUAUAUUUGAUGUUUGUGUAAAUUGUAGGUGGUCGGUAUCAAAAGUGAUCUCCCGAGAUAAAUUUUCAGAAGACUCUUUAUUUCAUAGCGUGCCCAGGUCAAAAACUGAAGGAAGACAUCUAAAAGACGGACCCCGCGGGAUUGGUAAAGGAACAAAAGAACUAGGAUGCAGCUACUCUCUAAAAGCUUUUGAGCUUUGACGUUUUCGUAAAGCAAGAAGGGAGACGGCCAAUAAAAACAAAGUCAGAUUCACGUCAAAUAAGGAGAUUAGCCUUUGCUUUGCUGGAGAGACGCUUCUUCCUUUCUUGGCGGCGGCUAUUGUGAGGGAUUUGGCUAAAAAUCCAGAUUCACGUGGGAUUGAUCAGUUUAGCUUUUAGUUUUCCUUGUUAGACAAUUUACUCUUUCUUACAUUUUCUUACAGAAAGUAAGAUUUUCGAGAAAUAAAUCUAAUUCCCAACAGCACCUCCAAAAGCCGGCAACUUUUGGAGACGUGCUGGGGACUUAUAACCCUAAACCCAACCCCCCCAGUACCGAUGUUGGAACUAGCACAUCCCCACAGGGGCACCCCGCUGCUAAGACCUAAAGAGACCCCAGACACCCACUGACACAGGAAUUUGCUCUUUCUUACAUUUUCUUACAGAAAGUAAGAUUUUCGAGAAAUUUUCUUACAUUUUCUUACAGAGACAAUUUACUCUAUGCUUUAGGUUUUGUACGAUUUUGGUUAGACUUUUGCUUUUACCUUUCUUUGGUCCUAGUAUGAACACGAAACCCAGAGAUAAGAAAGACUUUUCGUCUGUCUCCUCGUUCUCUCUUCUUUCUCAACUUGUUGAUAAUUGAUUGAAUGAUUUCAAUUAAAUCACGUGAGAUUGAUAUGAUGAGAAGCGGUUAGGUUUUUCCUUUACCCAAAGGUCGACGCGAAGGCGUGGUCCAUAACAUCUGUGAGAUUUAAUCGAAUUUUCAUUAUUUCUUCCAAUUCGUUACUAUUCGUGCGUUUCUUGGGUUAAUUGUUCAUGGGUAUUUUAUUAAUUGAGUAUCAACGGCCGGAUAUUUAAUUUAAUUUAAUAGCUUAUUGUCACGUUAACUAAAUUGAAUCCCUAAUUAUUCAUUUAGUUGACAACUAAUGACAACCAUCAUAAUUGGCUUUGUGUUGGGGAAACAUAAGAUUUAGUUUAAAUAAACCCUCUUAGCGUGUUUAUUGGUUAGGAUUGAGUUCUUCUAGCAGCCAACGGUCGUACCUUUGCUGUUGAAAAAGUGAGGAAGAAUUGGCUGUCAGAGAUUGUUUAUGGCUAUAACCAAUCUAAUGAUGAAUGAAUGAAAUAUUUUUGCAUGAUGAUCAGUUAAUUGGACCGUGCCUGAAAAGUUGAUCUUUUGAGUAGACUUUUAUUAAUUGCUAUUUUUAGUAAAUUGUAUUUGGUGAGUUAGCUUUUGAAUUUUGUUUAUUUUAUUUUUAUUUUCACUUCAUUAAAUAUCCCCCAAUUUUGUUCUAUUGAUUUGGAAAGAAACAACUUCCUACCCGUUCCCUGUGGAAUCGACUCUACUUGCCAUUAUACGCAAAUUUAAUACUUUUAUAGGCAAUUCUGGUAUAUCGAAUCAAGCAAACUUUUCGGGGACAGGGUGAAUCAAGUAACCCAUUGCACACCUAAGGUUCCUGCUUCAGUACUUGAAUUUAUUCUAUAAUUAAUUGUGGUGGUAACUAAGACUUUUUAAUAAUAAUUAUUGCACAGAUUCGACACCUGUCAAAAAAGUUUAAUAAGGGAAAGGAAACUCGAGUAUGGCUGCCUUUGAGCAGCGUUAUACAUCCCGUUUGGAUAAGGACUCCAAUUACUCUCCUACUGUGCCUAAGUUUAAUGUUCUUGCCAUGGAAUACAUAAUUCCCGUACUCUUUUAUCUUAGCUUCAAAUUUAUCUUCAACUCUUAUAUGGGACGAGGGCCGUCAAUGAAGUCGAAUGUCCUUAGAUCUGUUAGAAAAAGAAAAUUGACAUCUUAUAGAUUAUAUUAGGUUGGGCAAAGUAUGUGUCUGGAUAUAAGACAUAAUUUUAUUUUCGAGCUUCAUUAGACUUGACCCAAUUAAAGUCAGGUCCAAAAAAUUACACAUUUUUUUAAAGCAAGGGCAGGGAAGGGGACUCUAAAUUCUAGUGUUUCAAUUUUAACCACUAAUCACUAUCAACGCCUUCUUAGCACCUAAAAAUUAUACGUGUAAGUAUAGAGAGUAUAUGCAUUGUCACAUAUAUAUAUAUAUAUAUAUAUAUAAUAAUACGUAUUACAUAUAAAAAGACAUAUGAAUAUUAAAUGCAUAUUAUAUAUAAUUAUGUAUUAAUUUUGAGUUCAGGCUGAGUGCAAUAUUUUUGUGAGUUGAAUUCUUUUAUGAUUUGAGUUUGGACAUGUCAAAACUCAUCUCAAGAAUUCGGAUUGAUAGACCUAUGUAAUAGGAAAACAAAGUAUCAUAACCUCAAAUUAUUAUCUUUUCCAUGAGCAGUAAAUGACAAUUAAGAGAGUUGUAAAACUCCAGUUAUAAAAUGCAGUAUCGAAUAAUAGCAUAGACAAAAGUUUGUCACAAGUCCUACUGGCUUAGUCCAGAUCUGAUUGUUGUGCAUGGGAAAUGAAGUUGAACGGGCAUAUCCAAGCCAGUUUUACUACUACUAAACUGAUAUGUAUAUAUCAACGGUUGGAAAGUGUGCAGAUCCUUCUGAACGCUCAACCAAUUGGCAUAUUUUUAGCUAGGUAGCUAGCUAGCUUCCAAUUUUAGUUAUAGUCAUGGGAGCUGAUGAGGAAAUUCUUAUGCCCAUAUGGAGUUUAAAUUUUAUCAGAUUUGUCAUUACAUGUACUUUUGAAUUCCGGGUCAAUUUUACAAGCUGCAAGUUGACUGUUUGAUAGAAUACGAUGCUAUGUACCUAUUUUGGCGGGACGCAUAGGGGAUAACUUCUUUACAGAUUAAACAGAGAGUACAAGCCUCCUAAAACUCCAUCCUUUUCCAGCAGUUUCGCCCCUUCUCAGUUCAUCAUCUGAAGAAAACAUGGAGGGAUCUUUGAUCUGGAUUCUCGUUGUACACAUUUUGGUGAUUGCCUAUCAAGGUGAAGUCGGUGCCUCUGAGCGAAUUCAGAAGAAUUUCCAAUACAAUCCCAAGCAGCCGUACAGAACAGCCUACCACUUCCAACCUUCUAAAAACUGGAUGAAUGGUGCCAUGUCUUUCCAUUUUCACGAAUGCUAUAUUCUACCACUGUUUUUUUUCAAAUUUAUGUGUACCAUUUUGGUUUCUUCUUGUGCUAAUGUAUACAAAUUUGCUUGUGCCAUUUUGCAUGCGUCAUGGCGAAAAUGGUGAUUGUGCCACAAUUUGAACAUGUAGAUCCAAAUGGUAAGAUAUCUAGGUUCAUCUUUUACCUCUACUUGCUAAGAGCUUCAUUUCCACGACUUGGGAGAACCUUUCAAUUAGUGAAACUAAGAUGUAUGUAUAUGGCGCAGGUCCAAUGUACUACAAGGGAAUUUACCAUCUCUUCUACCAGUACAAUCCUUAUGCUGCAGUGUGGGGUAAUAUUACCUGGGGGCAUGCUGUAUCACAUAAUCUGAUUGAUUGGAUCGAUCUUGAGCGUGCUAUUGAGCCAACUGAGCCUUAUGACAUCAACGGUUGCUGGUCUGGCUCUGCAACAAUCCUUCCAGGAGGAAAUCCUGUAAUUCUGUACACUGGAGCUGACUUUAAAAACCGUCAAGUUCAAAACCUGGCUGAGCCCAAGAAUCCAAGUGACCCGUAUCUGAAAGAGUGGAUAAAAGCAAAAAAUAAUCCUUUGAUGACUCCAAUUAAUGGGAUUGAUCCACAAUUUUUCAGAGAUCCAACGACAGCCUGGCAGGGGCCGGAUAAAAGAUGGCGAGUGGUUGUUGGGAGCCAAAUUGAUGGUCAUGGGACAGCACUUCUAUAUCGCAGCAAAGAUUUUGUAACGUGGACUAAGAGCGAAAAACCCCUGCAUUUUUCGAAUAAAACAAAAAUGUGGGAGUGUCCUGAUUUCUAUCCUGUGAUUGUUAGUCGCAGAAAUGGACUUGACACUUCUGUGCAUUCGAAGAAUAGUAAGCAUGUGUUGAAAGCAAGUUUUAAUGAUCAGGACUACUACAUUAUUGGAACCUACAAUCCAGAAACUGACAAAUUUAUCCCUGAUGUCGACUUCAUGGAGAGCUAUUUGAAACUGAGGUAUGAUUAUGGGAUAUUCUAUGCAUCUAAGACAUUUUAUGAUAGUGCCAAGAGAAGAAGAAUAUUAUGGGGAUGGGUAACUGAGGCGGAUGAUAAAUUAGACGACAUCAAGAAAGGGUGGUCAGGACUUCAGGUAAUUUGGCACAUUACUGUUUUACAUUUUGCAAUCUGACUUUUCUGUCUCCUAGUCCUAGCCCAGUCCAUUUACCAGUUUUCUUGCAAUGAAAUUGGAGAUUUUCAUUUCGAAACAAUAUCUUCCUGCUCAAUAUCUGCUUUGCACAGAUCUGUCAUUAUGCUCUACUGAAAAGCACUUAGUUAGCAAAGACAUUCUGUUUAUUUUGCAGUCAAUUCCUAGAAGUAUCGUGCUAGACAAAAAUGGCAAGCAAUUAACGCAGUGGCCAAUCAAAGAAAUUGAGAGAUUGCGCCGAAAAGAGGUUAGCCUUCAGAAUAAGGGGGUCAAGGGAGGAACGGCUUUCGAAAUCACAGGCAUCACAGCUUCGCAGGUAAAACAUGCCCAAGCUAGUACUUCUUCUUCUUUACCCAUUUGUUGUUUGGUCAGGGGAUCAGUGUAAAAUUUCCUUCAUAUAUAGGCUGAUGUAGAAGUCUCAUUCCACCUGCCAAAUCUUCAUGAUGCUGAGUUGAUGCAUCCGGAAAAAGUUGAUCCCAAAAUUCUUUGCAGCGAGAAGAAUGCCUCCACAAAAGGAGUUAUCGGGCCAUUUGGCUUGAUGGUCUUGGCUUCGAAAAACUUGACUGAACGAACUGCUGUUUUCUUUCGGGUAUUCAAAAGCCAUGAUGAUAAAUACGCUGUGCUCAUGUGCAGCGAUCAAAGCAGGUAAGCCUUCUCAAUCCACUCUGCUUCAACAGUAUGACUUACAUAAUAAAAAAAUAUAUCUACUUAAUCUGUAAGCUUUGGUGGUAUUUUACAGGUCUUCUUUGCGAAAAGAGGUUAACAAAUCCAGCUUCGGGGCUUUUGUUGAUGUAGACCCCAAAGAAAACAUUUCACUGAGAAGCUUGGUAAGUUGCUACUCCAUCAAUUAACUUUACCUCUCAAAUGUCAAGUGAAUUAGCUUACUAUGACUAAUGAUUCUCUGUUACAACAACAUUACGUUCAAGUUAGACUUGCUCUGAUAACUAUCACGUAUGAUCAUCACUAUCUGAUUAGAUUAGAGAUUCUUUUUCUUUUUUACAGAAAAAGUUUGUUAAUUGUAAUGCAUUCUUGAUGUUUGCAGAUUGACCAUUCAAUUGUUGAAAGUUUUGGAGGUGGUGGAAAGACUUGCAUUACUUCUAGAGUCUAUCCAGAAUUAGCUGUUGGUCAAGAAGCCCACCUUUAUGUCUUUAACUAUGGGACGAAAAGCGUUACUAUCUCAAAGUUACAUGGUUGGAGCAUGGGAAGAGCUAAAAUUUUUCCAGCACAUGGAAAAAGAAUGUUCCCUAUUCCAAAUUAGUUGUCAUAAAGUUUACCCAUGGCAUCGGUUUUUAUUUGCUGGGAAUCAAACUUAGGUUUCUUUCUCUUCUCUGUGUCAGUAAUUCGCAUUAGUUUGCUUUGCUUUUCAAUUAUGUACCAGUUAUCCAGAAGCAAAUCAAGUCAACCAAAACUUUCAGUAAAUGAUAUUGGGCUUUGAAUCCAACUAUUGUUUCAUAUUGUUUCUUCCUCUUCUUUCUUCAUCUUAGGUCGUUGUCAUUUCUUACAGAUUCGAUUUUAUUUUUAUCUUUAUUUUUUUGACUUUGACUUUGCAUUCUUAUCUUCUACAAAUGUAUUGGAUACAUAUUCCUAUUAACACAUGGUAACAUUUUUCCCCAAUAGCAGUAUGGGAUUGUCAAGAAAUUUCAGAGAAUUCCACAAAUUGUCUCAGACGUCAAGGCAAACAUCACAAACCAGAUGAUCAUUCAUCAGCCUAAGUCAACUCUCUGUAUAAGAUCAUGAUGGAAGCAAUGAGACAGCCUUAGGAAUCUUUUGAAUUUAAAAAUUGCUGAUUGUUUUUUCUUUGGAACUCCAAUGUUGACUUUUCUGAUUUUAGGCCUAAUGGAAUUCUUUCCACAAAGUAUAAACUUAGUAGUUACUGAGAAAGGCUUAUAAAUGCUUACCAUGUCCCUCGCAAAAAUACAAGACCAGAAGCGCUGAAAUUAGAUAUACCUACUCAAGUUGAAGUUGAAGCUUGAAAAUGAGGGAGGCCAACAGUAGCUCUGUGGUGGUGGUUGACUUUUGGGGUAAUGGUUUUGGCAUGAGGGUGAGGAUAGCUUUGGAAGAGAAAGGGAUCAAAUAUGAAUACAGGGAAGAAGAUCUUACAAACCCUCAAAGAAGCCAACUAGUUUUGGACAUGAACCCAGUGAGAAAAUCAGUGCCUAUCCUGAUUCAUCAAGGACAACCGGUUUGUGAUUCUGCAGCAAUACUUGGAUAUAUUGAUGAAACAUGGAAAGAUGGUUUCCCUUCAUUGCUUCCACGUGAUCCUUAUGACAGAGCCAUUGCAAGAUUCUGGACUCAUUUUCUUGACAAUAAGGUUAGACUGCUGUGCUUUUCUAAUGCAAUUUUUUUUAAUAAAAAAGAAACGAAUAUAGCUAUUCUUGAUGGGAUGCUUGUUAAUUGAAAUUGGAACAAUAUCGAAGUAUUUAUGUGUUUUCAUCCAGUAAAAUGAUUUCCACCUUUUUGGUGCUCAGUUUUCGUUUAUUUUCAUUUUUUUUUUUUUGGUAACGGACCGAGUAGUCGAUCAAUUAUUAUUAUUAUUUUUUUUAGAUAAGUUUAUUGACUCUUCCAUUGAUACUCAAGAAGCUGUACACAAGUGAAGGGGCAUACCCUUGAGCAACUUCAGAUAUCAUCAAAUCUUGCUACUUAGUACAAUAAUGUGUUGGGCUUGAGAGUUGAGCCCUGCUACUCCUCCCAUCAAGAGGGAAAAAAAAAAAAGAAGAAGAAUAUUUGUUUUCCAUGUUUAAAGUUUUUUUUUUUUUUGGGGGUAGGUUUUUAGCACACAAGCUAUGUUCUUGAAGAGCAAAAGUGAUCGAGCAAAAGAAGAAAGCAAGAACGAACUGAUUGGAGAGUUGAAGCAACUGGAGGCAGUGUUAGGAGAUGAACAGUACUUCGGAGGUGCAAAUUUCGGAUACCUGGAUGUUGUCCUCAUUCCCUUCUCAAGCAUGUUUUAUGGAUAUGAGAGUCACGGCAACUUCAAACUGGAGGAGGAGUGCCCAAAAUUAUCAGCUUGGGUCAAAAGAUGUUUAGCAAGGGAUAGCGUUCGAAAAGUUCUUCCUGAUUCUGUGGAGAUGUACGAGUUACAUAAAAAAUUCUAUGGAAUUGAGUAGAUUGGCAUCUCUUAGCACAUAUGUUUAAGGAGUGAAGUUCAGAACACUUUCUGAAUCUGGUUCCAUUUUUCAAGAAAUUGUUGAACUUUGCUACAUAUGUUUCAGUUUUCACAGGUGGUUCUGUUUUUGGUUCUCUUAAUAAACCAAAAAGGAAAAAGGAGAAGCGUACUUCAAUAUAUAAAAAUUCUUCGGUGUUUGGUUUUGUACUUCAAAGUUUUAGUAUGCGUUUUUGCUGUUUCGUUUAUUAACCAUUCAAUGAUCCAAAAAGUUUUGGAGGUGGGGAAAAGAAAAGCAUCGAUGCUCAAGCUUUUCCUUGUUUAAUGAUAAAUCCCUACCUUUUGACUCUCUCCUUUUUAGAGGACAAAUAAUUGCUUGGACGGCGAUGUCGUGUUUAUCUGGUGAAGGAAAGCUCAAAGUAGAGUGUCCCAAACUCAAAGGGCACUGACAGAUGAAAGUAACUGGCUAACAUAUUCUGUUAGUUGGAAUUGGAUGGUCACUUAUUAUGGUUUUCUCCAAUUUACUCUUCUCUCAUCUCAUUGUCAUGGGACUAGGGAUAAAAUGAAUCAACUAGUGGGUAUUCCAAUUAGGUUCAAAUUAAGUUCAGUUCAUUAACAGUUUAUUUCACAUCAACUAAUUAAACUAAGGUGCAACAGUAUUUUAUACUCGAUAAACUUUUGAAAUCGGCUUAGCUCGGCCUUAACUUGAUCAAGAUAAAAUUGAAAUUUAUAAAUAAAAAAAAAUUCAAAUUGCUUGAACUUAAUUCAACUCUGAGUGCUGCUCCAUAAAAGUUCGUUUGAUUUCAACCUGAUAAAUAAACAAAUCAAUUCGAACUCGUUAAAAUAAUCAUACAAAAUGAAUAUUAGGAUGUUCAGUUUGAUCAUAUUUGUUUACAUCCUUAGCCUCACGUACUCAUUCAUUUUUCUUCCUUUUUUUCCUUUAUUAUCGUUUGCUUCCAUGGUACUAGGAAAUAAGAUCUUGCCCCUUGAAUAGUUGAAUUAGAUCAUCACAGUCAAUUUCAUCUUCUAGGGUUAGCAAUAACUUCACAUCAACCAUGUGUUCUCAAUAAGAAAAAAAAAAAAACAACUCACAUUGUAAAUAAACUUUCAAGAAUAUAGAGAUGAAACACGUUCACCUCUUCUUCUCUCAGGAAAGGGGGAAAAACGAGAAAUAACAUGUGCUAUCUAUCAAAACAACAUUUAUAUCGUAUUUACACAUCCAAAUUUUUAUUUUUCCAAUCAAAACUUGAAUUAAUGAUACAUGUAUAACUACAUAAUUAUCAACUUAAUCAUGAACUAACUUGAUAGAACAAAAUUAGAUGUACAUAUACAUUUCAAUCAAUAAAAAGCACACAUGCCUAGCUCAUGAUUAAGUUGAUCAUAAUUAGGUACCUCAUGAUUAGUGCUACAUAAUUAUACUAUAUGAUUGUUAUAUCAAGUGAGCUAUUACCACUUUCGACAAAUAAAAGGUCAAGAAAAAUGUAAAAGUCCAUAGAUAACACCUAUGAAACAUUACCACCGAGCUACAGCUUGCGAGCCUUGUUUUUCCUUGGUCGUGUCGAGCUCGAGCUCAAUUUUCUUGAUGAGUCGAGCUCGAGCCCACUUGUUAUUAAGUCGAGUUCGGCUCGACAAGUCCAAAAUUCGACUCGGUUCGGCUCGUUUGCAGCCCGACCACCGACUACGUUACGUACUGUCUUGAAAAAACGCAGACAUAUUUAAAUAUCUAUUAGGCUAAAGAUUGUCAUUGUAUAAUUUUGAGUUAUUGAGUUAUAUUCAUUGGCAUGUAAAUAAGUGAUUUUGAUAUCUAGGUCCUGUUUGGAUUAAGAUUUUUUAUAGUUUUUGGCAGAAAAAAUAUUAUAGCGAUAUAAUAUAGGUAAGAUAAAAAUAUGUCAGAAAUUUUUAAAAAUUUUUUUGCUAAAGCAGAAUUUAGAUAGUAACAAUUUUUUAAUUUGGAAUAUAGAUAACAAUCAUUCUUUGAAAAAAAAAAAAAAACUAUCACUCUUAGGAAAUACAAAUUGAAGGGAGGGUUACCAUAAAAUUUUUCGAAAUGGUUGUUAUAAGCCCCGAGAAUCCUUUAGUUUGGUUUACGGUAAAGUAAUGGGUGAGGGUUCCCUCCGUUUAGGGUUAAGGACACGUGGGACAAAACAGGGCUUGUAUGACGUGGACAAACAUCCGUACUAAAUCCAAUCCAAUCCCUCCCUUCUUCCGACUUCUAUAAAUUCCGCUUUUAUUCCCUUUAAUUAAUAUUUUCCAACCGUGACUUUGUCUCAGUCUCAACAAACGCAUUCGGAAAUGGAAAUUGGUGUACUAAGGCUACCAUUCUCUUCAAAAUUCUGUUAAAUCACCAACCUGACUCGAACGCACGGAGAGCCGAGCCCAACCAAAAGAAAAGCAACAAUCUUGACGGAGAAAAAGUGAGGUACUGAUGAGAAUUAAGAGUAGCCCAGAAGUUAUAUAUUGGCUUGUCUUUUUCAAACAACAAUCGUAGUGGAAAUUUUUCAAGCAUGAACAAAACCCGUUUCCAGGGAAGGCAUAUAUGCUGAUUUAAACAAUCAUAUAUGCAUAUUGUUUUAAAGGGGAGGUGGGUUUUUGAGGGAUUUUAGUUUGGUGCCUAGAUUAAAGAGGGAUGAUGGUGGAGGAUGGUGGUGGUGAGGCAGAAGAGAAAAGUGGCAGUGGUAGUGGUGUUCGGUUUUCAUCGAAGGCGAAGGCUUUGGGUUUAAGAGAAUCAGGGCAAUCAAAUUGGUUGACUAAUUUUCACAGAGAUCUGUUGGCAGGCGCAGUGAUGGGGGGCGUCGUGCACACGAUUGUAGCCCCGAUUGAGAGGGCUAAGCUGUUGUUACAAACCCAGGAGAGUAAUAUUGCUAUUUUAUCUGGGCCGCAUAGGAGGUUUCAGGGGAUGUUUGAUUGCAUAGCCAGGACAAUUAGAGAAGAAGGGAUUCUUUCUCUGUGGAGAGGCAAUGGGAGCAGUGUUCUGAGAUAUUACCCUUCUGUUGCUCUCAAUUUUUCUCUCAAGGUACCACCACUCUUACCCUACUAUCUUGCACUUUCGUUGUGUUUAAAGAUGUAAUUUUAUUCGUGGGUUUUGUUUAAAUUUCAAAGAAAUGGUGAUAUUUUCCGUAAAAGGAAUGAUCCCUUUGGAAUAGAGCACUGUCACAUUUAGUUUUCUGCUAUCUGUUUCUUUGUACCCGUGCACUGUUGCAUCUCAGAUUGUUGUACUUGUUUCUGUUUUGCGGCAUUGAGCAAGUGUUUAUAUUUGGCUUUUCCAGCCAUGUGUCAAUCUUUGUGCCUUAUGGUUUAACAUAUUUCCAGAAAUGAUGAUCUUUAUGAUAAUUUCUUUUGUUGUGGAAAUUGGUUGUGGCUCAAAUUAACAAGAAAAAAAGUUCAUCUUUCUGUGUAUUAUGAUGUUUAGUCACGCAAAAGUUGCUUUUCACUCAAAAUUUGUACUUUAUGUGCCAGUUGUUGGGUUUCUGCGUUUGACCCUGUGGUGAAGAUAGAGCAGGAAACAUAAACUUCUUCUCACUGUUAGUGGUGGUGAGAGUUGUUUUUGUAAGUUGCGACUGAAAAGUAUUUCUUCCUCCUAGUGUUCCAGGGAGAUAUUGAUUCCUGUUGUACAGUAAUGAUGGGUAGGACUGGGAUAUGUUGUUCAUUUAAAGUGUUUUGGUUAUCAAAGCAACUUUUGCAGAUUGGUUAAUUGAUAUGUAGGAUACGCUUAGUUGAUAGAGAAGUUUGAAUGGCUUUGUUAUGAGGAUGUCAAAUUGUCUGAAAAAUUGGCAUUUGUGGUGAAGACAGUUAAUGAACUAGAAUUCUUAAGUCAUUCAAGUUUGAUUCUGUCCUUUUGAAUCUAAUUAGGUAAUCCAGCUCUUGAUGUGCAUCUGUGUCUAUGUCUACUAUAGAUUAUGUGCAUUUGGCCAACUUUCUUCUCAACCUAAUGAUAAAGUGGUGUUGGCCAAGUAAACCAAUACAUAUAGUUCAACAUACUUGUGCAUUUUCUUAAAAUUUAACCCACAAGCUUGACUCUCGGUUUGAAGAUUUUUCACCUCCUCUUUAUGACAAACGCUGAGUGAAGUUAAUACAGUAUUGAAGAUAGCUUGUGCAGAUUUUGGGUUGUUUAAUUCAAAGCUCCACAUGCUAGAAUUUGUUUGUGAAUCAUGCAUAACUGCUACACUGCACCCUGGUAAAAAACACAGCUGGCUAUCAAAGUCAUAAUGUUAUCCCUUACUACUGCUUUAGGGGUCAUUACUGUGUCCGUCUGCACCAACUAAAUAUGGCAAAAAACAUAACGCCUUCGUACAAUGAUAUAUCACAUAAAGACAAAUGGAAGCAAGGGUUGGAACAGGGUACUGUGCUUAAGGCUGCACCUUUGGAGUUUUGGGUGGCAUGCCCUCACAUGUGUAUGCAAAUGUUAGAUAACUGAUAUUGGAAAAAUAAGCAUGUUAAUGGCUUAUUCAGAAUGUGGUUUUAGCAUUGCAAGAAGUCCUUAGAUUCGCAUUCUUGAUUUUUCUUUUGGUGCAAGCUUGUGAAGAUAUUGUUUCUGAGUGCCAAUUCAGCUUAUAAAAGUAUGAUGUUGUGCUGUUUUUUAAUAGCCAUCACAGUGUUUUUAUAAGUUUUGAUGCCAUUUUGUAGGACAAUAACCAUAUGUGCUUGCCUCAAAAUUUUAGGGGCCAUUUGGUAGGGAAUCUGCUUAGCUGAAAGUGGAUUUUGUUUCCUUACCUAAUUCUUAAAUUUGUUGUGCGAUAGGUACAAAUUAAGGUUACUGGCCUAUCAUGUUUUAAAUUUCCCAUGCACAGAUUAAUUCGUGUACAGUUGUUGUAAUCUUAAGGAUUCAAUGGUUUUUUAUCUCCCGCUUAUUCCAUAUUCAGUUCUUACCUGGAAGAAACAACUAGCAGGAUAUGUGAGUUACCGUAUGUCUUUUUCUUUCUUGAAAAUUUGAUGUGUAGGUGGGGACAUAAAGUUAUACCUAGAUCGUCACCAUUUAGCUAUUUUUUUCAAUCAAAAAGUGCAGGAAACCCUGAACUUUGUUACUUCUUCCGUGGCGAAAACCCAGAUAACUUGCUUAUUUGAAAUGGAAAACAUGUAUAAACUGUAUUUAAGCCAACCUCCUGGAGGAAAUCUUGAGUAAACUGCCUUAGGAAAUCUUGCUAUCAACUACUCUGCAAUAAGGUAUUCUAGGCUAAGCGUGCUCAUUGCCUAUUUUUUCUCGUUUUCAGGAUAGCAAUGUAAAAUUCCACCAUUUAGAUCUCAUCCAGCUAGUUCCAGUACCAGGAACUGAAUUUCCCAUGUUGUCCUUGCAUGAAUCCUCAGCCCUUUCAAGACUUGGGCAUUUAUGAACAUCCGUUCUGAUGCUGUUCCCUGAAAGAAGAUUACUCUUGUUUAGGUGAGUCAUAUCAGUUUUUCAAGCGUAUGGGUGGAUAGUGGGUAGUGACUAAAAGAUUUCUUCUAGUGGCCUGAACAAACUUCUUAUUAGAGUAUUAGUGGUUCUUUUCCUUAAACAAAAAAGCCAGAGAAGAGAUAACAUCUUAAAUUUCAGAAAAAUUACUUUCUUAUUAUGAGACCAGGUUGCAAUCAGAUGAAAGAUGACUUUUCAAAGUAAAAAUCUUGAAAAUUUUCUGCUUAUAGAAUCCAGUAGUUGUCCUACAAGGAUAAUGGAUAAAUGGACGAACUCAGAUGUUUUCAAGCUUGAGUUUUCUUAUAACAACCAUGCAUGAUGACAGCAAAAUACUGUAUAUGUCGAUGAUAACAAUGAUUAUGAAAGACUUCUGGGUUCCUGCACUUGAUAUUGCAUCAAUGACAUUGUAUGAAAUAAAUUUGAUGAUUAUUGUCACCUUUGUUAGGAUGCCUCAGUUUCACGCUGGAGGAGCCUUGUUGGUGUUACCUUCUCCUGUCUUCUGAGUUCAAAUACUUUUUGCUGAGUUUAACAAGGAGGAAAGAAAAUAAAAAUAAUCAUAAAUUAUCAUCUUAAUGGUCCUUCAGUUAGUGAUUAAAGUUUGAGCCUGUAGGAUUUGUUAGUUCUUACAUGAUAAGUAGGGAAAAUGUGCAAAUUCAGGUGUUCCUAAAAUCCAGCUAUGGUAAUUGGACACGCAUAAUGCAGCGCUAAGGCUUGAUAUACACUAAUGAAGAUGUCAAGCUGCCAUGCCAUGGGUUACCGGUUGUUGGCUCUUUCUGUAUGAAGGGCUCUUAAAUAUAGGUCAAGAAUGCUUGAUUUUGGUGUUUUAAGUUUAACAACGAUCAAAGAGAGAAAACUAUUAUUAAUCUAUAAUUCCUACUAUAGAUUUCCAUUCAUAGGUUUGUUUGAUCGGGGAUACAUUCAUUUGAAGGUGAAUUUUUCUCAGGGAAAAGCAAAGGGUGGUCUUAGCCCCUAUCCUCUACAGAUGGAAAUUCUUCAUUCUCAUCGUAUUGGACUUUCAAAUUUUUGAUACUUUUUAUCUUGCGUGAGGAAGUUCCAAGGCAGUUAACUUUUCUACUAGUAAUAAACAUGUUACCUAAAUUUUAAAUGCCUCAAGCCAUCAUGAAUGUAUCCUAUAUACCAAGAAGUGUGAUUUUAAAUUCCAACAUGGUAAGGAUAAAUCUGUCCAACUGUUAUCUCUUACCCUUUAUUAUUACUCUUGAACAUUUUCAAAAUGUUAGAAGAGUGCGAAAGGCAAUCAAAUAUCCAUUGCUUGAAACCCUUUUCCAUAGAUCAAGUAGAGAGUUGGGGUGUUUUGGCUGUCGGUAAUCUAAUUUAGGUUGGAACGGUAAGUCGUAACAGCCAUUAUAGCCUUUUGAUAUCUUGAAUGCUGUUUUGUCAUAUGUUUGGAGGGUGAGGAGUAGUGGCUGAUAUAUGAGCCAUGAAGAUGUUAGAACAUGAGGCCUUCCUGCCCAUUCUGUCCAUGCCAUGUGUACCUUUAAUAGGUUCUGAAGUGGUUGGGACAUUCUGACUUCAUGUUUCCCUAAAGAUAGAUGUGUUGAUCUUUCUGGUAUUUUGUCUUUGUUUGCAGCCAUAGAUGUGGCUUGGAUGGAAGUUUCUUGUGUCAAAAAUAAUCUGAUGAUCUAUUUUCCUUGUUACAGUAUCUUGGCUUCCAAUGCCUCGUUAGAUUGUAAAAUGAAUUAGGCUAACAGAUCAUCAGAUUGCCCAAAAUUCAGAAGUCCUCUGCCUCUAUGCCAAUUAUAGAAUAUAUUCUCAUAAUCACAAAGAUGUGCCCGAAAGACUAAGCGCAACUUGGCUGGCUGAUCUUAUCCCUGUCUGGUCAGCUAAAAUGAAUCAUGAUCGUCUUCUCACCUUAUGGUUUAGAUUCUUUAUGGACGUAUCAGAUGUUGUCUCAUUUAAAUUUCUGUCUAUAUAUGUCUUUCCACUGUACUGCUCCUUUAUUGUGGGUUUAAGUCCAUUAAGUCCACUGUCGAUAUGUGACUUUCAUUGACGGUAGUUAGCUUUGCAUUGUCCCUGCUUUUUAACAAUGCAUUGACUGUUUUACUUUGGGAGCAGGAUCUCUAUAAGAACAUCUUACGUGGUCAAGGCAAUCCUCUUAUAUCUGGGCCAUCUGCUAAUUUCAUUGCUGGAUCUACAGCUGGUUGUACGACCUUGGUCAUCAUCUACCCACUUGAUAUUGCACAUACACGCCUUGCUGCUGAUCUUGGAAGGACAGGUACCCGUCAAUUCAGGGGAGUUAGCCACUUCCUCAGUACCAUUUAUGAAAAAGAUGGAAUAAAAGGAAUUUACCGGGGGCUUCCAGCCUCUCUACAGGGGAUGAUUGUGCACCGGGGCCUUUACUUUGGUGGUUUUGACACGAUUAAAGAGAUUAUGUCAGAAGAAACUAAACCAGAUGUGGCCCUUUGGAAGCGUUGGAUAGCAGCUCAAGCAGUUACAACAUCUGCUGGGUUGAUAUCUUAUCCAUUGGACACUGUUCGGAGGCGGAUGAUGAUGCAAUCUGGCUUGGAGCAGCCAAUGUACAGAAGUACAUUGGAUUGCUGGAGAAAGAUUUACAGGACAGAAGGGUUCUCAUCAUUUUAUCGUGGAGCCCUUUCAAAUAUUUUCAGAAGCACUGGUGCAGCUGCUGUUUUAGUUUUGUACGAUGAAAUUAAGAAGCUCAUGGAUUGGACUGGCUUAUAGCAGCACAAAAUUUUUGUAUUCCUCUUUGUUCAUCUCAAGAGUAGGUUUUAGACUAGAGUGCAGGAGUGAUACUGCCCAGCACAGAGAAAGCAGAAACUGAACAUUGAAUGCAGUCGAUACUUGAGCUAUCUUGAGGACCUAAUCAGAUUGAUGUCGAGUUCAAAUUUGAUUUCUUCAUCUCAUAGUAAAUAAAGAGCCGAGUUUUUUGGUAAUUCCUUGACAUCUUUGCUCUCUCUUUUUGGGUUUUUUUUUUCCGUUCAGAAAACAUUGCCAAGGCUUCAUACCGCUAUGGCAACUUAAUAGUUGCUGCCUGUGUACCAAUUCGACCUUUUCAUAUGCUCUUAAUUUCCAUACAUCCGUGGCAGCAAAAUUGGCCGCUACAUGGUAAUAUCCAUCAACACAAAAAUUAUCUCGUCUGUUGUCUUGCAGCCCAUUAGAGGUGAGCUUGUCCCCAAGACGCCCCCACCCUUCCAACCCUGGCGCCCGGGGCCGGGGGGGGCGCCUCCGUAUUACCAUUGUAAGGUUUAGAAUCUCUUCUUGACCAAAAGUUUGUACCCACUUAAGAGUUAAAACUGGAGCAUGGAGGCGACUGGAGGUAGAGGGUAAUUCCUCACAUAUCAGACCAUACUUGUACGUCUGUCUGUCAUCGAAAAAGAAGACUGGAAAUAACCGCACAAAGAAUGGUUUCUAUAUAUAUAUAUAUAAUGUAAGGAUUUGAUGUAUGUGAGAUAAAAGGACAAUUGAGAGAUGCGAUUUGAUGUAUAUGAGAUAAAAAAAUAAUUGAGAGACGCGUUCACAGAAAAUGUUAAAAUUUUUCUGUGGAAAAUGCAAUCCAAAAUUUGCUUGUUUCCUUGUCUAAGGUAGAAGGUUUGGGGAAUUUAGUGCAAGGAAUUAAAGUGCCAAUUUUAUAGUACUGCUCAUUAGAAAAUUGCUUAGGGGACCUCAUCAUCAUUAUUUCAAAGAGUUGUUUUAGUGAAAAAGAAAAAAGAAAAAAGAGUUGUUUUAGGGGACUUGGCAUUAGGAUUUGUAUAAUAUCAUCCGUUCCUCAAUCAAAGUAUACCUUUGGGAUUCAGACUUGACCUUGUUUCUAGAUAAAGAAAAAGUAAAACAAGUGUGCUUACUUUUAUGGCUUUGGAAAAAAAAAAUUUCUUUGCUUUUUGAUACUUUAUUCUCUUGACCUUUUCUAACAAAAGUUAGAAAUUCGGCUUUUAUAAAUCUAGAUUCCGGAAGAAACCUCAAAAACCGGCAACUUUUGAGGUCCUCCCAAGGACUUAUAAACCCAAACCCAACCCCCCCUCGGAACUGAUGUGGGAUGGCAACCCCAGAAGGGUAAGCCAGUAGGUCCGCUGCUGCUAAGAAGUAAAGACCCCGAGAAGUAAAGAUACUUUACUCGAAAAAUAUGCGAAUGCUUCGGCUAACAAGGCUCCCUCAUGACUGGGCCAUGGAGGAAUCCGGCGGAGGCGUGGACCGGUGAUUAAAAAAAAGAGCUUAAACAUUAAGUUAAAACUACCAAAGCCUUGAAUUGAUUAGACCAUGGAGAAAUUAAGCCCCAAUACAUGACGUCACCCCCAGAGGUUUGGAAAAAUUUGACUAAUAUCCUUAAUUUAUAAUCAUCGUCUUUUCUUGUUAAUAAUCUACGUUGCUUUGCUUUUAAUCAUAACUCAGGUCAGGGCUUGCUUUCGAAGAUUUAAAUUAUUUUUUUUUAUUUUGCAAUUUUUUUAAAUUAAAAGUUGUUGUUUUCAAGUAUCCUCAAUUGCUUUGGACUUGUGUUGAACUUUAGCAUAUUAAUGUAAACCAAAAAUGGGUGAUUAUGAUAAGCUGUUUUGAGGUGCUUUUAAAAGUAGAUAAAUUUCGACUUUUACGUCACUUUGAAAACACAUUUUUAUAUUCUUUCAAUUAUUUUUCAUGGGUUUUUAAAAACACCAACCCCCCCCCCCCCGGCCCCCGCCCGCAUUCUUCAUAAUGAGUUCGAGAAAAGAAACAAGAAAAUGAGAGGUAAAUGAUUUGAAGUCUGAUUUAACACCUUUACAUAACUAAAACCCAAAACAAAUGCUACUACAGCAAUAUACGAAGCAGGACGACUCAAGAAAAAUCUCGUAACCGAAUGCUUGGUUCUUUUAUACAUGUUAGGGUUAAAUACCAAAAACCCCCAUGUGGUUUGACUAAUGUUCACUUUACCUCCUUAUAGUUUGGAAACCUACAAUUUGACUCCCCGUCGUUUCAACUAAAGUAAUAGUCUGACGGAAAACAUCUAAACUAACGUCUGAAAGGAAAAUGUCAAAAUUGCCCCUCUAUAUGGGUUUUGGGUUAAGUACCAAAAACCUCCCUGUGGUUUGUCAAAUGUACACUUUACCUCCCUAUAGUUUGAAAACAUACAAUUUAACUCCCUGUCUUUUCACCUAAAGUGAAAAUCUAACAGAAAUUCCGUUAAAUACACUUUAGUUGAAACGACAGGGAGUCAAAUUGUAGGUUUCCAAAUCAUAGGGAGUUAAAGUGAACAUUAGGCAAAUCACAGAGGGGUUUUUGGUAUUUAACCCUACAUGUUAUCAAGCAUCUUUGUAGCUAGUAUUUUGACCCGUGUUAUGCAUGUAUAGGUUUUACAUUUUAAACAAAUAAUCUAGUGCCUUGAAAGGACCACCAUGGGAAGGAAUGGCAUAAAACAAGUACGACCCAAAAGUUAGGUUUAGGCAGGCUAAAAGAAGAACCAAGAGUAGAAAGUAAAUAAAAGGACCUUGGAUGCCAUAAGUGUACACAUGACAUCACAUGUGGAAAGAAGUGGGAAACGAAAUUGUAGUUUAGGAGCUAAAAGACGCUUUUGGGAAACUUUAGACUAAGUUAGAGACAAAAUAUAAACCAAAGCUUCCAAUUAAAAUGAGUUUGAGUGGCACUUGUGGGGUGCAUGAAUUUAACAUAAUCAAUUCCCAUUUCAUUUCCUAAAGAAUUUUGUAAAGAAAGAAACAUCGUAUCCGGGUUCUUCUUUAAUUUUUUUUUUCUCCCCAUUGAAUGAUGUAUUAGUGUUGAAAGUGGUGUUAAAUUAUGGGGGGGGGAUUUCUUUUGAUAGAUUCAGUUGUAGAUUCUCCCAGGUUAAGGUGUGAAAAGAUUCUCAGAAGGGUCCUACAAAAUUGUGUGCCAUCCUAUGGGUGCAUAGCGGGUGUGAUUCCACAGAAAUUGAUUCCCAGACACACAGUUUUGGGGAUCAGUGGGUGAAGUGAUGAUCAGUGGUGAGUGGGUGCAGUUGUAGGGCUCAAGUUGCAAUUUACCACUGCUCUUCUUUGAUGCUGUCAUCACUGACCUGUCCAUUCCAAAUCCAAGGGAAAACCUUGGACAUGUAGACACCCCUCCAUCCCUCCUCCUCCAAUAAUUAAUGGUUUCAUCUUCUCCUGCAUUUCCUUCCUGCUUUUUUCCUUAAAUGGGAAAUAUUUUAUAUGUGAGUUUGGAUAGUUCUUAUUUGCCAAAAGAAAAAAAAAACAAUAGAAUAUUUACGUGCAUCACAAACACAUUUUUCAACAUACAUUUUUAUUUUCGCAACCAUCGAUCUCUUUAAUUAUCUCACAUACAGCACAUCGUAAAAAACGCUACAGCAGUUAUUCCAAAUAAUAUCCGCUCCAAACACAAGUGUGCCACUCUUCAUCGACGCACAAACAUAUUUCACGUUAAAAAAAAAAAAAAACUAAAAGCAAAUCUUAAGCGACUAAUUAAUUCAGAACUUGAUAUCUGAUUGUGCAUCGAUCAACAUGUUUAGAGAAUUGAAUCUUAUAUUGUUGACUGUGUAUUUGCAGAAAUAAGUGCUCCUAUAUAUAUAUAUAUGUAUGUAUAUCCCUGCACGUUCGUGCUCGUACUUCAACUGAAGACUUGUUUAUAAUUCCACUCGUUUCCAUUUUGUCCAGUUUUCUGAACUGUUUACGUACGUAGCCAGCAAUAUUAUAGUUCAGCGAGUUUUAGCAGUAUAAUAAUUUCUUUGCUUUAUCUCACUUCAAACUUCUUGUUGGAAAACAAUAGCGAAGAAUAUGUUGAUAUACCCGAUUAAUCCUACGUAUGCAUUGCGCUGAAGAAUACACCCAAUUCCAGACAAUAGCAAAAGCCAAAAGGUCGAAACAUUUACACACUUAAACUAAACACAUUUUCUGUAAACACUUUCUUGAGGGCUUAUUUUUUAAGAAUAUUUUUCAAUCAUUCUUUUCUCGUGCUCGUCACAUCUCUAAAAAGUGCUACAAUAAUCGUUUUUCCAUGAAAACUCUCAGGAAAAAAAAAAUGCAAUCCAAACCCAACCAGUUGUUUGGGAUAUAUAGCUGCAAAUGUUGAAGAAGGUAAAGCUUGCUCCCAUUGGUGAGGUGAGUAUCAAAGCCUUGAAUAUAUGAAGCACGCAGAUAUUAUGGAAGAAGCAUCCUGUGCAAACUAACCACGUUUGCUGAUGACCAGCCAAAGGAGUGGUUGGCAGAUUCAGGCAUAAAUUUCAAUCUUAAUCACAUCAAUGAACAAUUUUCUUUUCUGGUUCUUUUUCACUAUUUUUAAAAAAAUUCUGGGAAUCUUUAUUACAAUAAUUCCCCGCCAACUUCUUUCCACCUUUUCUUUUAUGGCCACCACACCAGUCAUUGCUGCUGUUGUCCCCCAGAUUCUUUCUUUUGUGUUGCUUCAUCUUCCAUGUAUGCAGCUGCAUUUACGUGUAUUUGUCUUUGUCUCCCCACUCUUCCUUUUCUGAGGUGUAUUAUUCAGGGAGAAAACAUUAUACAUUAUACUAGCUUUUGUCUCUUUCUCUUCGGACACCACAAAUUCCGUCAAACCCAACAAAACUACACUUGAAGACACUCCUCGUCUUUGGCACUUGGCAAUAUGAGAUUAGUGCCAAUUCAUAUACGACUUAGCGCAUACGCUGUCACGGACGAUUGGAUGAUUGGCAACUGUACAAAAUUUGAAUUUUAAUUUAAAAUUCGGAUUAGCUGUCUGUCAAAUACUCAACGGCGAUAGCGUAUGUAUAAGAUUAAUUAUUAAUAUUUUAUGUAUAUAUCCUGAUGUUUAGCCUUGGUUAUCUUCUUAUUAAAAAUGCCAAUUAACCACAAAUUGAUUGUACGUAGUUCAACAACUUCAACUAGUUGGCAAUAGUAUCUAGAUUAACAAUUACAAAUGAAGUUUCAUUUUACUAAUGGAACGACCCUUUAAUUCAACAAGACAAGAUGACCGAACAAGUCCACAUGGGAUAUCAUGAUCAUAUAUAAUUAUUAGAGCCUAUAUAUAUUCAUAUAUAGCAGCAGAGCAGCAAACAAAACUAGUCAUCAAGGGGGGCUGUUGGAGAAAGAGCUGUGAAUUAAUUCAAGCAACACCCUCGAAUUUUUAAUACGAAUAUGGUACGCAGCGAACUGAAAUGAAUCAUGCAACGAUCUUCCCCACCAAUUUUCAUGGUUCAGGAUUCAAAGCUUCUUGGGAUCUGAUAAAUUUCAGUAGUAAAAGAUACUUAAUUAGUCAAGGCUAACAACUUGCGGUGUUCCAAGAUGUAUUAUACAAAUUGAUUGAGCAAAACUUGGGUGGAUGGAGCAGGCAUCAAUCAAAUUCGUUCGUAACCCAACAAAAUAAAGAUGGAUGGUUGAUUCCCUUUUGGUACAUUUUUAGUCAGAAAAAGAAAGUGUGAGCUGCUGAUCUGAUGCAAAAGCAAAGGCACCACAGAAAAGAAGAAAUUGUGAUUCCAAAAUUGUCCAUGAAACAAUGUCCAAGUUCUAUAUGAGAAGAUCAAGAAUAUUCCUUCACUCACACAUUGAUUGGGGAUUGGGAUAUUCACAUUCAGUGACUGGCCUCACCUUUAAUUAAAAUACUAGCUGCUGCUGCUACUACAACUCCAUGUGCUUUUGCAAGUUUAAUCACUGCAAAAAACUAGAAACCCCCUCUGGUCCCUUUCAAUUAUAUAUAAAGCCACGGAAUAAUUAAUCACGCAUCAUUGGAAAGUAAAAGAUUUCUAAAAUUAUUAUGGCAAAGUGGAAACCUUCCCCCCCCCCCUCCAUAGUCCUUGGGACCUUUUAAAUUUAAGGUCUUUAAUUGCGUGAAAUGAAGAAGAUUAUAAAGCCGGAAAAAGCCACUCCAUUAUCACAAAAUAAAAGGUCUGACACGUAUCUAACUAGUUAGCAUCAAUUGAAUUCAUCUCAUCAUACCACAACAAAAAAAAAAAAAAAAGCUGCAGCCAAGCUCUACCACAAUACUCCAAUUCAGGAACCAAUAAUACAACAACCUCAUACUAAUAAUUUCUGCUAAAUUUAGUACACAAAUUUGAUUGAACCCACACAAGUACUACGUACUUAGUACACAUGACAAUUGCCACCUCAUUAACUGGAAUAUGUUUUUCCUCAUUAACUAUUGUCCUUUCAACUAAAAACCUAGUACUACACUUAAGCACAAUCAUGGGAAAACAUCAAACUAUGAACCAAUUAUUAUGUUUUUUUUUCCCCUAAUUUUUCUUCUUUUUUUUUUUUUUUUUUUU
RNAcentral lists this long non-coding RNA (122814 nucleotides) under Coffea arabica (coffee). RNAcentral's name for it is "long non-coding RNA (CARA_LNC006087)". The record is from RNAcentral. Lineage: Eukaryota; Viridiplantae; Streptophyta; Magnoliopsida; Gentianales; Rubiaceae.